UUCAACUUUCGCUUUCUCUCACUCGCUUAGACAACCAAAAACCCUUUCCAAUUCAAUGAUUUCAAUUUUAUUUUUUCUUCUUAUUUCGGCUUUUCUCAUGCAGCCACUUUGAGCAAAAUAUUUCUCUCAAAUUUCCCACCCGCCACCUGCAUUUUUCCUUUUCCAGCCAGCAUAGUUCUGGGAUUGUACGUAAAUUAGAGAAGAUUUCGUGCUGAAAAAGUGAGAAAUUUAGUUCACAAUGACUGGGAAUCAAGAAAAAAUGAGGGCUUUUAGACCUUUACUUACAGUUGUAUGGAGCUUUCUGUUGGCUUCAAUAUUUGUUUCAGCUGAAAUAGGAAGCUCAAAGCAGAAACUUUUAGCACAUAAUGCAAAUGGGGUUUCACAUUCUGAUUCUUAUUCAGAUGUUUUCACAAAUUAUCUGAGUUUUAUAUGGCAAUCCAACAAAUCAGGGUACCAGCACGUUUGGCCAGUGAGUCAUUGAUUCUGUUGCUUUCUAAUUUUCAAAUUCAAUUUGUUUUGUGCUUUAAUGUAUUUGAAUUAAGUUCUAUCUAAUUUUACUUUCCUACAUAUUUUUGCUUGACAUGCUUGUUUGUUGGGUACUUAUUGAUAAUGGAUUUUAGAGGUUGGGAUAGAUAAAUUGGAUUUAUUUAUUUAUUUAUUUNAUACUUUUAUUUUCGUUAAAUAGGUGGAGUUGGCAUUUCAAACGCGAUUGGAAAGAUUGAGAGGCAUGAAUACAUGGGAUUUGCGAACCUCUGCAAGUAUAAAGAUUAACACACUGCUUCUAAUCCUUGCUGUUUUAAUGUCCUCGUCCCUAUACCCAUCCUAGAAUUGGCCACUAGGCUCGUGUGUGAGCUCAGGAGUACUUGCUCUUGUAGAUCAGUUGUAAGAUUAAUUUUAUCAAUGCAGUUUGUUUUGACUGUCUUUUAGCUCUUUGUUAUGUUUAACCAUUUAUAAUCGAAGAAUAGCUCCAAUAGACUACAAAAUUUUUUCAUGGUUUGGCUUCUACUUUUAUUAUUAUUUAUAAAUUUUGAGCUAUUUGCUUAGUUAAAUGUUAAUUGAUAAAUUGUUUAUAAGACGAUUUUAAUUGCAAAAUCCAAUACUUUAUAUUUCAUUUUUCUCAAACAAAAUAAUUAUUAUUUAGUAUUAUUUAGUCCGCUUGGGUAAGUCCGCUUUGCUACCAUCGUUUGCGGUUCCUUCAUGUUCAUUUGUUAGGGAAUGACUCAUAGAGAAUAGGUAUAGUGUUGUAGAUGUUGGUGUUCAUGCUUAGGGCCUUCAGUCAAAGCACUCGGUGUGGAUUCUGCUACAAGGUGUACUUCAACUCUGUUUGGUAAAAUUUUUAAUCCUUGCGGAAUUUUGAAAACUCGAGGUUGGGUUCAGGAAUCAUUUGUCGAUACUAUGGAAAGAGAUAGAGCAUUUUUCGUAAGGUGAAGGAUUUUCGUUUUAAAUGAAAAUAUUAGUUUUAUUUCGUUGCAAUCGGACUUAUUUUUCUAGGUAGAGAAAUUUUGAAGUUUCGUUCGUUGCACUGAAAUUUGGGUCAAAGUGGAGAUUGUUAGAUUUUGUAACCCAAAUUAUGUUGGAUUUUUUUAAAAAUAUUAUUUCAUUAUUUUCAUGUGAUUUUAUUGAAAAAUAUUAUUUCCUUUAUUUCAUGUGAUUUUAUUGAAAAAAUAUUAAUUUUUUAUUCCACAUUAUUUUUGAUAUUAUUUCCAUCUUUAUGGUAUUUUUAAGAUUUGGUGUGCCUCAAUAAAUAUGUGGCUCUUUUAUUUAGUGUAGGGGAAGUAUUAUUGCUGAAGUUGUAUUAUUAUCUCUCAUUGGUUGUCAAUAAAACGCUUUGUUCCUUUACCAAUUUCUUUCUUCACUUUUAAUUUUUUUGUUUUUUGUGCAAUCAUAUACUUCAUAUUUUGUCAAUAACACCCCGGACUUUCCCGACAUUUUGAUCACCAUUAUUCGUUAUCUUCUAAAAUUAUGUAUAAAAACAAGUGUUUCAAAUUGAGUCUUGACCCAAGAGCAUGACUCUCAUGAAAUUCUGGUGAUUUGAACAUUUGAUUUUUCAAUUUUAGCUUUACUUCAUCCGAUCAUUGAUAUUACUCCAUGUUUUGACUUGAUCUGUCUGACAAAUAUACACAUGUAUUUUAUAUUGUCAUUUGUUGACUUGUUCAUAGUAUAAUUUGAAUUUCUAGUUUUGUUGCUAAAAUCCCCUUCGAGCCAUUCUUUAUUUGCUUAAAUUGUGUAUGGAUUGUAAAAAUGAAUACAUACUUUUGAACUUGGGUUUUCAAUAGGAAGAGGAUUUUCCUAUCUGACAACAACGAAGUUUCUAAAUCUACUGAAGAAAAUUAUGUUGAUUUGUUGACCGUUGAACAAAAAUCUGAAGUAUAUGAACUUGCUUAUCCUUUUAUUAUUUUGCAUCUCUGAUCAAGUUUUGAGAAAAGAAGAACUUUAGCUGUUUAAAUCCCUACCAAAUAAAUUGCCUUUUAGGUAGUGCCUUUUUUUUUUUUUUAAAAAUCAAUUCCUCUUAAGAAUUAGAUGAUAAUUUGAAUGCUUUUAAGAUAUUAAUCCUUGUUUGGGCUCCAUUCUAAUGAAAAUUUUGGGGAAAAUGAGUUUUGAAUUUUUUUUUUUUUUAAAGAAUGAUGGUUAAAAAAUAAUAAAAAGUUUUUGAUUCAUCUAUAAUAUUAUUUUAUAGAAGAAAGUGUAAGUGAAAAUAAUUUUUUGAAAAAAAUGGGAGCCAAACAUAGUCAUAGUUCAAGACAUCACAAACACUAAGAAGAAUAUAGGAAGUGAUUAUUUUCAUCCAACGUUCUUAUAUAUAUAUAUAUAUAUAUGAAUUAUCUCCUAUGUACUAAUCAUAACUUAUGUUAAGCAUCGGUGACAUAUCACACAAUUUAAUUGGUGAAUAAUUAAAUACAUGAGACUUACCAUUAACUAAUUUACCAAUUAAAUGGUGUGCUAUUUCUUCGAUACUUAAUAUAAACUAAGUACCAGUACUUAGAAGAUCAUUUAUGUACCUAUUCAAAUUUUAAAUUUUAAAAAAUUCUAUAUUCAUCCACCUUAUAUACAAAUAUUAUCCUUAUUAAAUUUAUUAAUUUAAAUAUUAUAUAUCUACAACAUUUUUAUAUAUUUGUCACAUUGUACAUCUGUCUAUUACAAUUUUAAAAUUUUUAAAAUUUUUAUAUUUAUCACCAUUACAUUUGAACAUUAUUGUUAUUAAAAUUACUAACUUUUUUCUUUUAAUAUGUGAGUAUUCCAUGAAGGCAAACGACAUGCAUAUAAAUACUAAACUCAUUACAUAGUCAAUCCAAUAACACUGCAAGUCAAGUCACAAUAUUUUGUACUUUUUACUAUGAUUAUCGACAUGAAACAGAAAUAUAUAUUAUAAGUGGCACUAUUUGGUUUAUUUAUUUGUUUUUUUUUUAAUGGCGUUCCUAGUUCCAACUCCUCUAGAAAAAUGAAUAGAAAAAUGCUACAUUGUCAAAAAACUGGUGAUCAAUAUCCUGACAGAACACUCACAACAAGAGGAGGGCUCUCUUUUUUUUUUUUUUUUUUGGAAAUAUUAUAUUCAUGCGGGUCUCAUGACAAUGUGAGUGUGUCAUCCCUUGUGUCAAAAAUUUUCUGGCAUUGUAGCUUUUUUUCGAAUGAAUAAUGGUACUAACCAAUGGCUUCAGCUUAACCACGUGGUGAGAAGCCAGCAGCUAUCGCAAUAAAUCUCCGAUGAUUCUGCUGCUGGAUUUGCUCAGAUUAAGAACUUGAUUUGAAUCGAUAUAAAAUUGUUCCCAGCCCUCAAAAUAAAUGAGAAAUAUAAAGUUGUCAUUAUUCUCAAUUCUAUUCCCGAGGCUUAUAAAGAUGUAAAAAUGCUAUUAAGUUUGGAAGUGACAUUCUUAUCCCUAAAAUGGUCAUUAACUCUUUAAGAAUUUGAAAAUGGAGUUAAAAUCAGAGAAAAUUGAGAGUGGUAAUUAUGAAAGUUUGUCUUUUAGGGGGUAGAUUACGAUAAAAGGCAAAAUGGGAAUCAGGAAAAUCAUAAUAUAUAUAAAAUGUGGUUGGUAGUGUUUGAAGAAAAUGAAAGUGUAACAUUAAAAUUUGCAAAUGGAUAUAUCUACACUCUUGAAAGAGCUAGAUAUAUUCUAGAUUUAAAUAGAAAUGUAAUUUUAAUGGGGAAUUUAUAUGACAUAGGAUUGCAAUGUAAGAUUGAAAAUGGCAUAUGAUAAGUAUGUUUUGACACACUUGUUUUUGAGACUUAAAACUAGUUAAUUAUUGAUUAAACGAGCGAAUUAGUACUCACAGUCGUGUUAUUAUUGUCUUUUACAGGUCAUAACCCCCAAUUGAAAGAGAACAAUGCAAAAGAAGAGAAAAAUGAUGAGUAGUGUACAGAACAUGAUUUUGAGGACAAAAUGUAGAAGAGCUGAAAGUUAAUGGACCUUGGAUUCAAUUUAUCGGGGGCAUAAUCAAUAAAAAAGUCAAAAUUUGAGACCAAAAUAUAUAUGAUCAAAGUUGAGGGAAACGACGUGCAAUUAAUAGAGGACUUUUAUGAAAAAGGGGAAAUUGCAUGGUGGACUUGACACUGCGUGGGCUUAGGGAUGGCAGAAAAACCUGCCCCGAAUGGGGCAAAAAAAAAAAAUAAAAAAAAUUCGCAAGAAUAUCCAGUUGAACCGUUACCAAAUGCGGAUGAAAGGCCAAUAAACCUAAGUGACGAUGAACGUUAUAUUGGAAAACUAUCUUUCGGAAAGAGGAAAUUGACUUCAUCCGUUUGGGAGCACUACAAAAGACAAAUAAAUAAAUAAAUAAAUAAAUAAAAAAUAAAAAAGAAGAUAGAGAGAGAGAGAGAGAGAAAAAAGAAAUUAUUGAGAAUUGGAAAGCUAUAUGCAAUUAUUGUAAGAAAUAGUUAGGGGUAACACAAAAAAUGGUACAAAGCAUUUGCAUGAUCAUUUGAAGAGAUGUGUAUUCCUUUAUAAAGAUAAUACUCACAAAGUAACAUUAAGUUUCAAAAAGAAUGCCAUGAGUAGCAAGGUUACAAUGGGUACUUACUCUUUCGAUCCAAAUAAGUGUAGAUAUAGUCUCUUGAAAAUGGUGAUUUUCCAUGAGUAUCAUUUGUCUAUGGUUGAUCACAUUGGAUUUCAAGAGUUUUUGCAUGACUUACAAUCAUUGUUUAAGGUUUUUUUCACAACACUUUGAAGAGUGACAUUUUGAAAAUAUAUGAACAUGAGAGAGCAAAAAAUAUUAUUGCACUUGAGAAGAUUGAGAGUCGAAUUUCGAUACCGUCAAGUGGACCUCUUCUAAAAAAAAAAGGAUUCAUGGUUAUCAUUGAUCAUUUCGUAGAUGAUGCGUGGAAACUAUAGAGUCGAAUCAUGAGGUAUAAUAAAAUAUUACAUUCACUUGUUUUCAUAAUUUAUCAAAAUGAUAUUCUUUAGUUGAUUUAAUUUGUUCUUGAAUGAACUCAAGUUUAUAUAUGUGCCAUGUCCACACACUAUUGAUGUGCUUUCAGAAACUCUAUUGAGCAGCUUGAUGGAUUGGAAUAUUGAUCGUAAAUUACUAACUUUGACAAUAAAUAAUUGUACCACAAAUGACGCUUUUGAUCAGUAUUAUGUUAAGUCAACUUUGUACUCAUUCUCUUGUACUGAAUGAUGAAUUUUUUCAUAUGAGGUGCUGUGCACACAUAUUAAAUCUUAUUGUGAAAAAUGGAUUGGACAUUAUUUGUGGUAGUGUUGAGAAAAUUCGUGAUAGUGCUGCUUAUUGGACAGCCACACCAAAUAAAUUUGAAAAAUUUGAGCUUUCUGCACGUCAAUUGAAAAUUGAUUGUGAGAAAAAAUUGGUGCUUGAUUGUAAAACAAGGUGGAAUUCGACGUAUUUGAUGCUUAAUACUGCUUUGAUUUAUAAGGAUGUUUUUCCCUCGUUUGAAACAGAGGGAGUCACGAUAUAAAUGUUUUCCUAGUGAUGAUGAUUGGGAUUUGACAAAAGAAAUAUACGAGAAGUUAAAUGUUUUUUUUGAGGUUACUGAAUUGUUUUCAGGAACAAAGUAUCCAACUACUAAUCUCUUAUUUGCAAAUAUUUGGGAUAUCAAUCUAUCAUUGUAUGAGUGGCUUGAAUCUCCUUAUGUGGAAGUUCAAAUAAUAGCAACCAAUAUGAUGGAAAAGUGUAACAAGUACUGGAGCGAUAUUCAUGGAGUUUUGACUUUAACAGCAGUGUUGGAUCCGAGGUAUAAGAUGAUGUUAGUUAAGUAUUAUUAUCCUCGUAUUUUUAAUCACAAUACUACAAGUGAGAUUGACAAAAUAUAUCAAAUUUGUUGCAAGUUGAUGCACGAUUAUUAGAAAAAGAAUGAUUUAAGUGAGUUUGUAGCUCAGUCUUCUACUUCUUCUUGUCAAAGUGAGAGUUAAGUGUUAAUAAUAAUUUAGAUCGCUUGGCGGAUUUUUAUAAAUUUGUUUCUAAUGUUGAAGCUCCUAGUAGUGUGAAAAUUGAGAUGAGCCUCUAUUGCCUCGGUCGGAUGAUUUUGAUAUAUUGACAUGGUGGAAAGUAAAUGCAAUCAAAUAUCCGACUUUAUCUCAAAUUGCAAAAGACAUUUUGGCCAUCCUAGUAUCUACUAUGGCAUCCGAAUCUGCCUUCAGUAUUAGUGGUCGAUUUGUUAGUCCACACAGAAAUAGGCUUCACCCCAAAACUUUGGAGGCUUUAACGUGUGCUCAAGGUCAGUUAUGGGUCGAUAUUCAUGGUACGAUGUAUAUAAAUAUUUGCUUUUUAUAUUAUUUCUUUUAUGAAUUCUCUUAUUACUAAUUAUUUUAUUUUAAUAAUAACGAAUUUUGUGUCGUUUGCAUAUUUUGGAAGUUGCUCCAAGAUGAAUGAUGAGGAGGUAAUUUUAUUUAUUCCAUAGUUUAAAUUUUAAUCAUAGUUAUAAUGAUGUUAUUGAGUAUAAUAUUUUUUUUAUUUUUCAGGAUCCAUCAUUUACAAUCACAGAACCUGCUAUGAAUGAAGUUAAAUAGUAGGAAAAAUAUCAGAUUUAUUUUUGGAUAAAGAAGUGAAAUUUAGUUACAGUGUAAUUGUAUUUGUAAUUGUUUAUUUUCGGAUAUUGUUUGUUUUCGAGUAUUUAAUUUGAAUGUUAGUGUUUUUAAAUUGUGAUUUUGAAGGGAAAAAAAAAAUAGAGGCAUAACCCCGCCCCACCCUACGCCGUCUAAGGCGGGGGAGGCCGGGUCACUUUGCCCUGUACUCACCUCAUUGCCAUCACUACGUGGGCUCAACCAGCCCAAGGGCAAAAGGCCUUUUGGCUAGGAGACGCGUUCUCGUAGCUGUUAUGGGAAUAGAAAUUUCUUCUUGCCAGGCAUGUUCGUAUGGCUGUUAUUGGAGCAGAAAAUUCUAUCCCAAUUUUGUAAAUUUUGGUUCAUUUUGGGAGGUAUUUUGGGGAAUUAGUUGUGUUUCAGUCAUUUAAAAACCUAGUUUCAACCAUUUUUCACAUUAUUCAUUGUUCCGUUAAUUCAAAUAAUUAGAGGUAAGAACUAGGGCACAAGAAGGCAAGAAGAAAAGGAGGAAAACAUAGAAAAGUGGAAAAUUUUGGGUAAAAAUCCAGACCAAGCUAAUUUUCAUUUCAAGAAUCUAACUAAGGGACGGGUUUUACAUUUUAUCUUACGAUCCUUCCUUUCUUCAAACAGAAGGAACAGAGAUAGAAUCGGACCAGUUCUUGAAACUAAUUUCCUUGGAUUGAUUUGUUACCAUGAGCAUUUCUUAACUGGACAAUCUGUCCUAUUGAAAAUACUAGUAAAAGUGAAGAUACGAAUAUAAAAGCUAAAAACAUUCAUUGUCGGAGGAGGAAUCAACUGAGAUCCACUCAAAUUGGGCAGAAUUUUAUUUUUUUUGUUGAAACUAUAUAGUAGUACCAUUUUACCAAUACCAGCUCCUCCAAAUAGUCUGAUUUUUUUCCCCACGGCGAUAAGAGACCAAAACAUCUACUACUUAUGGUUGCUAAUAUGUCUCGUGGUAACAAAAAUGUAUUGUUCUAGGGUAUAUCAAGUUCAUGAAUCCCAUUUUGAACAAUUUUUCGUAAGAAAAGAAUUUUAUCUUUAUCUCUGAGCCUCCAUGGGAGGCUUGCACAACGAGUUAUUAACUCUGUGAUAGAGCGCGCCUAUGAUAAUUGAGUCACUAGUAGUUGAGUACAGACUUAUCUUCCUCCCCACAUUGAUAGAAGUAGACAAACAGGAAUUUCGUUUAGUUGCAUCAACACGGAUUAGUUUUUUUAGAAAGGUAUGGAAUGUAUCGUCAAAUAUUCAAUAUGAUUCCACAACGCAAUGGAUGAUUGAUGCCAUUUUCUAUCAAUAAAUGUGUCCUUCCUUAUUCCUCAUUACAAGGCCUAUUCAUCAAAAUUUUCCUUAUUUCUUCUUUUGUUAUCAAUUAUUUUCUCUAACUUGUAUUGUAGUCCUUUAACCCUUCUUCUUUUUAUCAUUUAUAUACAAUGAGUUAAGUUAUUAAUGUUUGGAUGAUUUAUGUAACUUAAUCUAACUUAAUUAAUUUUAAUAUUUGCUCUUAAUGUUAAAAUACUUAUGUUCUUGUGUAUUUACUAUUGUAUUUAGUGCUUCUUAUUUAUAUGGUCAAUAAAUGAUUACAUUAAGAUUGUGUUUGAUUGACAUGGAAAAUAUUACCUAAAAAAGAAAAUGUUUUCCAUUUUUUGUGGAAAAUAAAAAUCACCUCUACCCAAGGAAAAUAUUUUCCUUAAAAAUAAGGAAAAUUAGGCAUAUUUUCAAAAGUUGGAAAAUAUUUUCCAUGGAAAAAAAUAGCAAUCAAACAUUUCAAGUAGAAAUUUGGGUGAAAAACUCUUAUUUUCCAUGGAAAAUAAAUGUAAUCAAACACACCCUAAGUGAUUGUAUAAUUGUUGAGAGACAUGCAUUUUAGACUAAAAUAUUAAAUACUCUAGUUUCUUGCUAGAGAUAGAAAAUAUACUCCUAACCAUAUGUGAUUAUUGAACUAUUUUCGUAGAGAUUUAAUGCGAUUGAUUGAGCUUUAAUCGAUAUAGAGAAAUAAUAGGUUAAACUAAUUAAUCUAAUUUUACUCAAUAGAGACAAAUAGUUAAAAUUGAAAAUCGAGUUAAGUAAUUAAGUAAUUUGCCUUUUGGCAUAUUGAAAAAUUAAUUAGACGACAAUUAAGUGAAAUCAUGAAUCCCAACUAUUUUAUCAUAAAAAAUAUCAACAUCUUUUAAAUUUGAUAUUUUUGUUGAACUUAAAGCUAUUUCUCUCUUACUUUAAAAAUCAAAUUCAAUUGUUUGUAUUCCGUUGUUAAAAUUAAAUUAACUAUCAUGUAAUAAAGGAAAAAUUUCUCGUGAGAAUGAUAACUUGAGCUCAUGCGUGUGCAUAAAAUACACAUUUUUAUCGAAUAGCGUGUUAAACGUGAUAAAAGGUUCACUUGUCAUUUUCAAAGGUACCAAAAGGAAUGAAAUUUGUGUUGCUAAAGCUAAUGCAGUACUUAAUCGCACUGCUUAGGCCUCUAAUGCUGAAUUGAUGCUAUUUUAAAGUGGUACAAUAUGCUAACAUAUGUUAGUGAAAAAAGGUCUUCAAAUUCUUCGCGAACAUGAAUUGUUUGGAAAAGAUUUUAUUUGAAAAGUUUCCUUUUUUGAAUUUUUCACUUCUAUCAAACAACAUAGGCUGUAUUUUAGUCUUGAAAUACGUAAGUACAUUUCUAUUUUAGAAUAUAUACAUUCUAAUCUUAUGGUCCUUCAUCUGUUGUUACUCAAUAAGGGAAUAAAUAUUUCUUUCCUUGACUUUUCAAGGAAAGUCUGAAUUUUCUUAUUAAUCAUAAAUCAGAUACUUUUGAUAGAAAAUCAGAUUGGUUAAAAGAUUAAAAUUCUAAGAACAAACAAUGGCAUUGAGUUCUACAAUUCUAGUUUUGAUCAAUUCUGCAAACAAAAUGGUAUUCUACGAUACAAAAUGCAUCUUAUACUCCAUUCCGUACCUGACUUUGUUGAUGAAAUUUGGGUGAAAAGUGAAUUAAGAAAUUUUACUCAUUCUAGGACAAUAGGAGGCAGUGUUUAGAUUCGAUGGGAUGAGGGAGAAAAGUAAUCUAUCUAAGAUGAUUAUCAAUUAACUAAAGAUAGAAUUAGAAGAAAGAUAAGAGAACCAUCUAGAUUUAGGGAUUAUCUUUCUCUUGCUGUCCUUUCCCUUCGAGAUCUAGCCUUUUAAGAGCAUAAAUCAUAUGUAUUGCGAAAUUAUUGUUCUUUCGCUUAAAAUAACGCAAGUGCAUAGUUUGUUAACUAGUAGUAAAAUGAAUUUUUGAAUCCAUGUAUUGUGCUCACAAAGUUUGUUUUGGUUCUAGUUCGAAUUAACUUAGCUUUAACCAAAACAAUAGAAUUUUGUGAUUUUAAUAACUAAAUUGUGAUCUAAUUAUGAAUGCAAGACCUAAUAAAAUCAAUGCAGAGUUGUAAUGAAUGUAAGUGUUAUGAAAAGAUGAUGAUGAAAAGCGUACUAUGAUCCUGAAGUCCCUUGUAUAAAUCCCCUUUAACCUUAAAAUUUAUAAUUUGAUAACAUGAUUCAAAAAUGAAAAUCAAUAUUUCUAAAUUGUUUAACAAUUUUUCUCUAGUAGAAUUAAACCUAUUUUCAUAUGUGGCCCGACUAUAUUUCUAUAACGGAUGUAAACUUGCAAGAAUCCAUUAAAAACUUAUGAAUAGUUAAAGAUCAUGUAAAGUAUAGUGGUAUAUUUCUAUCCUUUAUUGGAUCCUACGACGACUAACAAUAUUUCUAACUUAUUUUCCACCUUUUGAAGGUAAAACAAGACCCAAUAUUCGUACAAUCAAUUUACACAUAAUUGUAAAGAAAAUAAUUCUAUGGAAAAUCGUUCAAUAAUAAAAAAUAUGUUUGAAUGUCAAAAGAAAUAAAAUUAAGAAUUAAAGGUUCAUAAUACAAAAUUCAUCGAAAUUCUAGUAAAAAAAUACUUAGUGUUGGGAAAUUGCCUCAAAAGUCAAAAGUUGGAGAACUUCUAUUGCAAAUAAUAAAAGGUAAUCAUUGUAUGGAAUACUUCUAAUUAAAUUUGAGAGCAGAAUCCUUACAAUACUUGAUCUCCAAAUUAUAGCCGGUUUUGGAGUUUUGCACAUAAAGAAGUCCUUGUUUGAGUUGAAAUUAAACUCUUCUACUUGGUUAUUGAUUCUAUAAAUACUGGACAUAUUUCAUUAUUUCGGGUGUGGCUUGAGAGUUGAUUUGAGAGAAAAAUAUUGUGAGUCUAGCUAUUAGAUUAUCCAGAAGCUUGCUAUUGUAAGUACUACCUAUUAUGGUUAUCUUGGAUAUUCUUAUCAUUGGGAAUAAUUAUACUUGAUUUUGAUUGUUAUCAAAGAUCUUUAUUUUUAGCAACCAAUCAAUAAAUAUGAAAAGAGAUUUGAUUUUACCAUAAAAUUGCAGAAAAUGUAAUUAAGAUAUGAUUUGGUUGAAAUUCAAACAUAAAGAUUUUUUCUUAUUGAUUCAAUGCUUCUCUUACAGCUUAGUUGGCCAUCGGGAAUUGUGUGGUGAGCAAAUCAAAGAACACAUGAAGAACGAUAGGAUUGAGUAUGCCAUUAGAUUAUCCAGAAGCUUGCUAUUGUAAGUGCGGCAAUAAUCUCUUUAUGCCUAAGUUGUAUUAAAAUUUUAUUCCUAAUUUUGUUUCAUUUUGAAGCUCCUUUUAUUUGGGUGGUGUAGUAUCACAUUCUAAUGUUUAAGUGUAUGGAUUCAAAUAUUUGUAAUGAAAUUAUCAAUUUUUAUGCAAUUCUAAAAUUUGUUCAGAAGAAGUCAUUUCAAUUUUGCGAGUCAAUUUAUAUAAAUUACUGUGAUAAAUAAAAAAUAAAAAUACCUUCGGCAAUGGUCGAAAACUUUUGCGAAAGGAUUUUUUACAAUGUCAAAAAAACGUUGCGAAAAUGUUUUUUGCAAUGUUCGAAAAAUGUUACGAAAUGGUUUGCAACGUUCGAAAAAUGUUGCGAAGAGUUUUUUGCAACGUUUGCCGUAUUCUUCUAUCCUAUGGCAAUAUCAGGAUUUGCAACAUGCGGUCAAACGUUGCAAAAUUUCUUUAACAAUGUUUUUUUGUAUGUUGCGAAAUGCUAUUUUUGUUGUAGUGACGAGUGAAUUUGAUCAUUGCUUAUAUCUUAAAAAGGAAUGAUGAAAAUUAGGUGAUUAUUUAUCUAUUGUUACAUGUAGAUGACCUGAUAUUAAUUGGUAAUGACUUGAGUAAUAUAAACAAGACUAAAAGAUCUAUAAGUAAUGAAUUUUAAAUGAAAGAUUUAUGACAUACUAGAAGAAUUUUUGGAAUGGAUAUUUCGAUAAAUAUGUCAAAACAGGUUUUAAUUUCUAAAUAAAUUUUUUGUGUAGAAAAGGAUUUAUCAAAAUUUUACAUGCAUGAUUCUAAAUUUGUAACUUUGCCACUCGUUGGACAUUUCAAAUUAAGUAAAGAUUAGUCUUCUAUUGAUAAUAUUUGAAAUAAGAUGCAAGAAAGAAGUACAUUAUGUAAGGUUAUAAGAUUUGUUACAUAUUCUAUGGUGUGUACUAGACCUGUUUAUACUAUUAGUACCCUAAGAAGGUUUUUGACUUAUCUAGAACCUAAAUACUCCAUACUUUAAAUUGUCUAUUGAGAUAUUUCGGAGGCGUCUUCACAAUUAGGUUUAUGUUUUAAUACUUGUAAUAAAGAUGUAGAACUUAAUGAUUAUUGCUUAUAUGUUUGCUUUUUGUGGAACUUGUAUUAGUUGAAAAUCUCAGUUGCAAUCUAUUAUUGUUUUAUUUACUACAAAAGUUGAGUAUGUAGUUGCAAUUGAGGCUAAAAAAGAAGUGUAAUGGUUAAAAUGUUUGUUAUCUAAAAAAUAAUGAACUCUAUAAUCUAGUUAUAGUUUACUCAACAGUCAAAUUGCUAUUGUUUAUGUAAAAAUCAUGUUUUUUAAUGAAAGAACUAAGUACAUCAAUGUGAAAUUACAUUUUAUUAGAGAUAUUACUACAAAAGAAUCUUUAUCUCUUGAAAAAAAUCCCAACUGAACACAACCCAUAUGAUAUUGGAACUAAUGUGCUGUCUCUAAACAAGUUUAAGUCUUGUUUAAAAAUGUUAAACGUUGAUACUUUCUAAGUUCUUCUUGUAACUAUAUAACUUGGUGCUUAGUGGUGAUAGAAGUUUCUGACAAUUUGAUUAAUAGUUAAUCUAAAGGACAUUUGUAAUACUAUUAGAAUCAAGGUAGAGAUCUGUUGGGAUGUGAUGUUAAUCCGACCUAACUAAGCAAUGAUGAAAGAGCAUUGGUCAAAUUGCUAUAUCUAUUUCUGGAUAAAAUCAAAGUCAUGAAGCUCCAAACUAGGAUCCAUAUUAAUGGAGUAAAUCGUGUUUCUAAAGUGCAACUUUAGUUGCCUCUUAAACUUGAUAAAGUAUUAGUUGCUCAGAAUCGUUGAUCUUAAUCGGAGAUCAAUGAUGGUCACUGAGGGUGUAAAUAAAGUCCAUCACUGUUGCCCUAAUUCAUUAGAAGCAGCUGAUUUAUUUUGGUCCAUUUCUGUAAUUUUUUGAUGCCUUGAUAAAAAGAUAUAGGGUUAUAAUUUUCUUUUAAAAUGAUCUGUAAAUUGGUGUCCAUUACUAUAAUAUUUUUGUAUGAUCGGAAUCUAAUCGAUUAUGAUAUUGUACUUACAGAAUUCAGGACAACAAUAAUACUAGGGUUAUACUCACGAAAGGGUAACAAAAUGGGAAAAAGGCAACAAUACAAAAAAGAUGAAAAAUAUAAUUUUCUAAUUUACUGACCAAUAGAAUUUUCAUCAGUAAAUAAAUAAUAAAAGAAAAACUGAUUAUUAUUUUAGAGAAUCCUAUCAUAAUGGAACUUCGAUCAUAAAAAUAAUUUAAAAUUACAAAUUGAUUUUCAAUUGGUAAAAUAAAAAUAUUAUUAUUUUGAUAAACUUAAAUUAAUAAUAAAAAUUUGUCAGUAAAUGAAAAAAUAAUAUAAAAUGGAAUACUUAAAAAGAAAGAAUUGUUGAGAACAAAUUAACAAUUAAAAAUAACAUAUUUGUAACUUGGUAAUAAUAUAAAUAAAUUUAAAGAUAAUAUAAAAUUAUUUUAAAAAGUGGUAACUAGUACAAAAUGUGACCACCUCUAAUUGACCGUCAUCUCGGUCUAUUUUUGUGAAAAAGUUCAUUUUUGUCACUUGUCAUCCAUUUGUCCCAUUUAAUUGACGCGUACUCUACAAAUAACAUAACGUAGAAGGGCAAAAAUGUAAAUCAUCUUAAUCCUUAUUAUUUAUUUAGUUUUAGUAAAAAUAAUAUUAAAAAAAUGUAAUGAAAAAUAAAAUUCCAAAAAGCAUCUUCUACAAAGCCCCAUACACAAUAAAUGUCAUGUUUCUGGGGAAGGUGACUAUAUUGUACCAUCUCCACCUUUCGAAAAACUAAGCCAUGUUGUUCAUGAAGUAUAAUGUACUCUACUUUCCAUUAGCCAAUUUGCACGCCAUGGCUUCGGCUUCUUGUUCAAAAUACUCUUAAAUAUUUGCUAAAGUUUGGCCACGUUACCCCAUAUCUGGUAAAUCUUGGACAAACCCAACCCCCCCCCCCCCCCCCACACACACACACACAAUUGCUUUAUGAAUAAUAACUUGGAGAUACUGUAGCGCGUAUACGUUAAUAUUUACAUGGUUGGGGGAAACACACUCAAAAUUCAACAAUUGAUUCGUUCAUUGCCUAAUUAUUUUGAAAUCAUAGUAUAAAUACCAUAAUUUAUAGCUUUUUAAGUAGCAUAUAAUUAUGUUCUUUUUACUUAUUUCAAUUCAUAUGUUUAGCCUGCUUUUGUUGUCUCUUCCACCUCCAUGGAAAUAAUGUUCCAUUCUUAAUAAGUUUUAUAACCCUUUUGUUUUUCUAUUCUACUCAUUGUGCUCAUGUUUAUAAAAAAAUUAGGAUAACAUGCAACAUGUUUAUUGUAAUGUUAGUGCCUCAGUUGUAAAAUAUUUAAAAGAUGAUUAUUUUUCGUCACUACCAAAAAAAUAUUUUUCGUUAGAAGUUAAAUCUUGUGUUCAAUUAAUUUUAAACUGGUGUUAUAAGGCCAUCAAGCACGACAAUAAAUUAAAACAUAUAAAGGACAAUUACAAAAUAUUACAAUAUUUCUAUGUUCCGGUGCUAGUGAAAUAAAUAAAUACUAAUGGGAAGUGUCACAUUGAUACUGAAUCACUGAUCAAUCCAACUAACAAAUAUAUCGUAUUUUUAUUUUAUUUUAUUUUAAUAGUCAAAUUAGGUCAUGCCAGAAAAUAUUUUCUAUUAUUGAACAAGAAGUCUUCUUUAAUCAUGUUCAAGGAAUUAUUAAUUCAUAACAUGGAAGACAGCAUGUGAAGCUUUUCUUCGAGGAAAUAUAUGUAUUUUUUCUAUUGGAACAUACAUAUGGGUUGUUGUACCAUUUUUUGAGGUUUUGAGCAAAAAUGAAUCAUUUACAACGUGUUUGGCUCCCAUUUUUUUAAAUUUACUUUUCCUUAAAUUCAGGGGCGGAGUCAGAAAUUUUUUUCAGUGCGGACACAAAUUUUUUCUCCCAACCAACUUUUCUUACAUGGAGGAACCCGCUUUGUCCCAAAGUUGAAUUUUAGCAAAAAGGAAAUUUUCUCCCAAAGUUGAGUGCACUCAACUAUACAUGGUUCCGCCCCUGCUUAAAUUCAUUUUCAAAUAUACGUUUUAUGGUGCUCUCAACUUUUUAUUCACAUAUUUCAUUAGAUUUUAUCAAUAUUUUCUAAAAUUUGAUUUUUAGCCAAAUUGAACAAAGACUAAUUGCACGAAACAAUAAGUCCAUGUUUGGCCCCAAUUUUUUAAUUUUUAUUCCUAUAUUCAUUAUCAAAUCAUAUAUUUCAUGAAACGAACAACUUUUAUCAACUUUAUAAUCACAUAAUUUAUUAACUUUUAUUAAAAUCUACUAAAAUUAAGAUUUUUAGCCACACCAAACAUAAGCUAUGUUAGAAUGAGUUGUGAAGAACAAGACGUUGAUGACUCAUUUUUAUUUUUUUAAUGCUUGUUGAAUAGUUACUUUGACCUCUGACUAUUUUAAGAUUAAAUUAGUGUUUGGACAUAUAAACGUGACCAUUUUUAAAUUAGAGUUGGACCUACAAAUUAGUAGGAACAUGUGAAGAGUGUUCAUGUACCAUACAGUCCAUACAAUCAAUACAAUAACACGAACAUUAUUAGUUAUUUGAAGCGCCAAGAAAAAUUGAAAUUGAGAAAAUAUAAAUUUGUAACUACAAUUUUAAUAAGACUACUUAAAGUGACGAGUUUAUCAAUCUAUUCACAAUUAAAAAUCCCGAUUGCUGCAUACACAUACAUAUGUAUGUGUGUGCGCGCACAAAAAGAGAGAGAGAGAAGAAAACCACUUUUUAAUUCGCAUCAAACAUGGGCUAAAAUUGAGCAAUUCGAUUGAGAUUUGGCGAAAGUUGUAAUUUGUUGUUUAUUUUACCCUAAGAGUAUGUUAGAAUGAAUUUAUUUUUCGUUAAAAAUGUUAUUUUUUCAUUCAAAUUCCUACUUUUGGACGUUUGAUUAAUAAUUUAUUUUUAUGAAAAAGUAUUUCCAACUUUUGAUCACGUGACCACAUUUUUCUCAAAAAUAAGAAAAAUAUUUUCUCCAGGAAGGGAUGAUUUUUAUUUUUCAGGUAAUUCACUUUUUUUCUCUCAUAUUUGACCCCUCCCUUCUUUAUCCAUCAAUAACAAAUGGAUACAUAUAAUAUUUUUUAGGUUAAAAAUUACAUUUAUUUAAUAAUUUCCAUACAAAUAUUUUAUAAACAAUUGAUUUGUUUAAAAUUUAUUUUAUUUUCAUGCAAAUUUCAUAUUUGCAAUCAAAUGCACCUAAUCGAGUAUCAAGAAAAAUCCUUUUUUUAUUUUGACAUCGGUGGCCACAACCCAGACAAAAUCCUAUAAUAACAGAAAAAAUUUAAAAUUAGUAAAUUUAACCAAUAAUCACUGAACUUUACACUUGAUUACUACUUGCUCACUCAUCUUUCAAAUAUUACUGAAUGAUCACUCAUCUUUUCAUAUAAUUACUCAUUCGCCACUCGUCUCUUCAAAUAAUUGGGCUACUUUUACGGCAAAUUUUCGACAACUUCCGACCACAAAGAAUGUCGAAUUUUGAUACCGUUGGAAAGCCCACAAUGUCCUCUUCAAUUACCACCUAAAAUCUCAUUAUAACUCCAAGGGAUUCAAUCGAAAAAUUGCCUUAAAAUUCGCCCAAAAAUUCUGAAAAUCUGCCCAGAUUUUCAGAUUUUUUGGGCGACUUUUAAGGCAAUUUUUCGGCAACUUUCGACCAUCAAAACUAUCUAAUUUUGAUACCAUUGGAAAGCCCACAAUGUCCUCUUCAAUUACCCCCCAAAAUUUCCCGAUAACUCCAAAGGAUUCGGUCGGAAUAAAUCCACAAAGUCAGCAUCUUGAAAAGGCGAAAAUCUGGNNNNNNNNNNNNNNNNNNNNNNNNNNNNNNNNNNNNNNNNNNNNNNNNNNNNNNNNNNNNNNNNNNNNNNNNNNNNNNNNNNNNNNNNNNNNNNNNNNNNNNNNNNNNNNNNNNNNNNNNNNNNNNNNNNNNNNNNNNNNNNNNNNNNNNNNNNNNNNNNNNNNNNNNNNNNNNNNNNNNNNNNNNNNNNNNNNNNNNNNNNNNNNNNNNNNNNNNNNNNNNNNNNNNNNNNNNNNNNNNNNNNNNNNNNNNNNNNNNNNNNNNNNNNNNNNNNNNNNNNNNNNNNNNNNNUUUCACAUAUUACUGAAUGCUCACUCAUCUUUUCAUAUAAUUACUCAUUCAUCACUCGUCUCUUCAAAUAAUUGGGUGACUUUUACGGCAAAUUUUCGACAACUUCCGACCACAAAGAAUGUCGAAUUUUGAUACCGUUGGAAAGCUCACGAUGUCCUUUUCAAUUACCACCCAAAAUCUCAUUAUAACUCCAAGGGAUUCGAUCGAAAAAUUGCCUUAAAAGUCGCCCCAAAAAUCUGAAAAUCUGCCCAGACUUUCAGAUUUUUGGGGCGACUUUUAAGGCAAUUUUUCGAUCGAAUCCCUUGGAGUUAUAAUGAGAUUUUGGGUGGUAAUUGAAAAGGACAUCGUGAGCUUUCCAACGGUAUCAAAAUUCGACAUUCUUUGUGGUCGGAAGUUGUUGAAAAUUUGCCGUAAAAGUAGCCCAAUUAUUUGAAGAGACGAGUGGUGAAUGAGUAAUUAUAUGAAAAGAUGAUUGAGCAUUCAGUAAUAUUUGAAAGAUGAGUGAGCAAGUAGUAAUCAAGUGUAAAGUUCAGUGAUUAUUGGUUAAAUUUACUCAAUUUAAAACUGUUGUCGUUUCAUGGGUCGAAGGACCUGUUUGUCCAAUUUUGAGUUCUGCCACAUUUCAACUUUCGCUCUCUCUCCCUCUCAACAAAAAACUCUUUCCAAUCCAUAUAUUUCGCUUCUUCUGUUUCUUCUCGAAAGUUUUCUCAUGCAUCCACUUUGAGCAAAAAAUUUCAUCAAAUUUCGCACUUGCCACCUGCAUUUUUCCUUUUCCACCCGCCAAAAUCUAAGACUGUACGUAAAUUAGAGAAGAUUUUGUACUGAAAAAGCGAGAAUUUUGGUUCAUAAUGGCUGGGAAUCGAGAAAAUUUGAGGGCUUUUAGACCUUUACUAACAGUUGUAUGGAGCUUUCUGUUAGCUUCAAUAUUUGUUUCUGCUGAAGGAAGAAGCUUAAAGCAGAAUUUUUUAGCACAUAAUGCAAAUGGGUUUUCACAUUCUGAUUUAGAUAUUUUAACAAAUUAUCAGAAUUUUACACGGCAAGCCAACAAAUCUGGUUACCAGCACGUUUGGCCGGUGUGUUAAAUCUUUGAUUCUUUUAGUUUUUAAUUUUCAAAUUCAAUUUGUUUUGUGCUUUAAUGUAUUUGAAUUGAGUUCGAUCUGGAAUUUUAUUUUCCUAUUAUUUUUGCAUGAUAUGUUUGUUUUUUGAUAUUGGAAUUUGGAGGCUGGGAUGAAUAAUUUGGAUUCAGUUUUUUUCAGAAUUGAUCUUUGGGAAUCCUUAGGAUUUUGUUCUUAGGUUUCUUCAUAGGUUGUUGAGUCUUGGAGGCCUUUGCGUUGGUUCGAUCGAAGUAUUAACAAGUGUUAAUACAUUUAUACUUGAGCAUACAUAUUUGUUCUUGUAUGCCGGUAUGUGAACUUCUUAACGGUGAUAUCCAUAUGACCAGAACAGAGUAACUUUUGGAAAACCUCAAAGAAAUGAUUGGUUUCUUGAAUUGAUCAUAACUUUGAGUGUUUGUGUGUGAGGAAAAGAUAGUUUAUAUGUGCUUUUUUUUUUUUUGGGUCAGUGUACAUUAAUAAAUUCGUAUUACCGAUUUUUCAUGUUUUGUAAUGUGAGACAAUCUGGUAUGUCGUCUACAGGAUCUGAAAUUCAACUGGCAAAUUGUUGUUGGAAGCAUAAUUGGAUUUUUCGGAGCAUCUUUUGGAAGUGUUGGUGGCGUUGGUGGUGGUGGGGUAUUUGUUCCCAUGCUUACUCUGGUUAUUGGAUUUGAUCCGAAAUCAUCAGCUGCUAUCUCAAAAUGUGAGUUAAAAACCAUAUUGAUAUAACAUGGAACGAUUACGUAUUCGGCACGAUUGGAUAUUCCAAGUUAUUUGGUGAUUGAAUUAAUUCAAAUCCUUAUGCAUAUAGUUUUAGACAGCCUCAAUCUGAAGUUCUUAGUGUCCCUAUAAUCAAGAAGGAAGAAACUAUGCAUAUAAAAUAUUCUAACGUCCCUUUUCAGCCAUAGAAUAUCACCAACUUAUGUCUCCUUUAAAUUUAAUGGCUAAAGAUGAACUGAAUAUUUCCUUAGAUAAGUUAAGUUUGGUUGUAUGGAGUUGUAAAUGUCGUUUCUAAAUUGACAGGUAUGAUCAUGGGAGCUGCAGUCUCGACUGUUUGCUAUAAUCUUAAGCUCAGGCAUCCAACUAUUGAUAUGCCAAUUAUCGACUAUGACUUGGCUGUUCUCAUCCAACCUAUGCUUAUGCUAGGCAUUAGUAUCGGAGUUGCAUUCAAUGUGGUAUCAAAAUUAGAUAGUUUUGAUGGUCGAAAGUUGCCAAAAAAUUGCCUUAAAAGUCGCCCAAAAAAUCUGAAAAUCUGGGCUCACUUAUCUUUCAAAUAUUACUGAAUGCUCACUCAUCUUUUCAUAUAAUUACUCAUUCACCACUCGUCCCUUCAAAUAAUUGGGCUACUUUUACGGCAAAUUUUCAAUAAAGUCGCCCAAAAAAUCUAAAAAUCUGCCCAGUUUUUCAGAUUUUUGGGGCGACUUUUAAGGCAAUUUUUCGAUCGAAUCCCUUGGAGUUAUAAUGAGAUUUUGGGUGGUAAUUGAAAAGGACAUCGUGAGCUUUCCAACGGUAUCAAAAUUCGACAUUCUUUGUGGUCGGAAGUUGUUGAAAAUUUGCCGUAAAAGUAGCCCAAUUAUUUGAAGAGACGAGUGGUGAAUGAGUAAUUAUAUGAAAAGAUGAUUGAGCAUUCAGUAAUAUUUGAAAGAUGAGUGAGCAAGUAGUAAUCAAGUGUAAAGUUCAGUGAUUAUUGGUUAAAUUUACUCAAUUUAAAACUGUUGUCGUUUCAUGGGUCGAAGGACCUGUUUGUCCAAUUUUGAGUUCUGCCACAUUUCAACUUUCGCUCUCUCUCCCUCUCAACAAAAAACUCUUUCCAAUCCAUAUAUUUCGUUUCUUCUGUUUCUUCUCGCAAGUUUUCUCAUGCACCCACUUUGAGCAAAAAAUUUCUUCAAAUUUCGCACUCGCCACCUGCAUUUUUCCUUUUCCACCCGCCAAAAUCUAAGACUGUACGUAAAUUAGAGAAGAUUUUGUACUGAAAAAGAGAGAAUUUUGGUUCAUAAUGGCUGGGAAUCGAGAAAAUUUGAGGGCUUUUAGACCUUUACUAACAGUUGUAUGGAGCUUUCUGUUAGCUUCAAUAUUUGUUUCUGCUGAAGGAAGAAGCUUAAAGCAGAAUUUUUUAGCACAUAAUGCAAAUGGGUUUUCACAUUCUGAUUUAGAUAUUUUAACAAAUUAUCAGAAUUUUACACGGCAAGCCAACAAAUCUGGUUACCAGCACGUUUGGCCGGUGUGUUAAAUCUUUGAUUCUUUUAGUUUUUAAUUUUCAAAUUCAAUUUGUUUUGUGCUUUAAUGUAUUUGAAUUGAGUUCGAUCUGGAAUUUUAUUUUCCUAUUAUUUUUGCAUGAUAUGUUUGUUUUUUGAUAUUGGAAUUUGGAGGCUGGGAUGAAUAAUUUGGAUUCAGUUUUUUUCAGAAUUGAUCUUUGGGAAUCCUUAGGAUUUUGUUCUUAGGUUUCUUCAUAGGUUGUUGAGUCUUGGAGGCCUUUGCGUUGGUUCGAUCGAAGUAUUAACAAGUGUUAAUACAUUUAUACUUGAGCAUACAUAUUUGUUCUUGUAUGCCGGUAUGUGAACUUCUUAACGGUGAUAUCCAUAUGACCAGAACAGAGUAACUUUUGGAAAACCUCAAAGAAAUGAUUGGUUUCUUGAAUUGAUCAUAACUUUGAGUGUUUGUGUGUGAGGAAAAGAUAGUUUAUAUGUGCUUUUUUUUUUUUUGGGUCAGUGUACAUUAAUAAAUUCGUAUUACCGAUUUUUCAUGUUUUGUAAUGUGAGACAAUCUGGUAUGUCGUCUACAGGAUCUGAAAUUCAACUGGCAAAUUGUUGUUGGAAGCAUAAUUGGAUUUUUCGGAGCAUCUUUUGGAAGUGUUGGUGGCGUUGGUGGUGGUGGGGUAUUUGUUCCCAUGCUUACUCUGGUUAUUGGAUUUGAUCCGAAAUCAUCAGCUGCUAUCUCAAAAUGUGAGUUAAAAACCAUAUUGAUAUAACAUGGAACGAUUACGUAUUCGGCACGAUUGGAUAUUCCAAGUUAUUUGGUGAUUGAAUUAAUUCAAAUCCUUAUGCAUAUAGUUUUAGACAGCCUCAAUCUGAAGUUCUUAGUGUCCCUAUAAUCAAGAAGGAAGAAACUAUGCAUAUAAAAUAUUCUAACGUCCCUUUUCAGCCAUAGAAUAUCACCAACUUAUGUCUCCUUUAAAUUUAAUGGCUAAAGAUGAACUGAAUAUUUCCUUAGAUAAGUUAAGUUUGGUUGUAUGGAGUUGUAAAUGUCGUUUCUAAAUUGACAGGUAUGAUCAUGGGAGCUGCAGUCUCGACUGUUUGCUAUAAUCUUAAGCUCAGGCAUCCAACUAUUGAUAUGCCAAUUAUCGACUAUGACUUGGCUGUUCUCAUCCAACCUAUGCUUAUGCUAGGCAUUAGUAUCGGAGUUGCAUUCAAUGUGAUAUUUUCUGAUUGGAUGGUCACUGUUCUUUUAAUCAUUCUCUUUAUAGGUAAUUAAAGUUUGUGUUACAAUUGGUUUGUUACGUAUCCUGCUUCAGUGUCUCUUUUUUAAUAUAAUAUGACACUUGCAGCAACAUCAAGUAAGGCCUUUUUCAAAGGAGUUGAAACAUGGAAAAAAGAAACUCUUGUGAAAAAGGUAAUCAUUUCAACUUUUUUACACAGUUUGGUUGUAUUUUGGUGUCUUAUGUUAUUCACACUUGUGGCAUGAAUCUCAUUGGUGAGGGUUCAAAUUAAUUGAGUAGUGGCAAAAUCUAAGUGCAAUGUAUUUUCAUAUUUUUUCUUCCUGUCCUUCUUGGUAUAGCUGGUCUUUCUCUUUCAUAUUAAAUGCCAAUUUUUGUAUUGGUGCAGGAGACUGUAAAGCAAUUGGAGGCAAGUGGUGAGUUCAUUGAAGCAUUUUUGUUCAUUGUAUUGUCGAAUACAAUUUAAUAUUGCAGACCAAACAUGCAUUAAGGAUCACCUUUUAUUUUCUGUUCAUUUCUCCUUUUUGGCCCAUAAUUUCCCUACUAAAAAUAAAGCAUGCAUUUUUCCUGUUCUGCCAGGCAAUGUUACAGAAGAAGCAGAUAAUAAGCUUCAUAGUGGAGGCCUUAGUAAUGACACGGAAAAUGAAGCCAAAGACUUGGCAAAACCCAAGGUGUGAUAUAUUUGCAGACGAGUGUGCAUUUCCUGAACUCUAAUAUAUGACACAACUCACAAUCUCAGGUCGGUAUCCUUGAGAAUGUACGUUGGAAUGAACUUGGUCUUCUUGUCUUCGUUUGGAUGGCAUUUCUUGCAGUCCAGAUCAUCAAGGUUUUCACUUUUUUCUAUUUCCUUGCAAACAUUAUUUUUACUUUCAGGAACCUCCAAUUGGGUUACUUAACUAGUUAGUAUCUCUGAAACACACUCAUUCAUCAUCAAAUUGAACAGAACUAUACAGCUACAUGUUCAGCAAUGUACUGGGUAAUGAACUUGCUGCAGGUAUGUGUACAAGGUUAUCUGCAUAUUUGGGAAACUUGUAGCCGAUUCUGCAAUAUGUUAAUGCUCUUGUUAUACUUAUUUCUUGAGCAUUCCAAACUACCAUUCUCUGCUCUGCAGAUCCCUGUGUCUCUUGGCGUAUCUGGUUAUGAAUCAAUUUGCCUAUACAAGGGAUGGAGAAAAAUUGCAUCUAAGGGAGAUGGAGGGUCCAACUUGAAAGUGCACCAGUUGAUAAUCUAUUGCUUGUUAGGCGUAUUGGCUGGUACAGUGGGUGGUUUACUGGGUGUGGGAGGUGGAUCUAUCAUGGGUCCGCUAUUUUUGGAGUUAGGCGUUCCACCUCAGGUGAGUUUGAGAUCAUUCUAAAAUAAUGUUACAGACCCAGUUUUCUGAAAAAAGUUGAGCUGACCCCAAAUUUAUUUAGGACAACACUUAGUGAGUUUGGUAAUCAAUUUUUAGUCCUACGGACGUGCUUAAAGGUUUCAGUUGUCCUGAUGUUUAAACAAUCCUACAAAGAUUCUGGAAUUUUAUUUCCUUUCCUUCAUCAUUAAAUAUAAGAAACUUCAUUUUCUUGUUUGUCAAAUGUGAGAGGUGGAGAACAUGUCUGAUAUCCAUACCUUCAUUCAGGUUGCAAGUGCAACGUCCACCUUUGCUAUGAUGUUUUCCUCAUCAAUGUCCGUGGUUGAAUAUUACCUUCUAAAACGUUUUCCAGUUCCAUAUGGUAAGUGCAUGUCCAACUAAGCGUGCAAGUCUUGUGAAUUGCAUAGUACUCAACAGAAGUUUAAGUUUUUAUUUAGGGUUUGUUUGAGCUCCAUUUUUGUCAAAAAAAUACAUUUUUGACCAGUAUAUUGAUGGAAAAUGUGUGAUUAAAAAAAUAAUGAAACGUUUUGCGUUUGCGUGUAAUAUUAUUUUAUUUAAAAAUGUGUGAUUGAAAUGAGAUUAAAAUAUUAUUCGAGAAUGCGUUUUUUUUUUUGACAAAAAUACGAGGCUCGAACAAGGGUUUAGUAAUGUGUACCAGACAUUCAUUGAUUGUUCAAUCUCGACAAUAAGUAAACUUGUAUUGGUCCUUAUAUAACAGUUAUUUAAAUUUUUUUAAUAUAUAUAUAAUUUUUUUUCCCAAAUUUGUAUUGGAUCAAUGGUUUCUGCAUUUAUGUGUUCAGCUCUUUGCUUGGUUGUUGUUGCCACUGUUGCUGCAUUUAUUGGCCAACACGUCGUGAGGAAGGUGAUCAUUAUAAUGGGACGGGCAUCAAUAAUCAUCUUUGUUUUGGCAUCUAUAAUCUUUGUGAGUGCCAUCUCUCUAGGUGAGUAGUUUCAUUCACCAUUUUUAUAUCAGUUAAAAUCAUGAAUUUCUUCAGAGUUCUGUUUUUCAAUUAUUUAAACUUGAAGCAACGAUAAAUUUGUCCGCUUGCAAUUGUUUACUAGAUCCAUUAACUAGCUUUUAGUACACACUUAAAUGCUUGUAUAAUUGUAUAUAUCCAUACUUAUUUUUUUGCAAAACAGGUGGCGUUGGCAUUUCAAACAUGAUUGGAAAGAUAGAAAGACAUGAAUACAUGGGAUUUGAGAACCUUUGCAAGUAUAAUGUUUAACAUGCUACUUCGAAUUCUUCUUGUUAUAUUGUUACCAUUUCCAUUCUCGAUCCUGUUGCCGUCCUUGUCGAGGGGGAUGGGGUGGGUGUGAGCGCGAGAGUGCUUGCUUCUUUAGAUCAGUUAGGAUCAAAUGUCUUUCUGUUAUUUGCUUUGUUUCAUUGUUUGUUAUCGGAUAUCAGCUCAAAUAGACAUUGAAAAGAAAUUUUCAUGGUUUGGCUUCUACUUUUGUUAUUGUCUUAAAGAUUGAGGUAGAUGAUUAGUUAAAAGUUAAUUAACAAAUUUUUACUAAGCCGAUUUUAAUUGCAAAAUCCAAUUAAAUAUGAAGUAAAAGUAUUAUACUUUUUAUUAUAAUCUAUUUUCUUUUAACAAAUUUAUUUUAAUCAAGUUCAAAUCACAUGUAAUGACAUCUUAGACAAACUGCACAAAGAAUAAAUGGUUGAUUAUUGAAAUCCAUGUUGUCGACAAAUUGAAUCAAAGCAACUCUUAGUCCCUUUCCUCCCACUCAAUUAUUUAACUUGAUCAAAAGCCGUGUCGUAAUCCAACAAGUCAUACGUGAGCUAAGCACAUGUAUAGAGUAUUAUCCCCUACCUAGUGAAUUGUUAGAUCUCAUGAACUAAAUAAUAAUAGGGAUGGCAAAUGAGCCCAUUGGUUCGGCAACCCGCCCAAGGCCAAAAUUUGGGACUUGGCUCGAGCCUAGCCGGCCUGACUAGCCGCACAGGGCCAUUUUGGCCCCUGUCACAGGCCAAAAUUCAUUCGCGUACAGAACACACUUGCUCCACUGGCUGUUUCUUGAACACUAGUCCAAGAUAAUCAAAACUAGAAGUAACUUGCAAUUCUUUUCCAGUUCCCCAACAAAAAUAAUUCUAUUUCUUGUUUCUGCUUCCCUUCAUAAUUAAUGUGAGUAAAGUACCAAAUGAAAUGAAUUUAUAAAAUUUAAUUAUCCCAUAAACAAUAAAGUCCAAGAUGAAUAAUAGACAGAAUUUACCAGUCCUCUUUGGACGCCAUCAGACUUGAUCAUGAUAAAAUUUUGCUCCAUGGUUGUUGUUUCUUGAAGCCGCCAAGCAUGUAAUAUUAAUUUAACAAUGACGAUAAUAAAUAUUUUCUCGAGUGCAAAUACAUUUUUUGUCCUUUCACCAUUUUAGUCAUAUAACUAGUGGAAGGUUAAAUAUUUGUUGAUUAUUUUGCAAUCACAAUUAUACUUUUAAUUUACAAUUACUAUAAAUUGCAUUGUUAAAAAGAAUUUAGAAUUUAAUGAAUUUAAAAAAAUUAAAAAAAUAUGAGCCGGCUCGGCUCGCUCGAGCUAAAAGCCCGAGCCAAGCCUCAAAAUUUUAAUCGGGCUUUGGCCUUGGGUCAACUCGAGCAAAAAAGGCCUAAGCUUUUUGGCACAGCCACGAGCUUCGGCUCCCGAUCGGGCUUAGCCCAACACGUUGACACCGCUAAUAAUGAGCAUAGUUGAUAAAUAAAAUAUUUUUUUUAAACCAAAAAAAAAAGGAAAAAAGAAAAAAAAAAGUGUUAGAUAAGAUAACCAAAACUGACGUUCUUCCCCAAAUUUCUUUCAAAAUUCAAUCAAAACCCUUAACAUCAAUUUCAAAUUCAAAAAUCUCAAUUACUUGCAUUGUUAGUAUUAUACAAAACUUCGAACCAAGAAACGAAAUAACAAAAGUAACUUCAGAAUCUUGAAGCAAAUAUAGUUUUUCCCACUCGAUCUGUGAUGUAACACCGAGGAAAUCAAAAAAUGAAGGGCACAAAUUCAAAUUGCACCCGUCUAAUUGGCCAUAAAACCCUAACGGGCUCCUAAACGAUUCCCCUAUUAAUUAAAGGAAGCCACAAGUAAUCACACUGUUUCUCUGUAUACAAACAAAUUAAGAUUCCAUUUGAUAGCACCCAAUUCCAUGGAAAAUGUCACAUUGAAGGAAUUCAUUUUCUACUUUAACUGUUUGAUAGAAUUGGAGUUCGAAUUCUAAGGUAUAAACACUUAAAGUAUGUCUUUGGCCAAUUCCAUCGAAAUUGAAUUCUUAUGAUUUUGGUGGUUUUUCUUUUCCAACUUACAUGUAAUUGGUUUGUUUUUUCCACCUUUGCAAUCAAAACGAACCCUAAGUGUUUAAAUUUUCCAAAGAAAGAUAGAAGAAAUCAACUUCCAAUCAAAGGAUUUGGAAGAAGAUUACAAAGAGGAAAGAGGAGAAGAUUUCGAAAACCAACCCAAACGGUAGAACUUGGAUUAUCACCUAAUUGGACGACUAUAUAUAUAGUUUCAUCUAAACUAAUAUCUCUUAUAAAGUGUAAUUUAAUAUCUAUAUGUUUUCUUCUUUCAUGAAAAAUGAGAUUUACACAAAUGUAAAUCACUUUGACUAUUAGAAUAGACAAUAGCAAGUUUGAAAAUCAUAUUUAUUUCAAUUAAUAACCCUUAAGCCAUAAGUUUUCCUCCACAACCUUUGUAGCUAAACAUAUUUAUUCUUUGUAGUAGACAUUGCAACUAUAGGCUGAAUUAUGAUUUUCUAUUUAUACAAGUACCACAUAACGUAAACAUAUAGGCUGUGGUAGACUUAUAUUAUCUCUAUCAUCAGCAAAAUUAGUAUCAGCAAAACCCAUUAAUAUUAUUCCCUCAUUGAAGGUUUUAAAUACUAAUCUUAAAUGUGAGGUUUCUUUUUUAUAUCGAAGAAGCCACUUAGAGCCUCCAGUGUUUUGGUUUGGGACUAGUCAUGAAUCUACUUAAAAUGCUAAUAGCAUGAGCAACAUCAUGUCUUGUACAUGCCAUAGUAUAAAUGAUUGUACCUGUAACAUUAGCGUAGGGUACUUUCUCCAUAUAUCUAAUAUCAGAAUCAUCAAUUGGGCAUUAUUAUCGAAUGGCCAUACUUGUGAAAACGGUAGCAUUGAAUGUUGGACUUGUCAACUUUUUAUUCAUGAUCAUACUUGGGUUGAUGAUUACGUCAUCUGAUUCUACCUCGAGAACCAAGUGUGAAACUACCUCUUCCUCUUCCUCUUCCUCUUCCUCUUCCUCUUCCUCUGCCUUGACCACGACCUCUACUGGUGCCUUUCCUCGUAGAGUAUUCAUUAUGGGUUGAGACUUUCAAAGCUUGUUCCUCUACUCAGUGGCAGAUCCAAGAAUUUGAGUUAGCACAGGUGACCAUCAAUUGUCAACCACAAAAAAAUAUUAAGAACCCGUUUAAUAUCCCCCCCCCCCCCUUUUUUGCUUGCAAAAAAUGCAUUUUGGAAUAGUGAUUAGAUGGAUAAUAUGUAGUUAAAAAUAAGGAAAAAAAUUUGAAUUUGCGUGUAAAAUUAUUUUAUUAAAUAAUGUAUGAUUGAAAGUAAGAAAGAGAAAAAUGUAUUUUGAAAUUGAUGGGAAUAAAAAAAGGCCUAAACUUCAUAUAUAACAAUUAUUUUGUUCAAAUUGAAUCUAUAUAAAUCUGUUAUAAGAAUAAAUGAUACUCACCAAAUAACAUUGUUGCCAAGUUUUGUACAAUUCAAAGGAAGAGUACAGGUUCAAAUUUUUACAAUUGCACUAAAAUUGUUAAAACUUAACAUAUAUUAUUUUAUUAAAUUUAGCUCCAACUUCAAGAAGUACCAUAAUGGUCGAGCAUUCAAUAAUCCUUGCAAGAGUUCAUAUGUUAGAAUCCCCUCUGGUAUUCUCCCUUUGCAUUAAUUUUGGCAAAAAUUAUAGAACUAUAGUUAUUGUACAAUUUAUUGGUUGGCAAGGGAUUUGAGCCUAAGACUUCUAAUAUGUACAUCCAAGCUCUAACCAACUUGGCUAGAAGAAACAUUUUAAAUUAAAGUGAAUUACCAAUAAUAUAAGAUAAAAAUCUUAUCUAUUAUCAACCAAAAAAUAUUGCUCCCACAGAUCCAGCACGCGCGGUCGUAGGUACUCAUCAGGUGCUGGAUCUGCCACUGCCUCUACUGAACUAUUUCCCAUUCUUUCCUCAUGUGCCAAUAAUGAUCUUUAUAGUUCCACAAUCAAAAGCUCAUCUAGGUCUUUUGACUCCUCAAUUGAACAUACCACAAACAUGAAUUUUGGAGCCAUUAUAACAAUUUUCUCCACCGUGGCUAUAUCUUCAAUUUUUUCAUUAUGAAUGCACAUUUUGUUAGCAAUUGCCAGUGUUCUUGAAAAGUACUCCUCGAUAGAUUCUCCUAGCUUGAUGAAAAGAAUCUCAAAUUCUUUGUAACGAGUUUGAAGUUUUUGGCAUUUCACCCUUGUUGUGCCUUGGUAUUUUUUUUCAUGGAGUCCCAUAUUUUUUUACUAGUGUCCUUUUUGAGAAUUGUCUCUAAAAACCACAAUCUAUUGAUUGAAACACGUUAUUUUGUGCCUUUAAGUCCUUUAGAUUCUGUUUGUCUAGUUUUUAUAUUGAGCUUCAAUCAACAUCGUUCCAUAGGUAGUUCAAUCACUCUUGUUUCCAUGUAUUCUAAUAUUCUUUGGAUUGCAGAAAAUUCUCCGUCAACAUGCUCCAAUGAUCAAAGUGACCAUCAAAGAGAGGGAUUACUAGUUGCAUAUAAUUAUUAUCUGAUACCAUUGAUGCCUGCUAGCUAUUGCUAGGGCUUAACAACGAAACCACCAAAUCGCAAAAUCGAACUGAAACCACUUUUUUUAAGCAAUUGGUUUGAAUCCACAUAGAACCAUCAACAUUUUGGCUUUGAACUGAGCCAAACCACUUCAGCACAUGAAUUAGAUAUUUGAAUCCUCAAAUUGAACCAAUUACAUCAAAUUUAAAAACAUAGGAACUCACAAAUUCAGUCCACAUUUAAAUUAAACUCGAAAAUUUCAUUUGAAUCACAUGUGAACCGACCGCAACAACUUACUGUCACUAAAAGAUAAAAUAGAUCCCAACAUAUGCAUUUAAUUAUGUACUUACAAACCGAAUAAUCAAGUCAUCAAGAAAAUAUAAUCAUAGAACAAAUAUAACUCCUUAUUCAUCCAAAAUUGAAUGAAUGACUCGAUAAAAAAUUAUCAAAAUAUAUGGAUAAAUGAACAAACUUACAAAUAAAUUAACUAAGUUGAUUUAGAAAUUGGAAAAUGAUACUAACUUCAUGCAAACUCAAAAUCAUAUUCUCAACACAAUAUAACAAGAAUUUAGCUUAACGAUAACCCCUAAAACAAUAAUAUCUGAAAAGGAAUUCUAUUCAAAACACUAAAAUCAAGUAAAAUUGUCAAAAUCAUACAAUUAACACUAAACAGAGUGUACUAAAUUUUCUUACAUUAUUGCUUCCAAGUGCAGCUUAAAUAUAAUUCACUAAACGAGAAUGCAGUACAUUUUUCAUCUAUUUUCGCUUUUUAAUAAGCAAAACACAUAUGCCAUUAAGAAUUAAGUAAUUCUAUUCACAAAUCUAUUUUAAAAAAAUAAUAAUUGUUACGCUCCUAUCCGAACCACUUCGGAGAGUUUACCUCUGCCUAUUACGAGGUGUUCAGCUCCCAUCCAAAGUGGUUCCGAAGUGACUUCAUCACCAAUGUUGUUGAUUUGCUAACGCACUGCGAGGCAUAGACAAUUCUGCUGAAUUGACCGAAGCGUCCUCGCCCCUGAAGUCGAGGCGCACUCCAAGGACCUCUGUCAGGAUUCGUCGCCAAUUUCAGAAAGAGAUCUAUGUUAAGAUCAUUUCUGUCCCUAAGGUUUAAUUGAUUUGACGUCUCCACGAGCCUAGUUAAUGUGACGUAUCAACUUUAUGUCAACUCAACUCGGGAGAAGUAAUUACCCGUCCACUCUAUAGACGCGACCGAUUGACGGCUAUGAGCAUACACGUGUCUCACAUCCAACGUUUCUCCUCAUCUAUAAAUACCCAAGGUUUAACAAGAGGCAAAGGUAAUGAAACUCUUACAACACAGCUUUCCAUAACAAGCAAAUAUAUAUUCUCCUCCCCACUAUUUUACACAACCUUAGUAUUGUUCCGAUCACCUGAGGCUAACUUGACCGUCAAAGUGUAUGCAGCCAUCACCAUCCCCGCUAGUUCUAGCCGUGUGCAUCUGACCGUGCGUUGACUGUGCGCAGGGAGAAAUACGUGGAGUAGCUAUCGGUUGGUCACGUGGAGGGUCCAAUUUACGAGGUCAACAGAUUGGCACCGUUUGUGGGAAUACUUCCCGUCCAAAGUUCUGCAUUCUACCGGAGAAACCAUCGAAAAACUAGCAACUUACCCUGUAAAGGGCCCGUUCUUGAAAAAGAGCAAAGUCGAGUUAUAAUCCAAGUUCUCAUCACCCUUGAAAAAGGAGAUAAGAUGAGUCCCAGCUAUAAAGACGACAAUCCUAUGAGAGAGGUCUCUGAAGAAGAGGUGCUCCGUAACAAUGUCACUAAUUAGAGACCCCAUCACCGGCGUCGCCGAGGUGAAAGAACAGCCAUGCUCACUAAAGAAAUAACUCAAAUAGCUGCAGGCAUGAAAGACAUCGUAGCUCAAAAUAUGGCGAUGCAUGAACUCUUCAUGCAAGCCGAGGUCACCAGGGCUCUCAAAUGCCCCAAGGAUCUUACCUAGUUCAGGAAGCCCCUGUGUCUCGUUCCCAAGGCCAUAUGAGCCAGCAUAGAGAAUGCCCCCUCGAAAGAGAAGUGAGCGCAAAAGCCACAUCCUAUGUGCAAGAGAACCAGCCAGCAGAACCACAACUGGGAGAUAAUUUCCCUAAAAAAUAUGAAGCACAAAGGUCAAUCAACGUCUUCGACUGAAUAGGGCAAGACCCUAGUAAUAGGGUCCGCUCAGUGCGAAGAUCAGAUUGGCAAGAAUAGGAGCUAGAACAAGCACCUCCUCCUAGAAAUAGGAAGGAGAGAAGGGACUUAGUUGAUUGGGGCAGCAGAGGAGAAGCACCUCCACCUUCCCAGAACAUUCAAGAUGAUGAAGGGUCAGAUGGGCCUUGUCGAUCUUAUGAAAUUGACGAUGAUGAUGAUAACCUCCCUUUCUCAAGGUAAAUUCGAAGCUUUCCAAUGCCUUCAAAUUUUAUGCCUCCUAAGAUCCCCAAGUAUGAAGGAAAGAGGGACCCGAAAAAACACCUCACCAAGUAUAUGACACAGAUGAGCCUCAGGGGAGCCUCACCUGCUUUGAAGUGCAGAGCCUUCCACUUAACCCUGGACGGAGUUGUUGAAGUGUGGUACAACAGACUUCCUCCUCUGAGCAUUAGGAGUUCGCUAGAUUUGAAGAAGACAUUCUUGAACCAGUACCUCUCACGCAGAGAAGGAGAGGCCCCAGUGCAACGCCUGCAAGAUAUGAGAUAGGCCCCUGGAGAGACGCUGAAAAGUUAUCUCUCCAGGCUUACAGAUGAAAUCACGUACUGCGAGUAGGUCACUGACAGAGAAGCCCUUUCAGCUCUGAAAGGCGGCCUCAAUAUGAACACUUUUUUCUAGAGGGAUGUGCGUAGCAAAAAUCCCUCCACUUAUGACGAGCUGAUAGAAAUGAUGAGAAUUGAGAUCGUCAGUGAGGAGAUAAUUGAUCACUGAAACUGUGUCGUGCAAAGACUCCCUCUACCUCAAAGGCAGGUAGGUUGAGGACCCGCAGCGCACCUUGUCACUCAGUAAUGGACUCAAGCAGGUCAUACAAUAGCUCCCACCUCUGGACAGGCACUGGCUUCUGCCAUGCUAAAUGCAGUGCCGGUGUUGGCAUAUGAGAAUUUCCAUGGUGAAGUGGGGCUAUAUGGAGGAAUUGAUAGUAAUAAAAAGAAGAAGAAGAAGCGGUUAAACAGGCCCUUGGAAGGGACAAAGUUUUGCACUUUCCACCAACUUUAUGGGCAUGACACCAACGAGUGCAGAGACGCUCCUCGACGCUCAGAUCGGAGUGACCCACAUCCCUCCAGGAGGAAUGAAUAUCCUCGCAGAUCCGCCUCCCCGAACAGGAAAGAGAGAAGGCAUAGAGAGCAGUGAUCCCAGAGAAGAUAAUCAAGGGAUCGAGGAGAGUCCAGACAGAGAGAUCAGGCCCCAUUUUCUGGAGGCCGAAUCAUCAGAGAGAUUGACAUGAUCAUUGAGGGACCUCACAUCGGUGGCAACACCAGGAAUGCCCAAAGGAAUUAUACAAGGGAAGUAAAGGACCCACCAUGCUCACUUACAUUGUCAACGAGUCACAAGAGGCCAAUAGGAUGGCCCCAAUCACUUUCUCCCAGGAAGAUGCACAAGGAGUUCACCACCCCCAUUGUGACGCAUUGGUUGUGAGAGCCGUAGUGGCAAGAAAUGGCUCAAACGCAUGCUCGUCGACAAUGGCAGUUUAGUGAAUAUACUAUUCGGCUCCACCUUUGACAAAAUGCAAAUUGAACGUCGGUCGAUCCCCAUGACCGAUCCACUAUUCGGAUUUACUGAAGACAGCAUCGUCCCACGAGGGCGGAUUACUCUGCCCGUCGAAAUGGGUUCAGCUCCUCUAGUGGCCCAACACUUCAUGGAAUUCUUGGUGGUAGACCACGGAUCAGCCUACCAUAGAGUAUUGGGCAGACCCGCCUUGAAAGAUCUUUGGGCUGUCACCUCCAUCCACUACUUUUGUAUGAAAUUUCCAACUGAACAUGGGAUUGCUACGAUCCGAGGUGACCAGAUGGGGUCCAAGGCUUGUUACUUAAACUCUCUGCGAAAAUCGAAGCCCAGAACUGUUAACGUGAUCAUAACUGAAGUUGCCAGUGAGGCCAAUUUAGAUGUGGAAAUGCUCGACGCCUCUAAACAAGAGCAUACCUCUGAACAAGAGAAAUACGUCGACAUGGAAGAGGCCCUUGAAGAAGGGCACCUUCUUGAUGAAUUAGAUUCCCGGAUAAUUGACUCCAAGCCAAAUGCAACCCCAAUGGAAGAGCUUGAAACUUUCUCCGCCAACCCAGAGGACCCCAGUCAGAUCUUACGAAUAGGGAAGGCACUGUCCCCCGAAACAAAAGAAGAAAUGGUGAGCUUCUUGAAAAGGAACUUGGAUGUCUUCAUUUGGAAGCAUAAAGACAUGGUGGGAAUAGAUCCAGGAAUCAGUUGUCAUCAUCUUAACAUCAACUCCUCAUGUGUCCCACAUCGACAAAAAAGAUGUGCCCUCAACCCGAAGCGGUACGAGGCAAUCAAAGAUGAAGUAGACAAGCUUAGCUGUGGUGGCUUCAUCAGAGAAGCCAUCUAUCCGAAGUGGAUAUCCAACCCGAUCCUGGUGAAGAAGCCUAGCGAAAAGUGGAGGGUGUGCGUAGACUUCACAAACUUGAAUAAGGCAUGCCCUAAAACCAGUUUCCCACUUCCAAUGAUAGACCAACUCGUGGAUUUCACCGCCGGACAUGAACUCUUGAGCUUCAUGGAUGUAUACUCAUAGUAUAACCAGAUACCCAUGUUCCGACCUGAUGAGGAGGCUACAUCAUUCAUCACAGACAGAGGGCUAUACUGUUACAAAGUCAUGCCCUUUGGAUUGAAAAAUGUUGGAGCUACAUAUCAGAGGCUGGUCAGCAUGAUAUUUGCCGAACUCAUUGGCAAAACCAUGGAGGUCUACGUGAAUGACAUGCUGGUCAAAAGCCUCCAGGCCAACGAACAUGUAAGUCACCUCGACCAAACAUUUCAUAUACUUAGAAAAUAUAAAAUGAAGUUGAAUCCCCUCAAGUGCACCUUUGAAGUGGCUUCGGGUCAAUUUUUAGGAUAUAUUGUAAACCAAAAAGGAAUCGAAGUGAACCCAGUGAAGAUAAUGGCCUUUCUUGAAAUGAGGUCACCCCAGAAACCAAAGGAGGUCCAAAGCCUCAAUGGUCGGAUAGCCGCACUCAGUCGCUUCAUCUCCAGAGCUACAGAUAAGAGCUUACUCUUCUUCAAUGUGCUGAAGUAAGGAAAGAAGUUCCCAAUGGACUUCUCAGUGCAAAGAAGCCUUCCAAGCGCUGAAGAAGCACUUAGGAGAGGUACUCCUGUUGUCAAAACCUCAACUAGAAGAGCCACUACUACUGUACUCGACCGUUUCGGAUGAGGCGGUCAGCGUUGUCCUAGUCAGAGAAGAAAAUGAGCACCAGUUACGGGUAUACUAUGUCAGCAAAGCACUCGUCCCAGUCGAAACACGCUACCCGAACAUGGAGAAAUUGGCACUCGCUCUCAUCAUAGCCUCAAGGAAACUGAGGCCAUACUUCUAGGCCCACUCAAUUGAAGUUCUCACCAACUUCCCAUUGAAGCAAGUGCUACAGAAAACAGACGCAUCAGGACGCCUGCUAAAAUGGGCUAUCGAGUUUAGUGAGUUUGACAUACUGUUCCGACCUCGACAUGCCAUCAAGGGCCAGACCCUUGCAGAUUUUGUGGCUGAGUUUCCUAAAGCCCUAGAAAUGAAGGCGACAAUGGAAUCAGCCGAGCCCCCAACAUGAAAACUGUUCAUAGAUUGAUCCUCAGGAGAGGCUGGCUCCGAGGCAGGGAUCGUCUUAGAAAGCCUCGAAGGCCACAAGCUAAAUUGCGCAACACUGCUGAAUAUGAGGCCCUUCUAGCAGGCCUUAGAUUGGUGAAGGAAAUACUGGUGAGAACGUCCUAGCAAGUAGCAAUUCUCAGCUUAUAGUGAGUCAGGUCAAUGGAAACUUUGCGGUCAAAGACAGUAGCAUGGUUGCAUACUUGAAAAUGGUUCUGGACCUAGUCCCUCAUUUUGAAAGGUUCAAGCCGAUUCAAGUCCCACACCUAGAGAAUACUCAUGCAGACGCCCUGUUAAAAUUGGCCAAUAGCAAGGAUUUAGAGCUACUAAAAGUUGUUCCCAUUGAACACUUAUCGAAGCCCUCCAUUUCCGGAGGUGAAGAUAUGUUAUGGAUAGAAGGCACCCCGUUAUGGAUGCAACCCAUCAUCGCCUAUCGUAAGGACCAAUCACUCUAGAAGCGAGGUAAGGAAGUUAAGAAGAAGGUUUGCACACUUCGUCCUACAAGAAGAUGUCCUCUACAAAUGUGUAGGAGGUGAAGAUGCCAUAUAUAUACUCAGGGAAAUCCAUGAGGGAAUCUGCGGGAAUCACUCCGGAGAAAUGGCUCUGGCAUACAAAGUACUCCGACAAGGCUAUUUUUGGCUGACCCUGAAAAGGGAUGAUCGCCAAUUUGUCCAGAAAUGUGACAAGUGCCAGCACUUCUCAAAUAUUCAAAGGCAACCUUCUCAAAGCCUCUCCGUAGUGACCAGCCCUUGGCCGUUCGCCAAAUGGGGCAUCGACUUCAUUGGUCCACUCCCAAAAGGAAGAGGAAGCGUGACUUUUGCCAUUGUCGCCAUCGACUAUUUCACCAAAUGGGUCGAAGCUGAACCUCUUGGCAAGAUCACCGAGGCGAAUACUAUAAAAUUCGUCUUGAAGAAUAUCAUUUGCAGGUUGGCAUUUUCCACUCCUUAGUAUCUGACAACGAGAGAAAGUUCGACAACAAGAAAAUGCGAGACUUAUACGACGAACUGGGCAUAAAGAAGGAUUUCUCAACGCCUCAUAACCCACAAGCAAAUGGGUAAGUUGAGGUAGUAAACAAAACAAUCAAGCAUACCCUGAAAAUGAAGCUUGACACCUUGAAGGGGGCUUGGGUCAAUGAGCUUCCCCACGGCCUCUGGGCCAUCAAAAUAACUAGCCGGACUGCAAUAGGGGAGACACCCUUCUCAAUGACCUACGGAGUCGAGGCCAUAAGCCAGAAUGAGGUAGGAGUUCCAUCGCACUGUCGAAUACACUUCGAUGAGAUCAGUAACGACGAGACUUGAAUGAGCAAACUCUACAUCCUUGAAGAAAGGAGGGAUACCUUUCAGGUGAACUUGGCAAAGUAUCAUAGAAAGAUGACCCGCUAUUAUAACUCCAAGGUCAGAAAUCGGACUCUUCGCCUGGAAGACCUCGUCCUUAGAAGAGUCUUCCAAUCAUCAAAGCCAACUGGGUCCGGAGUGUUUGGACCGAACUGGGAGGGUCCUUACCGCAUCCCCCGGAAAUUCCAGCCUGGUACUUUUGAAAUUGAAGACAUGGCAGGGAAAGCACUGACUCAUCAAUGGAACAUUGAACACUUGAGGAAUUACUAUCAGUGAUAAACUUGUGUUUCGAUCCGAUCUCAAUGUUGUCUAAUAAAUGUGUUAUGAUCCAAUCUCAUUUGUAACUUUCCUAUUUUAUUAAGUGCUGAAAAUGCCUUAGUGAAGGGUGAUGUAACUUCUCUAAGUAAUGAUACUUUAGUUCUUUAUCACAUCGGUUAGUAAAUUGUUACCUCAGCUCUUCAAUAUGUUAAUUAGUCCGAUCUUCUGUUAUUAACUGGUUAUUGGUAAACCGCGGUUCAUGUUUACUUAAGUGAUUGUCAUUCAUAUACUCAAGUGUAAACGGCUCAAAACAAUGAAAAAAAAAAGCAGAAGCACUAAUACAUGACAAAUAUUUCAUUUCAUUCAUUUGAAAUUGGAUUACAAAAGAGGUUGAGGCUAUUACAAAGAUUAACUCUAUUCUACAGGGGCAUCUUCCACCCCAGCCUCCGCCUCGCCUGCCCUAGGGGCCUCUAGAUCAUCCUCAGCGAACCUAUUAGGCCGACCUCCAGUAGGCCCACCGAACUUUGCCUCUAACGAGGAUAUGUCCAAAGUAGGAUGGAUCUCUUUCAACUGACCUAAUAAUCCUUGGACGCUUCAGGAAGCCCAAAAGUUUGCAAAGUCGUCGUACAGGGGGUGCUCUUCGAAGUGGUCGAUGAAGUUCUGUAUAGCCACUUCCCCUACCGACUUCAGCUCCUCCUUCAGAGAGGCAAUCUCCUCAGCUUGGGCAUUCGCCCUUUGCCUUAGCUCCUUCUUUUCUUUGUUAGAGGCCUCCACAGCCUCCGUGGCGAGCCGGUGGUGCUCGUUUGCAUGAUCAACUCUUCGAGUAAUAGCAGCCACCUGGCACUCCACUUCAUAGAGCUCUUUCUUCAGCCGCUGUAUGUCCCCCUUGGCAGUUUCCAGUUGAGCCUCAGCCUACUUCCUUCCUCUUUCUUCCUUGGCCCGGGCUUCCCUCACUGCGUCACCAUAUUGCAUCGCCUCCUCAAGGCGCUUAGCGAGGUCCUCCCUCUUAGCGUUGAGGUCUUUCACCAAGCCCUCAAGUUGGAUGCUUGUGCUUAAGGCCCAGGCCAUACAAGCACUGUUGGCUGUAACCAAGUCCUUGAUAGUGCAGGAGGCGGUGUGGUCUCUCCAUUCCUCAGUCCAAUACUUAUUAUGGACCACCGCCACUGUGGCCGUCUCUGGAGGAAGGGCCUCCAGCAUUUCUUUCACUGGCUCCUCUGAGUUGGUGCCCAAGAAAUCCACCUCCUUUGAGGGAUGGACCAUUUUCCUCUUUGGCUGCCCCGACACUUGGGCAAUGGGCACAGCAGCUAUUGGCGAUGUGGUCGGGGAAGAAGAAGCCUCUGAUGGUGCAGGCCUCUUCUCUGAGAUGACCACCCUGGUAGGAAUUGUAGUCUGCCUUAGAGCCGGAGGCGGCCUCGCCACAGUUGGGUGCUUCGAGGGGGCAGCAGGCUUCUUACCCUUCCAUAGCAAGUUUGCGUCUGGGUCCUCCACCACCUUCUCCUCGGUCGAAGGCUGGAGCCUUUUGCUGGCAUCCACCAGAUCCUUCAUCUAUUUUUUGUACGCAGAGGAGGAGGUCUUUAGAGCUCUAGCCUCUGCUAUCAUCUUUUGGAUGGUUUUGAAGUCUUGCUUCAGAGGCAACUUCUUGUUAAAGUUAUUUGCAAGGGAAUAAGUACUUUAGUACAAGUGUAAACAGUUCAGAAAGUGCUAAAAGAUAUUCGCUUCUGGACAUUUACCUUGAGAGGCCAUCAAGUCAUGCGUCACAAAGUGGAUGUUUUUUCUGAUCAACUGGUGGUAUGAUCUCCUCUUUGGAGACAGCUGGUAAAUGAUGCAAAUGCUGUUAAAGUCAUCAGUGGAUAACUCACACCAAGGAAGAGUACCUUCAAAAACAAACAGAGUAGUUAAGAACCGAACCGAAGAAGAAUAAACAAGAAACACAAAGCCACAGUACUCACUAAGUGUUGAAUACUUUGUGAGGACAGUAAGAGGUGCCAGGGGGUCCCCCUCCAUCGUGUCCCAUCUCCCGGUAACCUAGCACCACGAGAUCUUCCACUCCUUAAUGGAGCUCGGUAGAUCAAGCACGAAUAGAGUGUAGAAACCCCAUGAGGUUAAGUAAUACCAACCCCUUGUCUUAUCCCUCCCAACCGCUACCUUGGGGACAUAGAGGGUUUGAAAUACAGAAAAAUACAUCUCUACCCCAAGCGACGCCUCCUUCCACAACAUCCAGGAGCCCACCAUUUGGCUCCAGGAGUUCAAGUUCAAUUGGGUAGGAGCUAAGUCGUAUGACCUAAGUACCAUAUGGAAGAAAGGGUGGAUUGAGAGCCUAAGGCCAGCCCUAACGAUCGCCUCGCUGAUUGCCACGCACCUUGGCCUAGGAUAGCAGGCCCGCUCAUCAGGUUCAGGUAGGAUCAGAUCUACACUAUCUGGGAUCCUAUAUUUAGCCCUAAGUCUUUCCAGGUCGGCACCCUUUAGCUUAGAGGGGUAAUCUGACGCCCCCAAUGCACAGAUGUGUCUACUGGGCUAUUUGUCCUUCUAAACUUUACAAAGCUUUAGCCAUCUCCCAACGCGUCGUCCCCUGUGGGUCAGCGUACUGGUGGCAGAUGAGCUCUUCACUCAGCUUUACAAAGUUUACACGUACCUGAUGCGGAGUCUUCUGUGGGUCAUUGCCUUGGUAGCUGCGUUCCCUCAUAAGCUUUAGCCAUUUCCCAACGCGUCGUCCCUUGUGGGUCAGCGCACUGGUGGUAGAUGAGCUCCUCACUCAACUUUACAAAGCUUACAUGCACCUGACGUGGAGUCCCCUGUGGGUCAUCGCCUCGAUAGCUGCGUUCCAUCCUAAGUUUUACAAAGCUUUAGCAAUCUUCCAACACGUCGUCCCCGUGGGUCAGCGCACCGGUGGUAGAUGAGCUCCUCACUCAGCUUUACAAAGUUUAGACGCACCUGAUGCGGAGUCCCCUAUGGGUCAUCGCCUCGGUGGUCACCUUCCCUCCUAAGCUUUACAGAGCUUUGGCUGCCUCCCAUCGCAUCAUCCUAUAGGCCAGCACAUCUGUUACAGAGAAGUUCCUUGCUUAGUCAAUGAUAAAGCUUUAUUGCAUCUGUCAAAAAUAUUUCCCAACGUAUAUCUCUUCGGUAAAAACAGAAAACCAAUCCGCAAGCUCUCACAAACCAAAGUUCCUGUCCCGAGGCAGACAUACCCGAUCAGGAAAACAAGUUCACCCAUGAUAUAAAUAUUCAUGCCUAAACUUAGGGGGACCACUGUUACACCCCUAUCCGAACCACUUCGGAGAGUCUACCUCUGCCUAUUACGGGGUGUUCAGCUCCUAUCCAAAGUGGUUCCGAAGUGACUUCACCACUAAUGUUGUCGAUCUGCUAACACACUGUGAGGCAUAGACAAUUCUGUUGAAUCGAUCGAAGCGUCCUCACCCCUGAAGCCGAGGCGCACUCUGAGGACCUCUACCAGGAUCCGCUGCCAAUUUCAGAAAGAGAUCUAUGCUAGGAUCCUUUCUGCCCCUAAGGUUUAAUUGAUUUGACGUCUCCAUGAGUUUAGUUGAUGUGACGUAUCAACUUUAUGUCAACUCACGCUUAUGACCGGACGCCUCACACCGCCAGAUGCAUACACGUGUCCCACAUCCAACGGUUCUCCUCAUCUAUAAAGACCCAAUGUUUGACAAGAGGCAAAGGUAAUGCAACUCUUACAAUAUAGCUUUCCAUAACAAGCAAAUAUAUAUUCUCCUCCCCACUAUUUUGCACAACUUUAGUAUUGUUCCGAUCACCUGAGGCUAACUUGACCGUCGGAGUGUAUGCGACCGCCACUACCCCGACUGGUUCUGGCCAUGUGCAUCUGACCGUGCGUUGACUGUGCGCAGGGAGGAAUAUGUAGAGUAGCUAUUGGUUGGCCACGUGGAGGGUCCAAUUUGCGAGGUCAACAAUAAUAAUAAAAAGGAACACCAAAUAAAGAGGGAAAAAAAAUAAAGGAACAAAUCUAGAUUUUCCGUAAAUCCAAAAAUCAAACUAAAAAAUUCUACUCAACAUUAAAUUGAAAAUGCUUGAAAAUCUCUAUUUUUUAAGGAAUUUGAAUAUGGUUGCUUAUUAAAUCGAAACCCUACAUAUGAAUUUUUUUCCCCUUAACUUCAAAUUGCAACCAACCAUUACACAAAUAAAUUACAAAUUAUCCGAAACAUUUAAAUUUAAAAAAAUGAAAAUGAUAUUUACCUUGAUUUGAAGUUGGAUCCAAAUAUGAACCGUCGGAUAUUGAACUUGAAAUGUACUCCGACUAGGAGUGGGUUGUCGAUCGUGAGAUGGAGAAGUGGUUAUUGUGGGGGUGGAAAUUCUUCAAAUUCUUUUUCACCAUUUUGUGUGGGUUUGGAAAGUGGAUUUGUAAAAUGUGGAUAAGUUCAAAAUUGGAAAAUGGGUUUAAAAAGUCGGGGUGAGAGGUUUGAUGUUAUAUUUUUCCACCUUUUUUGCUAGUCAAAUCAGCUUUAAUUAUUGAUAUGCAAGGUAUUUAAAUUUUCUAGAAGGGUAAAAAUGUUCAAAAGUGAUAUUCUUGUAAAGAUUAUUAAAAUGUGACAUUUUUUUAAAAAUGCCAAUCCAAAAGGUGACAUGGGGUGCAAUUUCCUCAGAAAAUUAACUACUGCUUAUAUGUUACUUUUUGUGGAACUUAUGUUAGUUGGAUAUCUUAGCUAUAAUAUAUUGGUAGCUUUAUCUACUACAAAAGCUGAGUUUUGUAGCUGCUUAUAUGUUACUUUUUGUGGAACUUAUGUUAGCCGGAAAUCUUAGCUACAAUAUAUUGUAGCUUCAUCUACUACAAAAGCUAAGUUUGUAGCUGCAAUUGAGGUUAUAAAAGAAGCGGUAUGGUUAAAAGGUUUGUUAUCUGAAAUUAAUGAACUCUAUCUACUAUUCAUAUAUGUAAAAAUCAUAUAUAUUUGCCCCCCAGGGCACAUCCCAAUUGGCAAAGAUGAGGGCGCUUCAAGGCUGGCAGAUCAGAGGUCGUGAGUUCGAUUCCUGGAAAACUUUUGGAAGGCAGGAUUUAUCCUGGAAAGUAGGAGCUCUACUGGAAGGAAAGGUGCAAAAGAUGGGAAACGACUUGUUUGGCACUUUGGCAUAUCAGUUGGGCGGCUCUUGAGCACUGAUCAGUUUGGGGCACAACUUGCGAUUUAACCUAUCUGCAGCUUGAUGGGUCAAGGUGUAGACUGUAGGAUUUAGUCACUGUAAGGUGGAUACCUGAAUAUAAAAAAAAAAAAAAUCAUAUAUAUUUUUUUAUGAAACAACUAAGAACGUUGAUGUGAAAUUACAUUUUAUUAGAGAUAUAUUUGCAAAAGAAUUGGUAUCUCUUGAGAAAACAAAAUUGAGUACAACACAUUUAAUUUGGGAACUAAUAUACUACCUCUAAACAAGUUUAAGACUUUUAAAAAAUGUCAAACAUUAAUAUUGUCUAAUUUCCUCUCGUGGGUACAUAAUGCUUAGUGACGAUACAAGUAUCUAUUAAUUAGAGUUGCUCUAGAUCGUUGAUCUUAAUAUAAGAUCAACAAUGGUCACAGAGGGUAUAAAUAGAAUCCAACCUGUUUCCCUAAUUCAUUACAAGAGUGGUUUUUUUUCAGUUUCUCUUUAAAAGUCCUCUUCGUCUUCUUUAUCAUCUUCAACCUCUAGUUGGAAGGUUUCUAGAUCUUUCUUUGUAAGAAGUCUUUGUGAUUCUGUAUGAGAAGAGGGGUUUGAUAAGAGGGUUGAGGUCUUCUGAUCUAUAGAAUCAACUUCAACGAAUCUAUUUGAGGGUCUAAAUUUGUGGUUUCAGUUUCAUGCAGAAGAGUACGAUAAUCUGAGAGUCAGGGGCGGACGCAGAGAAAUUGAAUUAGGGGGGCACAAUCAAAUUCUGUACAGAUCGAAUACUUUGUUUUUUAUAUUUUGAAUGAUUUAUAUUUGACUCGAAAAAAAUGUAGAUUUACAUUUCAAAAAUAUUUCUUCAUUAAUAUUUUGCUAAUCAUUUUCAUCUCUUUGAUUUUGAACAAUAAUUUUAUUAAUAUUUUACUCAUCACAAAAAAAUGCAUAUUUAUAUUUUAAAAAAUUGUGUAUUUGAUACAAACAAUCAAUUCAAGUAAUCGAAAAAAAAAUAAAUAACCAAUGUUCAAUACUAAUAAUUAGUCAAAUAAACACAAUUUGUUAAAUAUAAGUUAAAUUUUAUAUAGUCAGUUUAGACACGUGCUAUAUAGUAUAUACACAAAUAGGAUAGGGAAAAUGCAUAUUUAGGUUCUAAUUAGUUAAAAAUUUGAUUGAAAAAUGAAAAUUUGUAGUAGAUGUGAUAUUUGUAGAGAAAUUAUAAACAAAUUUUAAAAAAUUAGAAGAAUUAAGAUUUUGGGAAAAUGCUUGAGGGAGAGAAUACGAUAGAACAAUAAAAAAGAGAGAAAAUUCAAAUUCAUUGUAAUUUUGUCUUUAUUUGGUGGGGAUUAAAGUUCGAUUUUUAGUAAAUUUUGAUAAAAUUUUAGAAGUUAAGAAAUUCAGAAAAUAUGUUAUUAAAAUUAAUAAUUAACUCUGAUUUAGAUUAAAAUUAAAAUUUCAAUUGAUAUCAAAUAUGACUUUAUCAAACAAAAAAAUAAAAUAAAAUAAUUGGAAAAGAUCUCAAAAGUUUGGGGGGCGGGGUCACUUGACCCCCCAUGACCCCCUUGGGUCCGCCCAUGCUGAGAGUACGAUAAUCUGAGCCCAUUUUUUGUGAUACUUUGAUUCCUUUGGUAAAAAUGUAUAGAGUUAUAAUUUUCCUUCAAAUUGAUUUGUAAAUUGGUGUCUGUUACUGUAAGAUUUUUGAUAAUAGGAAUCUAAUUGACUACCAUAAUGUACGCUUGUAGAAUUUAGCACAACAAUAAGGGGAACCAAAUGGGAAAAGGUACCAAUAUAAAGAAGAUGAAAAUAUAAUUUUCUAUUUUAUUGACCAAUAGUAUUUUCAUCACUAAAUAAAUAAUAAAAGUAAAAAAAGAAAAAUUAUUUAUUUUGCAAAAUCCUAUCAUAAUUGAACAUUGAUUACAAAAACAAUUUAAAUUACAAAUAGAUUAUCAAUUGGUAAAAUAAAAAUAUUAUUAUUUUGAUAAACUUAAUUUAUUGAUAAAAAUUCUUGAAUAAAUCAAAUAAUAAUAAUAUAAAAUUGAAUACUAACAAAAGAAAGAAUUGCUGAGAAUAAAAUAAUAAUUGAAAAAAAAAAAUUUAAUUGCAGAUAAUAUUAUAAAUAAAUGUAAAGAUAAUAGAAAAAUUUUUAAAAGGGGUAAUUAGAACAAAACAUCACUAUCUUUUGUCACCCUUAGAAAAUCGUCUCUAUCUUUUCAAUUUGGCCAGUUAUGCCCUUAUUUUAAUCUAUUUUAGCGAAAAGGUCAUUUUAGCACUUUUCAUCCAUAUGUUCCAUUAAAUAGACCUGUACUUUACAAAUAACAUAAUUUAGAAGGCCAAAGAUUUUAGUCAACUUAACCUUUAUCAUUUAGUUUGAAUAAAAAUAAUAUGAAAAAAAUAAACAAAAUGAAAUACAAAAUUUCAAAAACUUUUCCAAAGCCUCCAACACACCCACUGCUCCUCUUCUACAACACCCCUCCCUGCCCAAACCCCUUCUACGAUUCCACCCCCACCCUUUGUCCCAACUGUCAGCUUUUAUAUUUAAUCACAAGAGAAAAUUAUUUUUCCCUUUGAAGAUUAAAUACAAAUGGAUAAUAAAUUUAGAUCAACUUGAAGUCUGUUGACACAUAAAAAUUCAGCCCAAAUCGAACAGCUCAAGGAGUAAAGCCCAAUUGGAGGAUCCCCAAAUCAGAUAGCCCAAAGAACGAAGUCCAAUCGAACGAAUCAAGGUGAAGGCCCAAAUAAGAGGGCCCAAGAAUGCGGUAAUGCCAUCGCCCAAGUUUGCAAGUCGCCAAGAAUCUGAACGAAUAGAGUGUCAUACGAUCGCCCAGAGCUGUUAUUUUAUUCUCGCCCAGACAUUCAAGUCGUCCAAGGUAUCAACAGACAUAACGCGUCGUGGUUAUCAAGAAAUGCAGUUAUCAAGGCAGUUGUUAAAGCGGCCAUAUCACGUUCCACGACUCGAGAAAUUCAAUCGAAAGCGGUUGAACGAUGAAAGGUAAUGGCAGCAGUUAAAAGGCAGUUUUAUGACAAAAUGGCCACUACGAAGAAAGUGGGUAGUUAUAGGACGAUCAAGCAGUUUUUGAGUAGUUAAUCACAAAGAGAUCGUCUAUGAAGUAUAAAAGGGAGAAAGGACGUAGAAGCAAAGGACCGAAUCCAAAACUCUCGAACAGAGAAUAUGUAAUUUUCAUUUCCUUAACUUUUAGACUUAAACACUUUUCUUUCUGUAACUCAUGUGCUUGCGCCCCUUGGAGGCACGUUGUUUUUCAUUUCCAAUUGUAAAGUUCAUCGCCAAUAAAAGAACACCCCUUUUUGGGACUUUGUCUCAAGAGGUUUCGUCCCUUACACAAUCGUCUGAUCCUUUUUAAUUGUUAGCGACUUAACCACUGCGAAACAAUUUGGCGCGCCCAGUGGAACAGUGGUGUUAGGUGUUAAAAGUACAAAAGGUGAAACAAUAUGCCUCAGAGAUCCGACAAGGAAGGAGCAAGUCAGGGAGGAAUCCAGUCUGUAAUCGAGCGAUAUGAGGAGCAGCAUGCCUCUCCAUGAAUAGAUGGACAAAAUCAGAGCAAUAACAGUCGUUACGAACCAAUGACGGAGUUUAGUCCUCGAACCAUGCUUGCAUUGCUUGGAGAACUCACGUAAGACGUCGUUGAACAGGUUAAUCUUCGAAGUAUUCAUAAUAUGGAAAGAUUUACACAAAAUGGAAAUGCACACUAUAACAAUAUGGCCAAACAGCUAAAGACGUUAAACGAAACAAUGAAUAAGUUAGUAGGUCAAAUAUGUCAACCGGCUAUACCUCUUACAAACCACUUUCAAACCAGGACAAUUGUGGGACAUAAUCCCUCUGUCCUAAAUCCGAAUCAAGGGGUAGAACCGCUUUCUGGUCCCUCUACUUCAAACCAAGGGGGUACUACAGUGCCAAAUCAAAACAAUGGUAGUGGCAUGCCUAAUUUGGGGGGUAGUCCAAACGUGAGAGAUAAUGUCCUAAACAAUGGACAAAAUAUUCCACGUGGUAAUGAGGGAACAGAUGUCCAGGCUAAUGGUAAUGGCCCUAAUUAUGGUAAUUUUGUUGUCAAUCAAGGACCAAACAUCAGACCUUAUGCAAAUCAACCGGUUAAUCAGCCUGUAGGAAUUCCAUAUGAUCCCAAUGUCAUGUUGAGGAACCAGAUUAUGGAAAUCGUGCAGGAUCAGAUGGCUUUUGGGGUGCGUCCUGUUAUUAGACCGACGUACACAAAGCCAUAUCCUGAUUGGGUAGACCAAGCAUAUUCAUGGUCUAGAGGGUACAAAGUGCCAGAAUUCUCACUGUUUACCGGUUUAGGAGAGGUGUCUACUCUAGAACACAUAGGGCGAUUCACAUUACAAAGUGGUGAUGUGACCGAUUACCAUAAAAUGAGACUUUUCCCUAGUUCGUUAACAGGAGUAGCUUUCUCCUGGUUCAUCAACUUGCCAGCGAACUCUGUUCAAACAUGGCAACAACUGGAACAGUUGUUUCACACUCAGUUUUAUAAAACUGAGUCUGAAGUCACUUUGGCUGAUUUGACGAAUCUACGUCAAAUGCCAAAUGAAUGGGCAGAAAGUUUUCUCCAAAGGUUCAAAACAGCAAGAAGCAAGUGUUUUGUACCUCUGCCCGAAAAAGAAUUUGUCAAGAUCGCACAAGGCUGCUUGAGCUUUGAUUUAAAAAAGAAGUUCCAGGACAAGGAAUUUCCUGACCUUUUUCCAGUUGAGUGCGAAUGUGAUUAGGUAUGAGCGACUGAUAAGAGAAGAAGAACAAAUGAAAAAUUCUAGUAAAGGGACUUAUUACAGAGACCCAAAUUUUGACGUUCAUACCAUCGAUGACGAAUCAUACGAUCAGGCCGAAAUGUGUUUGGCCGAAUUGGUAAAAGGGGAUACAUAUACUUGUCCCAUAAUGGCCAAGCCUAGACCAUCGGGCAAAGAUGAGCCCAUAGAGGAUGGAAACAUAAAGGCUAGAACGUUCUCGUUCGAUGUGACCAAAGCUGAUCUUAUAUUCGAUAAAUUAUAUAGGGAUAAGCAAAUAAAGCUGAGCGAUAAGCACAAAUUGCCAAACCCUAAACAAAUAAAGGGUAAAAAAUAUUGUAAGUGGCAUAAUGCAUGGUCACAUUUGACUAACAAUUGCUUGGUUUUUCGUCACGUAUUGCAGGAUGCUAUUGAAUCAGGACGAAUUACGUUCGAUGAUAAGAAAAAGAUGGCAGUGGACGAUAAUCCUUUCCCACAGCCACUUGGGGUAAACAUGGUAACGUCUGGAUUUAAGAACAAGUUGCCAAAAUUCAAGUUGGUCAUAGAUGAUGGAGAAGAGGAUACUAAAACACAUCCCAGUGUCUUCGAACGAAUCAAAGGGAAAGAACAAAAAAAGGACGAAAAUGUCCUGUGUACAAGGUGUAAAAGGGAAGUAAAUGGAGAUACAGAGAAACCAGGGAAUGGCAGUAUCCUCAUCGCCCUGCCUUCUUCUCAAACAUUCAGCCUGGUAGAGGGCGAGGUACCUCAUUCUAUAGAGGACCGCCUUUUGAAAGGAGACCAGCAGAUACUGGAAGAACAUUUAGGCUGCAACCUCGCCGGCCAAAUGUAUGGCAUUCAUUCCAGUACAGUGCAGGAAGGGCAAUACCCUUCGAUGAGAUGACUAGGACCCAACAAAGGCAUUUCCAACGAAACUACGGACGGAUGAUGAGGCAGCAACAAGGAAUGCCACAUCCCAAAGUGCCUCUACUACUCAAGGUAGCCAAUCAAAACGUCCUCAAAGGUAGUAAAGAGAUUGGUACAGACGAAUCAAUGAAAGAACUGUCAGAAACCUCUUCUGGGAGAUCAUGGUUUGAGAGGAACAAAAGGGAUGAAGAAGAUCCAGAUCAGCCCCUUGCUAUCCAAUUCGGUACGUUGCCUCCUGUCGUGGCCAAUAAUUACCUACUGGCCAAUGAAUUCAAGAAUAAGGAAAAGGAAGAAGAGAGGGAGGACAACGAAGGAGAAGCCUGCGUGCUGGUAUGUGAAGAAGACCAGACUUCUGGAGAGGCCUACAACGACGAAGAGGACGAUGGGAUGACAGACAUUGAAGAAGAAAUCGACCUAGAAGCAGAAAGGAAAAAGAGAGGAGUAUCGCGCAAUACUCUGUUUAAGAAACUGCAUCAAGAGGGAGUUCACGAAGUAGACUUAUUGGGGGAGCCAUCUGGGCAUCCUUUCGAUUUCUACGUACUGUACGGGACACCCAAAAAGAAGAAGAGAGUGCCUCGCUCUGAGAAGUAUGGGUCACCUCCAAGAAUAAUGCCCGCUCCCACAGGUUGGAUAACUGAUGGGGAAGCAUUAGAAAAAAGUAAGAAGGAAAUUCAGGAGACAGAGGAUCAGCGUGACAUACUGCACGUCGACCUAUCACAAGAGGAUAAUUCGACAGAAAACAAGCAAGAGGUAGAAAUAGAGGCUGCCGAAAAGGUUGUUUUUAAACGGCCAGCCAUGAAAUUGACAAAACACCUUAGGCCAUUAUACGUUAAAGCUCUAGUUAACGGCGUCCCAGUGGCAAAAGUGCUUGUCGACAAUGGAGCAGCUAUAAACACCAUUCCAUCCAGGAUGAUGAGAAAGUUCGCAAAGACAGAGGGUGAUAUGAUUCCUACAGAAGUCAUCCUCACUAGCUUCAAUGGAGGAGCAACUUUAGCUAAGGGAGUUAUGCCAUUAGACAUAACUAUAGGUACGACUACUAGGACCACUGUCUUCUUUGUAAUAGAUGGUCCUACUAGUUACAACGUGCUCCUAGGAAGAGAUUGGAUACACGGAAGUCGCUGUAUAUCCUCGUCGCUCCAUCAAUGCCUGAUUUUUUGAAAUGAGAAAGGCGAAGCAGAGGUGGUACAGGCUGAUCAUAGGCCUUUUGUCGCAGAAGCAAACUCGAUGGAAAAGUUCAUGUACGAAGGAAACUAUGGACCUGUCAGAGUGGUACAAGACGAGGAAGAAACUCAGGUUGUCGCGCAAAGCGAAGAACCAUUCUCAGUGGACGCACUCACUGAGAUGUUCAAAUAGAUGAAGCCAAAUAUAGUGGCCCUGGAAGAGCCAGUAAUUAGCAAAAGAAUAAUUAAGGAGUCUUGAAUGAACUUUAAGUUACAAAAGCAAAUGGCCGACAUUCAGGCCUUCAAAGCCAGACUGAUGGCUUUCAAUAAGGAAUGCAAUGACAAAGUAAAGGAAGAGACUGCCCUAAAAGUGCUGAAGGACAAGUUGGCAGUGUUCGAGUUAGAGCAAAGCAUUGGCCGAGAAGUCAACAAGGUGGAUUGUUUGGAAGAGAAAGUACUUACAAAAGAACUGGACGACGAAGCGAUGCGGAUUGCCAAACCUGGAUACGCUCAAGCACAAGACCCUCUGAUCAAAGGAAAUAUUGGCGAUGAAGGAGAAGAUCACCCAACGUUCAUCAGCCAGAUGCUCGAUCAAGAGGUUAGUAACAAAUUAAUCGCUUUGUUAAAAGAGUACAAAGACUGUUUUGCUUGGGAAUAUGAACAAAUGUCUGGUUUAGAUAGAGACUUAGUGGAACAUAGAUUACCAACUAAGCCUAAUUUUAAACCUCAUAGGCAACCUCCUAGGCGUUUUGCUCCUAAUGUACUCCCUGAAAUUAAGAAAGAGAUAGAGCGAUUAUUGAAAGCAGGUUUUAUAAGAACAGCCAGAUAUGUUGAAUGGUUGUCGAAUAUUGUGCCAGUACUAAAAUAGAAUGGAAAACUAAGGGUGUGUAUAGAUUUUAGAAAUUUAAACAUAGCUACACCCAAAGAUGAGUAUCCAAUGCCCACGGUGGAUCCUUUAGUAGAUUCAACUGCCGGACAUGUUAUAUAUCCUUUCAUGGAUGGGUAUUCAGGAUAUAAUCAAAUCUAUAUAGCUGAAAAAGACAUACACAAAACUGCCUUUAGAUGCCCUGGGCCUCUAGGAUGUUUUGAAUGGGUGGUUAUACCUUUCGGCCUAAAAAAUGCAGGGGCAACUUAUCAAAGGGCGAUGAAUUUAAUCUUUCAUGAUAAAGAAGAACAUCAAAAGGCUUUUGAAAGCCUGAAGACAUAUCUAUCAAGUCCACCAGUAUUGGUGUCACCAAUCCAGGGACGGCCAAUGAAAGUAUAUGUAUCGGUUGAAAAAGAAUCAAUAGCUGGAAUGGUCGCGCAGGAAGACCAAGUUGGUGAAGAAAGGGCAAUUUACUAUUUAAGUAGACGGUUAACAAAAUGUGAAUGUAAUUACUCUGCUAUUGAAAAAUUGUGUCUAACACUAUAUUUCACAUGUACAAAAUUAAUGGCUUAUUUACGGCCCGUAACCGUUUAUUUAAUUUCUAAAGUAAAUUUAGUCAAGUAUAUGUUCUCGCGCCCUAUUUUACACCAAAGGGUAGGCCUUUGGACACUAGCUUUAUCAGAGUUCGAAAUACAUUAUAUAUCUCAAAAGGCAGUCAAAAAUCAGGUUUUGGCUAACUUUCUAGCCGAUCAUCCAUGCCUUGACAUGCCUGAAGAAAUCGAAUUAGAAAUCAAUUCGUUCGAAUUAAAACCUUGGGUGUUGUAUUUCGAUGGGUCAAAAACUUCUAAAGGUGCAGGAGUAGGGGUAGCAUUGAUUAAUCCUUUAGGGAUUUGCUACAAGUUUGCAUUCACCUUAGACAGAAUGUGCACCAACAAUCAGGCCGAAUAUGAAGCUUUAAUUGUAGGCCUAGAACUAAUAGUAGAUAUGGGAAUAAGAAAUGUAAUUGUUAGGGGCGAUUCUCAAUUGGUGAUCCAUCAAUUGAUCGGUGAUUUUAAAUGCCAAAGUGAUUCCAUUAUAAGUCAGUACGAGAUCGCCCAAGAAUUACUAGAAGAAUUCGAUCAAGUAGAACUCCAAUGCGUUAAUAGGAUAUAUAACGACAUGACAAAUGAGUUAGCCCAAAUGGCAUCAGGGUACUCAAAGGUUUUGAAUUGGAAGUCUAUUUGUGAAUAUGGAAUCAUAUUGCCCGUGAUUCAAAGAAGGGUGAGAAAAAUUGAACUUCACUGUAUACAAGAUGGAGAUACAGUGGAUUGGAAAACAGAGAUUAAAGGGUUCCUUAAAGAACCUAAUGGAGGGAUUAGCAGGAAGACAAAGCUAUGUUUGCUGAAUUACACACUAAUAGAUGAAGAAUUGUUUAAGAAACGCUCUGAUGGUCUAUUACUAAAGUGUAUAAGUUUGCAAGAAGCCAAGACGAUCAUGGCUGAAGUGCACGAAGGGAUAGGUGGAGCUCAUCAAGCUGGCCAAAGGAUGAGAUGGUUAAUUAUUAGGAGUGGAUAUUUUUGGCCAAAGAUGGGAGAACUAUGCGUUCAGUAUGCAAAAAGUUGUUUAGCAUGCCAAAAACAUGGUCCAAUACAAAGGGCACCAGCACGAGAGAUGGCACCUAUUAUUAAACCUUGGUCGUUCAAAGGUUGGGCGAUAGAUCUGAUAGGGAAGAUCUACCCUCCAUCGUCCAAGCAACAUAUUUUUGUUAUAGUUGCAACCGACUAUUUCACCAAAUGGGUAGAAGCGGUACCUUUAAAAGAGAUCACCCAGAAGAAUGUUAUAGAGUUUAUUCGUGAUCACAUUAUUUAUAGGUUUGGAAUUUCACAAACUUUAAUGGUAGAUCAUGGAACAUCUUUGAAUGGGGAUCAAGUGAACAAAUUUUUGAGCGAGUUUGGGGUUAAAUUAGUAAACUCCACAACUUACUACGCUCAAUCCAAUGGACAAGCGGAAUCUUCUAAUAAGAUUCUAAAAAAUAUCAUCAGAAAGAUGAUAGAUGAAAACGCCAGAAAUUGGCACGAAUGUUUGAACAAGGCCUUAUGGGCUUAUAGAACAUCACCUCGGUCAAGUACCAAAGUUACUCCUUUCCAACUUGUUUAUGGACAUGAGGCCGUUUUGCUUAUGGAAAUCAACGUGCAAUCAAUUCGAGUGUGCUUGCAACAUAAGUUGAAUGAUGAUGAGUAUGCUGAAUCACUAGUUCAAAAUUUAUUAAGUUUAGAUGAAUUGAAGUUGGACGUCUUAGAUAGGUUGCAAGUUCAAAAGCAAAGAAUGGCUAAAUUUUAUAAUAAAAAAGUCAUAGCCAAGUCGUUCAGCCUGGAUGAACUAGUUUGAAAGACGAUAUUCCCUUUGGAUACCAAGGAUCCAAAGUACGGGAAGUGGUCGCCCAACUGGGAAGGACCAUACAAAAUAAACAAUGUAUUGCCUAAUGGAGCAUACCACUUGGAAGAUUUAGACGGCACCAAGCACGUAAGAUUCAUUAAUGGCAAAUAUUUGAAAAAAUAUGUUCCUUCUUUAUGGGAAUGUGAACAGAUAAAAACAUAACCAAACAUUCUGGACGAUCAAAAGAUAAUAAAGACAGAGCGAAAUACGUUCGAAUAAAGUUCUUUAUUAUCAAACGUUCAUUACAAGAAUACAAAAGAUACAAAUAAUAGAUGUGUUACAAAAUACGACUAAAGUAAGAUGAUCUCCCAGUUGAUCGCUGAGUAAGCUUCACACCCCUUCCUAAAUACAUCGCUGCAAAGGUGGGGUUGACGAGUAAGAGGGUGUACUGGCCUCACCACCUUCUUAAAUGCAUCGCUGCAAUGGCGAGGCUGAGAAACACUCUCAGCAGGCAAGCUGAGAAGCACUCUCAGCAAGCAAAGUGGCCCACAAGCAGCCCAAAAAUUGCCUCCCAUCAUUGACUCCUUGUGAAGAACAAAGAGACGAUGGGAAGAAUUUUGCAGGAAAGAACUUCGCUGCUGGCCAGAAAAUAUUUCCUAUACCUCCCAUACCAAAGGUGACAUCAAGGUAAAUAUAAGACGGACGUACCAUUUUUGGAUCAGGUUGAUCGUUAGAAUGCCAAGAAAUGGCAGCAAAUUGGUUUCGAAUAAGAAAAUGAAGAGAUGAAGAUAGAGGAUGAAAAAUGCCAAACAUUUAUAGGAGGGUGAAGAUGAAGAGACAGAAUAUGAACAGCCACAUUUCUGUUUAAUAAGUAGAAUUAAAUAGCCCUAAGUCUUGGGAACAGUAGUGGGAAUAUCAAAAGGGAAUGGACAAGAUUCUUAGUGCAAAGCAGUUAAGUGGUUAAAGAAUUGAUGACUAAAAAAUAAACGUCAAAUAAAUGCACAAGAAGUUAAUGUUCAUUAAUAAUGAACAAAGUUACAAAGAGAAAAAUCGAAUUACAAAAGAAAAAAGACAUCGCAUGUCUUAAUUAUAGUCUACCCCAUAAGGAACGAAUUCGUUCCCUAAGUUUUUCCCAAUCCUCAUUCUGUCGAGAGGAAGUGAUGUUCAAUUCAGCCGCGACGUCAUCAUCAUCAACCUCCAACUUCUUGUACUGCUCGACCAAGGACUUAGUUCGCUCAAUUCCCUGAGAGGCGUUGUGCUUUUUAGCAGCCAUCCUCGCCCUGCAGUCAUCCAUUUUAGCUUGAAGUUCCCUUAUCUGAGCAGCCAAGUUAACCAUCAAAGAGUCUUCAAUCAUGACUUCGGAGGAGAUUUCUUUCAAUUCGUCCUCAGCCUUGUUAAUCUCCAUACGCAAAGACUCUUUCUCAGCUACGGCUCGAAGAUAUUGAGUACGCUUGGCCUUUAAUUCAGUAUUCUUGGCCAGCAUAGAAAGGACCUCGGAGUGGAUAACUUUCAACGUCGCUUUAAAAUCGGCAGAAAGAUUGAGCGACGGAAGUGUCAAUGCUUGCUCCAACUUCGCACUCAAAUGCUCAAGUUCAUCCUUAUGCCUGGCAGCACUAGCCCUUCCAAUAUCCAUAUCCAUGAAGGAUACGUACUCAAAUAUCAAUUCCUUCAGGAACUUCAAGUCUUCCUCUGAAGAAGCAGCAGGAUGAUCGGAUGGAGCAGGGCGAAACGUCUGAAUUUGCCCCCAGGAAGCGAACAAGUCUUGGAUAGAACGCACAUUCCUGUCAGCAUCCUGCAAAGAAGACUGCCAAUAUUGAAAAUCCUCACUACAACGAAUAAGGUGGAAAUAGAAAUGAAGCAAAAAGAAAAACUACAUCGUUGACAAUCGUAGAAGAUGGCGCACCCUCAGCCAAGCUUGCCACCAACGACUCAUCCAUUCGUGAGGACUUCCCCUUGUCCGAGCGAGAAGAUGUUGCCACAACAGGCGGACUCAUAGGAGUAUCUGUAAAGUUCAAGAGCAACAAAUCAGAAACCAAUAGCACGAGCAAAGGUAAGACAUCAAAAACUGAAUUACCUUCUGCUUCGAUGAUUGGGGGGUCGACGCCCUGGGAAGAAGGUGGCUCAUCCAUGAGUUGUGAUGAAGACUUUGGGACUGAAGAUGUAUCUUUAAGCAUGGUCCCAUCAUCAACCGGUUUGGAUGAAGUAGCCUCAGCAUAUGAUGAUGGAGCAGGAGUUGUCGAUGCCAAAGCCUUUGAAGGGGAGGCUGAGCUUUUCUGAAAAGUCCAAAAGAUUAUCAGUACACAGAAAAGUUUCAAAUAUGGAAAAACAUACUUGUAAAUAGACCAAUUUAAUUACCUUCCUCCUGACGAUAAGAGGAGCAUCAUCAUCAUCAUCAUCAACAUCAUCCUCCAGAAUGGGAGAUGCUGAGGUUGGCCGUUUGAGGCUUGGAGCACUCUUGGCCGUAGUCGGCCUGGCGGGGAGAGAAGAAGAUGGACGAGUAGAUUGUUUAGUGCGACGAGAAGGAGAGGGGCUCCGAAUAGACAAAGGAGUGACCAAAACAGGAGGAGGAGAAGAGAUACUCGGUUGGUCUAAUGAAUGAAAGGCACGAAUGGCCUCAGUUGCAAAUAAUCUGCGCUUCACCGAUGGCCAGAGUUGUUCAAAAAGAGGGUGAGUGGCAUGACAAGAAUUAAAAGGAGCUAAUGAAAAGUGGCUUGAUAAAUGGAGGUUGCGAGCGUUUAUAGCCUCUGCUUCCGCCUUAUUAAUGGUAUGAAAACGGUCAAUUAAGUUCUUCGAAUAGUAAAGAGGAACAGGCCAAGUUUGGCCAAAACCAAGCUGACGAGCAAAAAAUUGGGGAGCAUAAAUUUCUUCCCCCGCUUUGGCAUUGGUCCCAGUUAAGAUAUCAUGGAAAAGCUCCCUCCCGGUUAAGAACUGGAUCCAAAUGAGCAGGGAGGUGCUCGCGCUAUCUAUAGUAGAAGGGGGAUGUACAUAGUUUGGAGUUAAAAAAGGAAAAAAGGAAGAGAUUGAAUCUAAAGAAUAAAAGAAGGAAAAAAUGUCCCUUCUGGACAUAUUUACAGGAGUUAAGGGCUCCAUAGCUAGCCCGUAACAGCUAGCAGAAGGACGAGAAAUGGAUGGAGCACCAAGCAAUGGAAAAUAGAAUCUCAACCACAGUUGAGUGAACCAAAGAGGUCCACUGCCAGUGGGAGAUGCACCAUUCUUCAAUUGAGCUUGAAGAAAAGCCAUGCCUCUAUAAAGGGCAGCCAAAAACAAAGAACAUAAAUUCAAAGGCCUGCCACACGCCAAUUCGUGUGCUAUAGGUAAAUAACUCAGAGAAGGCUUUAUACUUGGCACGCACAAAAUAUAUUUACAAAGCCAAACUAAAAGAAAGGCCACUUGCUCAGCAUGGGUAGGCUCAGCGCUCGAAUGAUUGUGGAGGGUCUGCAGGCUUGAAUAAGAAUCGGUGUAGUUCUUGCCAAACUUUGGGGCGCCACCAGAAACUAAGAUACCGGGAAAAAUAGUAUCGCCCAAAGGUGGCAGAUUCACCAGGGCCCCAACAUCCCUUAAGGUAAUAGACAUGGGGCCGAGGGGGAAAAUAAAGGUGUUAUACUCAGGGGACCAAAAACUCAAAGCAAUUGGAAAGAGCGCUGAAUCAAAAGUAGGGGGGCGAAUAGAGACUUCUAACAAAUCAGAAAUCCUAGCGCUAUCAAAAAGUGCCUUAGUAGGACCAUGACCCACAAGACGAGCAUACCACCUACGAAAAGCUACGUCAGAUUUAGGCCAAGUGCGAAUACCUCUUUCGCGAAGUGGCCCCAACGGUAAAUAGUUCAGGAAUGGAGGACCCUGAGUGCAAGGAAACAGCUGACCCACCACCGCCUGUUCAACUGCCUCUGCAUUGUUGAAGAAAGGACCCAAGUAGAACUCAUUACGUCCAACGUCGGCGGGUACGAGAAAACUUGGGGUUAUGUAUGGGCGACUCAGAAGUCUCUGAAAGUCAUCAAAACUAAAGGAGUCGCUAGCUUGAGAUUGUGAAGCAGCCAUUGGAGAAGGAGCGAAACUUUUCAGGGUUACGUAAUAAGGAAGCAAAAGAUGAACAGUGAAUUGUGAAAGAGACGCAAAAAAUAUGAGGCGUGGUUUGGUAGCAGUGAAAUGGCGUGUUUGGGGUUUAUAAGGGUUUGUAAAACGACGCACCUUUUCAAGUUAUAGAAGGAAACAAUGAUUGAAAUUCUUGGGAAUUUCGAACGUUGCUGGAAACAUGAAGUGAAUAUGGCAAAAUUCAAUAAUUAUUAUUAAUUCUGCCAUAUUGGGGGGUAAUUGUUGACACAUAAAAAUUCAGCCCAAAUCGAACAGCCCAAGGAGUAAAGCCCAAUUGGAGGAUCCCCAAAUCAGAUAGCCCAAAGAACGAAGUCCAAUCGAACGAAUCAAGGUGAAGGCCCAAAUAAGAGGGCCCAAGAAUGCGGUAAUGCCAUCGCCCAAGUUUGCAAGUCGCCCAGAAUCUGAACGAAUAGAGUGUCAUACGGUCGCCCAGAGCUGUUAUUCUAUUCUCGCCCAGACCUUCAAGUCGCCCAAGGUAUCAACAGACAUAACGCGUCGUGGUUAUCAUGAAAUGCAGUUAUCAAGGCAGUUGUUAAAGCAGUCAUAUCACGUUCCACGACUCGAGAAAUUCAAUCGAAAGCGGUUGAACGAUGAAAGGUAAUGGCAGCAGUUAAAAGGCAGUUUUAUGACAAAAUGGCCACUACGAAGAAAGUGGGUAGUUAUAGGACGACCAAGCAGUUUUUAGAGUAGUUAAUCACAAAGAGAUCGUCUAUGAAGUAUAAAAGGGAGAAAGGACGUAGAAGCAAAGGACCGAAUCCAAAACUCUCGAACAGAGAAUAUGUAAUUUUCAUUUCCUUAGCUUUUAGACUUAAACACUUUUCUUUCUGUAACUCGUGUGCUUGCGCCCCUUGGAGGCACGUUGUUUUUCAUUUCCAAUUGUAAAGUUCAUCGUCAAUAAAAGAACACCCCUUUUUGGGACUUUGUCUCAAGAGGUUUCGUCCCUUACACAAUCGUCUGAUCCUUUUUAAUUGUUAGCGACUUAACCCAUGCGAAACAAAGUCAUUGGAUUUUAUUUCUAAAUCUUCACACAUAAUAGUAAGAAAAUAACCUUGAAAAAGCUUUAAAAGACCUUCCAACUUUCUAGCCAAAGCUUCACUCCUUUGAUCUUCUCCCAUGUUUCCCUCCUUUAAGUGCCUCCCUUACGAAAUAUGGGAGAAUGUGGCUAAACCUAAUAUUAAGAAAAUUUGUCCACAACGGGUAUAUUUAUAAUACACAGUUAGGAUUUCAUAAUUGCACUAUUACCCUUGGACUUUAUUGUAGUAAGCAAAUUAAAUUUCAUACUUAUAUUAGACCCAAGAGGGGGACCUAAUCAGGUUCACAAGAUUCAAACGCCAAUAGAUGUUUCUAAUUAGGUUAACUCUUGAGCAAUUAAGAUACAUUUAUUAGUCUCGACUUAUUCUAUCAAAAAGUUGAAAUUGCACUCUAGAGUCAAGUGAUAAUUAUGAAAGCAAAUUGUGAUUCAAUAGUAAUAUCCUCUAGUAAUCAUUCCAGAAGCUUACCCCCAUUUGACCGUCAAUAUGUUGAAAUUGACAAAAUGAUCGUUUUGCCCUCUCAACAUGUAUUGUCCUCCAAAUCCCAUUUUUAUAAACCAAAUUCAUUGUGAACUAAUCAUAACAUAGAAUCUAAUGAUCCCAUUGUUAAAAUGUAUACUGAAAUGCCUCGAAGUGACGAUUGUGUCAUUGUGAUGAUUAAUGAAUUUAUUAUUACAAGUAUGCCUAUACUCUAAUUGUUUCAUCCCAAUUCCCAAAGCACCAAGAUCAAUCUUCUAAUUAUGACAUCACUUAUUAGUACCUCAAAGAACAUGAACUAGCAAUAAAAAAUGCAUUACUCACUCAGAAUUUAGGUGACUCAUUUGAUUAUCGAUUAGUGUCUCAUUCCUAGUGGUAAAAAAAAUGAGUCAUCUACAUGAUCCCGUCAAAUGUGCACCAAACACAUCAUUUUUCUUAUUUUUGAGAACUAGAUGAAUCUUGAUAAGAACAAUUUAAUUUUAUCAACAUAAAGUGUCUAGCUUUAUGUACCAAUUGAGAACGAUAGAUUUUGAUCACGUUACAAAACGUAUCUCAUUAUACUCAUAACCAUCAAGAUACAAUUUGUGACAUCCUAUAUGAUCAUGAAACUAUAUACUAUUGUUACAAAUUAAAAUACACGAAUAAUCGAAUGUUAAUUCAUAAUGUAGUUCACAAAAUAUUGCUCUAAGGACAUCAAACUAACACAAAGAAUAUAAAUUUGGUGUUUCUGGAGAAGGUGAUUGUAUGGUACCAUCUCCACCUUUCCAUUAGACAAUUUGCAAAUCACGGCUUCGAUGUUUUAAGGCUUGAUUUCCAAGCCUUUAUUUUUCCACUAAAAAUUGCUUUAUGAAUAAUCACUUGGUAAAUUAUAACACUUAUUGGUCAAUAUUUACAUGGUUAGGGAAACAAACUUAAAAUUCAACAAUUGAUUUGUUCAUUGCCUAAUUUCUAGAAUUUAUAGUAGAAAUACCAUAAUUUAUAGUUUUUAAGUGACAUUACAUGAAAUAAUUAUAUUCUUUUUAGUUAUUUUCAUUAAUUUAGUUAUCCUUCUUUUGUUGUCUCUUCCAUGCCUCCAUGGAAAUAACGUUACAUUCUUAAUGAGUUUUGUUCUGAUAUAUCCCGUAACCAUACGGGAUCGUUGACAAUUAACAUAUUUGAUUAGUUAAGAGUAUCGUUCAAUAGAGAAUAAGCUUUGAAUCAAAUUCCAUCAAUCCAUUAUUGAAUUCGAAUGUAAAGUAACAAAAUAGAUUAUUAUUUAUUAUUCUAAGUUAUCUGCUAAUUAUCUAAUAUAGUUAUAAACUAAACUGGUAUGUAAGUGUUGGAAUUCUGAAUCCACCCAUUAUUAUUCUAUUUCCAUUUCUCAACUAUGUAAUUUAAUUUCAUUCAUGCAUUUUAUUACAAUCGAUAAUCCUCUUAUAUUCAACUUUCAUUUUCAAGAUAAGUCAAUUCUAUUCUAUACACAAUCCAAUCUUAUUCUUAGUCUGAAUUCGAAUAAGCAAAAAGCAUUCAAUUACAUGAUAAUCUAGGUGAUAAUGCAUUAAUUAACACAACUAUCUAGGUGAUUGCACACGUGAUAUAUGCUAUUUCUAACAUUUAUUGUCCAUAUAUUAAUCACGUAGUGUUCUGCUUAAUUGUAAGUGUCCCAGCACUACAAACAACUAAUUACCUAAUUGGUGAUUAAGUAAUCAAAUAGUACAACAAACAUGCAUAAUUAAUUAAGAAAAAUAAAAACUACUAAACUACUUGUCUUUGAAUUAAAAUUAAACAAAUAAACGGUUAAUCUUCAUCCAAUACAAAGGAAUCUAGCUUAAUUUUGAGAGAACGCAACAAGAAGAAUGGAAAAUCAUCACCCAAAAUUUAUAAGUAAAAGAGAGAGUUAUCACGGUCUAAUUCUUGUUCUUGAUCUUCAAUCCCAAGCUUUGAUUAUUCAAGUUCUUGAUAUUUUUUGAUUCAAUCCACUUGCUAAAUUUGUACACCCCUCUUACUUAUAUUGAAUUGGCCCCUUAUUCUUGAAUGAUUUUGUUAUAUGGACGUGAUUUGAGAAUUGAGAGAGAGAGAGAUCUCUUCAAUGGCUGUCGAUGUAUUGUAUGUAUAGAAGGUGAAAUUAGGUAAAAAAAAACACGUCUAAAUUGGGUUUCAAAAAAGAGUACUAAUCAAAUAAGGAAAGUUGCCUUCAUGUCGUGCAUGGUUAUAUCUCUAUAUAGUCGUCAAUAUUUUAUCAUAUCUUUCAAUAUUCGAUAAUCGAUUGAGGCAAAUCAAAAUGUAUUGAAAAACUAACUCAAAUAGAUAGAAUUGUUCUAGAAAUAUCAUUUUUCUAAUUUGAACAUUUAGUAUGUGAGAAAUGGAUCUCAAUGUGCGACUUAAAAUUGGAUUGGUGAACAUAUUUUGACUAUAUUCUAAUACUUCACUCUUUCGACUUUUAAAUGCAUCCAAUUGAUCCUAUAUAUCUUUAAUCAUCAUUUCAAGGUUAAAAAUGUAUUGGUAUCUGCAACUAGAUCCCCCAAACUUUGGAUUUUAUUCAUUUUCGUUGAUUUUUCAUUCUAUUAUUCCAAAUUAACUUCAAAUCAUUGAGUUGUUCCUACCGUUCAUCUAAUGACUAAAACCAUUGUAUUAAAUCUAUGGACAACUUCAAAAUCACAACACAAAAAUUAAAAUAGACUUACCCAAUUAAAAUUCGAUGUAUAUUUGUGAAAAAUUAAGUAAAAUAUUAUAAAUUCACAAAUUGCUUCCAUUCACGAUCCUUAAUAGUCAAAUAUAUCAUUUUUUUCCAUUCGUGAGAUAUUAUACACACAAAGUUAUUCCAUUAACUCUUUUCCCAAUGUGUAAUCUAAGGUCAUUUCUUAUACUAAUCAUCACCCUCUCUAGUUUCGAUAGAUUCCACUAAUUGCAAGUCAAUAUCUCUACAAAAAUGAAUUCUCCUAUAUUUUGACUGCAUCAACCUCUAAGAAUAAACUAGACUAAUAGAUAUGAAAUAUAUAAUUCUCUCAAACAAGUAUUUGAGGUUUAAUCAAGGUAUGUAGCUCGUCAAGUCAUGUAGUUCAUCUUCUAUUUCAUGCACCUGGUUGUUCAAGUUUGUCAUGCUCAUUCUGAUUCAUACAUUAAGUGAUCACUUUUGAUUUUUUUUUUUUUUUUGGGGUUUUUUGAAAAUUGUCGCCAUUGAGAUCUUGUAUAGAGUAAUUUCACUCAUGAUCAUGGAAGCUUUUCCUUUUUUAUGUAAUGAUUAAUGCAAUCUUUCUCAUUAAAUAUUCAUUCUAAAACACCAACCAUUAACUUAAAAUUUUCACCUAAUUUUCAUCUUAUUAGCCUUAAACAAUUCAAACAAGAAUUUGCACACAUCUAAUACACAUUCAUCUCAAUAUCUUCUUAUAACAAUUGAAUCAUCCCCAAACUAUUCUAAAUUUGGUUUAUAAAUGUAUAUUAUAACAAUUUUUGAGAUUAGCAUCUAAAUCCGCUUUUUCAACCUAUUCAAGAUAUGAAUCAACUCAUUCCUUCUCAAUGUAAAACUUAGUUCAAAUGAUCAAUUAACAUCAAAAUCCAGAUGAAUAAGCAAAAAUUAAUUUAAGCAUUAUUUUAAAUAUAUAAAUCAUUGUCGACAAGGCUAAGUCGUCCACACGAGCAAGUAGAUUAAAAAGCAACUAAAGAAAAUCUUUUGAAUUUUCUUUUAAUCUUUUUCAUUAUGAAUAAAACAAUAAAAUUUGACACAAUCACCCAAAAGAAAUAAUACAAACUAAAUGAUUUGUUCACUCCCAAAUAUAAAUCAGACUUUGCCCUGAAUAUCUCAAAAUAUUAUAAAUUAAGAAAAAUAAAAGGAACAAGGGAAUAAGAGACCCCCCACAUUUAUGUCAAAUUUUUUAUGUUGAUUUGCAAUAAAAUUUGCCAAAGCUAGAUAGUUCGCUUGACUGCAUCCUUCCCUUGUCUAAUAUUGGGUCAUGUGUUCUUAAAUAUCACAUUCCUACAAAAUAAAUAAAAUUCAAUCAUUAAUGACAUAAUAAUAUUAAACUCAAAAUCAUAACUAACAAUAAAUCUAGGGAAGAAGGGGCACGAAACGGGGGAUGACAACUGCAGGUUACGACUAUCACUAGGGAACGCAAACAAUUACAUCCAACCAUAAAUAAGGUUGCAGUCAAGUUUUAUGACCGUAGACAGGCAGCACGGCACGGGUUACGAUCAUAAACUGGUUUUUUUAUUGAUAAAAUGUGUAAGGGUGAAGAUACCUAGCUAACUAUUAGCACACAAAAACAAUUAAUUUAUCUAAACUAUUUUCUAGAAAGUAUAAUAACUAAAAGGAAAAUGGUUGGGCGUUUGCAUUAGCUUUGCUUUGGCAAUCUGUAUUUUGAUGUAUUGCUUUGUUUGCUCUUUUGACUUUUCUCUACUUUUCGUUAGUUCUCUAAAUAUUUUCCUUGCCUCUUUCAAUGUAAUAAGACUUGCAUAUUUCAUCCUAUUCAAACUCAACAAUGUACACUUCUAGCUCUCCCUCGGGUUUAACAACAAAUUGUUGGGCAAUCGAUGAAGUCAAAAGAAUGUGUGUUAAUUUAAUCUUCAUUAAUUACCACUUUUUGUGGGGUUCCUUUGUAAUUACUUUGUUAUAAUUCUUAUGCUCUUCAAUAGAUGAUAUUGCUUUGGGUUGAACGAUUGAAUUCCAUAACUUAAAUCCACGUUAUCAACUCUUUCAAGUGGAUUAUAUUCCCACAUUUUAAAUUCACUUCAAUAUACAACAUCUUCCACACGUAUUUUGCUUUCGCCCAACUUGACAAUUUCAUUAUAAUAUUUUGUGAGUACCUUCUCGUUCAAUGAAGGAGGACUAACUCCCAUAAGCAUGAUGUCUUCAUCCCAAUCUGCAUACACAUAAUUUUUCAUAAGCAUGUAGCCUUCAUCAGAUUAGUCAAUGACUUGUUUUCAACAUUUUUAAAUAUUGUUUAUACCUCAGAAACUUUAAUAUAAAGGAGUUAGUGCAUGUAUAUAAUCAUUGUAUGGUAUAAUGUAUCCCAUAUCAAAAUUCACAAUAUAUAUUUACUGCAAGCAUAUUCUAAUCAUCAAUGUCGAGAUUCAUUAUUGCAAACAUUUUUCUCCUUUGUUGUCGUCAGAAUCAUGAAUAUACUAUUGAAUAGUAUCUAAAAGAACACCAAAUACAAGAAAGAUCAGGAUGGGUAGUAAAAUUUAACAAAAAAAAUAAAAAUAAAAAUAAAAAAUUUUGAAUUUAAUAUGAAUCAAUAAAUUCAGUUUAAAACAACAUCAAAAACUUGCUCGGGUAAAUCCUAUAAGCGUAUGGGAUCAUUGACAACUAAUAGAUUUGAUGAGUUGAGAGUAUGGUCCCAUAGGGAAUAAGCUUUAUAUCUAAUUGUACCAAUUUGUUAUUGAAUUAUCUAAAGUGAUUAUAAACCAAAUAUGGGACGUAUGUACUGAAAUUUCGAAUCCACAUAUUAUCAUACUAUUUCCAGUUCUCAACUAUGUAAUUUAGUUUCAUUCAUGCAUUUUUGACAAUCGAUAAUCCUGUUGUAUUCAAUUUUCUUUUUGAAGAUAAAUUAAUUAUAUUGAAGACACGACUUGAUCUUAUUCGUAAUCCGAAUUCAAAUGAGUAGAGUGCAUUCUAUUACACGAUUAUCUAUUUAUUAGACACGUGAUAUAUGUCAUUUUUAAUAUUUAUUGUCCAUGACAUAUGCAGCGUUCUACUUAAUUUUGAGUUUUUCAGUACUACAACAAGAAAUUAAUUAUCUAAUUGGUGAUCAAGAGAAUACAUAAUGCAACGAACAUGUAUAAUCAAGAAAUGCAAGAAUUACUAAGCUACUUAUCUUUGAAUUAAAAAUAAAUAAAUAAAGGAAUAAAGCUUAGCAUAUUUCUAAAGAUAAAACAACAAGAAGAAUUAAAAAGAAUCACCCGAAAUUUAUAAAUACAAGAAAGAGAUGUCAUAGUCUAAUUCUUGUCCUUGAUAGUCAACAUAUUGCUUUGACUCUUCAAGUUUUUUAUAUUUAUUGAUUUAAUCCACAUGGUAGAUUUGUUCUCUUCUCCAACUUAUAUUGGAAUGAUCUUUCGUUCUUGAAUGAUUUCGUGACUUGAGAUAUGAGAAAGAUCCAUUCAAUGACUGCCCAUAUUUCGGAUAUAUAAGGUGAAAUCAAAUCAAGAUACACGUUCAAAUUGUGUUCCAAAAGAGUUUCAAUCAAAUAAGGAAAGAUACUUUCACAUCGCUCAUGGUUAUAUCACUGUGCAGUCGUCAAUAUUUUUAUCUUUCGGUAUACGAUUGAGGAGAUUCAAAAUGGUAAAAGCUAACUAAAAUAGAUACAAUUAUUUUAGAAAUAUCAUUUCUUAAAAUUCGAACGUUUAUUAUGCGAAAUAUGGAUCUCAAUAUGUGACUGAAAAUCUGGAUUGGAGAAAAUAUUUUGAUUAUAUUUCAUUACUUCGCUCAUUUGAUUUUUAAUUGCAUCCAAUUCAUCUUUUGUUAUUCAAUCAUUGUUUCAAGGUCCAAAUAACCUAAUGAAUAUUUACAAUUAGAUCCCAAAAUUUGGAAUUCAUCUGUUUUCAUUGAUUUUUCAUUCAUUUCUUCCAAACUCACUUCAAAUCGUUGAGUUAUUCCUAACAAACGAAAAAUACACAAAAUUAAACCAUAAUUUAUCAAUGAAAGUACACAAUAUCCUAUUUUAAUGAUCUAGAUAAGUGUACAAAUUUCACUAAUCAAAUUUUAUAACUCUUCAUUUGUUUUUCUAUUCUACUCAUUAUGCUCUUCUAUUUAUUAAAACAUAGGAUAACUUGCAACACAUGUUGAUCGUAACUAGUCAUAGCCAAGCGUCCGUGCACAAGUAUAUUUGUGCCUCAGUUGUCAAUUAUUUAAAAGAUUAUUAUUUCUCCACACUUAAAAUAAUAAUAAUAAUAAUAAAUAAAUAAAGAAGCUUUGUUUGAUUCACAUUCUCCUAAUAAAUAAUUUUACACGUAACCUUUAUCUUUAUUUUACACGGAACAUUUAUCUAUAUUAUCUAAAAAAUCAUUAUUACAAAAUCUAUUUUCCCUAAAAAUAGACUCAAACAUAACCUAAUUCUCGUCAAAAGUUAAAUCUUGUGUUCAAUUAAUUUUAAACUAAUUUUAUAUGCCCGUCGAGCAAGCCAAUAAAUUAAAAUGUAUAAAGAUGAUACAAAUAUUACAAUAUUCCCAAGUUUCAUUGCUAGUGAAAUAGAUAAAUACCGAUGGGAAAUGUGAACGGUGUGAUAGAGAUCGUGAUUUGUUUAGGCGAGAUCAAUCUCAAUCAGAUUACGUUCAAUCCAUGUUUAUUGUUUAGCACUCAUUUUCUUAAACUCAUUUGUACUCAAACUCAUUUUUAAACAUAUAUUUUAUAUACACAGCUUUUAUCAACUUUAAUCAAAAUUGAUUUUUAGCUAAAUUAAANNNNNNNNNNNNNNNNNNNNNNNNNNNNNNNNNNNNNNNNNNNNNNNNNNNNNNNNNNNNNNNNNNNNNNNNNNNNNNNNNNNNNNNNNNNNNNNNNNNNNNNNNNNNNNNNNNNNNNNNNNNNNNNNNNNNNNNNNNNNNNNNNNNNNNNNNNNNNNNNNNNNNNNNNNNNNNNNNNNNNNNNNNNNNNNNNNNNNNNNNNNNNNNNNNNNNNNNNNNNNNNNNNNNNNNNNNNNNNNNNNNNNNNNNNNNNNNNNNNNNNNNNNNNNNNNNNNNNNNNNNNNNNNNNNNNNNNNNNNNNNNNNNNNNNNNNNNNNNNNNNNNNNNNNNNNNNNNNNNNNNNNNNNNNNNNNNNNNNNNNNNNNNNNNNNNNNNNNNNNNNNNNNNNNNNNNNNNNNNNNNNNNNNNNNNNNNNNNNNNNNNNNNNNNNNNNNNNNNNNNNNNNNNNNNNNNNNNNNNNNNNNNNNNNNNNNNNNNNNNNNNNNNNNNNNNNNNNNNNNNNNNNNNNNNNNNNNNNNNNNNNNNNNNNNNNNNNNNNNNNNNNNNNNNNNNNNNNNNNNNNNNNNNNNNNNNNNNNNNNNNNNNNNNNNNNNNNNNNNNNNNNNNNNNNNNNNNNNNNNNNNNNNNNNNNNNNNNNNNNNNNNNNNNNNNNNNNNNNNNNNNNNNNNNNNNNNNNNNNNNNNNNNNNNNNNNNNNNNNNNNNNNNNNNNNNNNNNNNNNNNNNNNNNNNNNNNNNNNNNNNNNNNNNNNNNNNNNNNNNNNNNNNNNNNNNNNNNNNNNNNNNNNNNNNNNNNNNNNNNNNNNNNNNNNNNNNNNNNNNNNNNNNNNNNNNNNNNNNNNNNNNNNNNNNNNNNNNNNNNNNNNNNNNNNNNNNNNNNNNNNNNNNNNNNNNNNNNNNNNNNNNNNNNNNNNNNNNNNNNNNNUCAUCCUCAUCCUCAUUCUCAUUAACAGAAUUAUCAUUUGAUUGCUCUUCCUCAGCCUUAUCACUUUCCUUAUCAGACUCACUCUUAACAGUAGCCACAAAUGCCAUAUAAUUUCCUUCAUCAUCACUACUGGAGGAUUCCUGCCUAUCACUGGUCUCAGAUUCAUUAUCAGUAAGUGAGACAACUAAGGCCUUACCUUUCCCUUUUCUUUGAUUUUUCUUAUAGCUCGGACAUUCAUUCCUAUAGUGACCUAUUCCUUGACACUCAUGGCAUCUAACCAAACGUGGCUUCUCACUAGACCCCUUAUUGUUAUCUUUCUCAAUUUUAUCUUUUGUGAAUCUGCUAGGGGCUCCAUUCUUUCUAUCCUUAGGCUUUCUCCUAUUGUUGAGGACUUUUUGGAAUUUCUUGACAAAGUAUGCGAUUUCCUCAUCCCUAAGUGACUCAGUGUCAGACAAUUCACCUUCUUUAUUGGAUUUUAGGGCUAUGGAUUUUCCUUUCUUGUGUUGUGAGAGAGUAAGUUCAUAGGUUUGCAAGGAUCCUACCAAUUCUUCGAUCUUAACUUCAUCUAGGUCCUUACUUUCCUCAAUAGCAGUGACUUUAGGCCUAAAUCUCUCAGGUAGGGAUCUAAGUACCUUUCUCACUAUCUUGGUCUCGGGAAUUCUCUCACCUAGGUUGAAACUCGAGUUAACUAUGUCAUUUAGCUUAGCGUAAAACUCAUCAAAUGUUUCAUCAUCUUUCAUUCUCACUUCUUCAAACCUAGAAGCUAGCAUUUGCAGUUUUGAGUUUUUUACUAUUUUAGUUCCCUCAUGUGUUGUUUCGAGAAUGUCCCAAACCUCUUUAGCAGUUUCGCACAUAGAGACUCGCCUAAACUCUUCUGGUGAUAGUGCCAUGAAUAAUGCAUGAAUUCCCUUACUAUUCCAGUUACAUGCAGCUAACUCAUCUUUAGUCCAUAAUGAUAUGUCAGUAAGAUGAAUGUUUCCUGAUACGAUACUAGAGGGAGGUUUCCAACCAUUUUGAACACUAAUCCACACAUGCUCAUCUAAUGAUUUGAGGAAUGCACGCAUUCUAACUUUCCAAUACGCAUAAUUACUUCCGUCGAAAAACGGAGGUACAGACAGUGAUUGACUCAUCUAGACAGCUAUGGGUCAGGAUUCGAGAUUUUGCUCUGAUACCACUUGAAAAACCUAACGUUCGACCCAACUAACACCUAGAGGGGGGGUGAAUAGGUGUUCAUGCGGAAUUAAAAAAACUUAUCAAUUAAUUCGUGCAACAAGUCACAAGAAUUAAAGUUUGUCCAGAUUCAUUCACAUGUCUUAAUUACCUAUGUUGAAUUACCGGUAACAAUAAAUAAAUUAAAGCAAUAAAAGAACACAACGAAUGUNNNNNNNNNNNNNNNNNNNNNNNNNNNNNNNNNNNNNNNNNNNNNNNNNNNNNNNNNNNNNNNNNNNNNNNNNNNNNNNNNNNNNNNNNNNNNNNNNNNNNNNNNNNNNNNNNNNNNNNNNNNNNNNNNNNNNNNNNNNNNNNNNNNNNNNNNNNNNNNNNNNNUUUGAGAACAAGACUCUCCUGGAUCUAGCAGAUCUGUGCUACCAUCCCAGCCUUGUGUGACUUCUACUUCCCAUGAAUCGUCAAGCACUCCCGCUCUUCAAGCAAGUUUUUCCCGGAUCUUCAAUCUGAGGAUCUUCUGGAAGUUUUAUAGGAUUUAGAGAAGGUGGUGUUUUGGUAUUUCAGGGUGUGAUGUUUUUUCUGCAAAAGCCAAGGAUUUUUAAUCUGAAAAGUUUAGAAGAUUGUUUGGCUUUUUGAACCGUGGUGUGAAAGAUAUAAAGGAUUAAUCUCCCAGGAAUAUGAAAGAUUAAAGAAAAGUUUUUUCAACAAAAGCUUUUCGAGGAUUUUGAUCUCCAAGGAUUUUAGAGAGAAUCAAUAAUAUGGCUUCAAUGUAUAUUUCCUCGAUCUUCAACUCGAAGGAGACGAAUGGUAUUUAUAGGGCUCAACAUAUGGUCUUGUGGCGCGUCAAAAAUUCGCGAGCUUUUAAAUUUAAUGUUGCCCAGAUAAAUAGGUCGCUCGAGCGAGGGACCAGCGUGACUCGAGCGACGUCCACUUCGCUCGAGCGACCUGUUGGCGAGGCUCUAGCGACAGUGGUUCUGCAAUCGUGGCUCGAUCGAGAUCAUGGCGUGACUCUAGCGAAAUCUCGCGCUGUUUGCAACUUCGAGGCAUCCAUCACAACCCUAGACCUAGCAUUCAACACUUUGAUUAAUUGCAACUCAAGUCCCUGAACUAUUGGACAUUUGACACUUUGGUCCUUGACCUUACAAUUAUGACAUUUUAAUCCUUGACUUUACAAUUAUUACAUUUUGGUCCUUGGUCACAGAUUUGCCAAUUACAUAUUUCCUAACACCCUGAAUAUCUCAAAAUAUUAUAAAUUAAGUAAAAUAAAAGGAACAAGGGAAUAAGAGACUCCCCACAUUUAUGUCAAAUUUUUUAUGUUGAUUUGCAAUAAAUUUUUGCCAAUUUGCAAUAAAAUUUGCCAAAGCUAGAUAGUUCGCUUGACUGCAUCCUUCCCUUGUCUAAUAUUGGGUCAUGUGUUCUUAAAUAUCACAUUCCUACAAAAUAAAUAAAAUUCAAUCAUUAAUGACAUAAUAUUAAACUCAAAAUCAUGACUAACAAUAAAUCUAGGGAAGAAGGGGGACGAAACGGGGGAUGACAACUGCAGGUUACGACUAUCACUAGGGAACGCAAACAAUUACAUCCAACCAUAAAUAAGGUUGCAGUCAAGUUUUAUGACCGUAGACAGGCAGCACGGCACGGGUUACGAUCAUAAACUGGUUUUUUUAUUGAUAAAAUAUAUAAGGGUGAAGAUACCUAACUAACUAUUAGCACACAAAAACAAUUAAUUUAUCUAAACUAUUUUCUAGAAAGUAUAAUAACUAAAAGGAAAAUGGUUGCAUCACAAUAAGCGUUUGCAUUAGCUUUGCUUUGGCAAUCUGUAUUUUGAUGUAUUGCUUUGUUUGCUCCUUUGACUUUUCUCUACUUUUCGUUAGUUCUCUAAAUAUUUUCCUUGCCUCUUUCAAUGUAAUAAGACUUGCAUAUUUCAUCCUAUUCAAACUCAACAAUGUACACUUCUAGCUCUCCCUCCGGUUUAACAACAAAUUGUUGGGUAAUCGAUGAAAUCAAAAGAAUGUGUGUUAAUUUAAUCUUCAUUAAUUACCACUUUCUGUUGGGUUCCUUUGUAAUUACUUUGUUAUAAUUCUUAUGCUCUUCAAUAGAUGAUAUUGCUUUGGGUUGAAUGAUUGAAUUCCAUAACUUAAAUCCACGUGCAAUGAAAAUUCUUUCUUAUCAACUCUUUCAAGUGGAUUAUAUUCCCACAUUUUAAAUUCACUUCAAUAUACAACAUCUUCCACACAUAUUUUGCUUUCGUCCAACUUGACAAUUUCAUUAUAAUAUUUUGUGAGUACCUUCUCGUUCAAUGAAGGAGGACUAACUCCCAUAAGCAUGAUGUCUUCAUCCAUCUGCAUGCACAUAAUUUUUCAUAAGCAUGUAGCCUUCAUCAGAUUAGUCAAUGACUUGUUUUCAACAUUUUUAAAUAUUGUUUAUACCUCAGGAACUUUAAUAUAAAGGAGUUAGUGCAUGUAUAUAAUCAUUGUAUGGUAUAAUGCAUCCCAUAUCAAAAUUCACAAUAUAUAUUUACUGCAAGCAUAUUCUCAUCAUUAAUGUCGAGAUUCAUUAUUGCAAACAUUUUUCUCCUUUGUUGUCAUCAGAAUCAUGAAUAUACUAUUGAAUAGUAUCUAAAAGAACACCAAAUACAAGAAAGAUCAUGAUGGGUAGUAAAAUUUAACAAAAAAAAUAAAAAUAAAAAUAAAAAAUUUUGAAUUUAAUAUGAAUCAAUAAAUUCAGUUUAAAACAGCAUCAAAAACUUGCUCGGGUAAAUCCUAUAAGCGUAUGGGAUCAUUGACAACUAAUAAAUUUGAUGAGUUGAGAGUAUGGUCCCAUAGGGAAUAAGCUUUAUAUCUAAUUGUACCAAUUUGUUAUUGAAUUAUCUAAAGUGAUUACAAACCAAAUAUGGGACGUAUGUACUGAAAUUUUGAAUCCACAUAUUAUCAUACUAUUCCCAGUUCUCAACUAUGUAAUUUAGUUUCAUUCAUGCGUUUUUGACAAUCGAUAAUCCUGUUGUAUUUAAUUUUCAUUUUGAAGAUAAAUUAAUUACAUUGAAGACACGACCUGAUCUUAUUCGUAAUCCGAAUUCAAAUGAGUAGAGUGCAUUCAAUUACACGAUUAUCUAUUUAUUAGACACGUGAUAUAUGUCAUUUUUAAUAGUUAUUGUCCAUGACAUAUGCAGCGUUCUACUUAAUUUUGAGUUUUUCAGUACUACAACAAGAAGAAAUAAAAAGAAUCACCCGAAAUUUAUAAAUACAAGAAAGAGAUGUCAUAGUCUAAUUCUUGUCCUUGAUAGUCAACAUAUUGCUUUGACUCUUCAAGUUUUUUAUAUUUAUUGAUUUAAUCCACAUGGUAGAUUUGUUCUCUUCUCCAACUUAUAUUGGAAUGAUCUUUCGUUCUUGAAUGAUUUCGUGACUUGAGAUAUGAGAAAGAUCCCUUCAAUGACUGCCCAUAUUUCGGAUGUAUAAGGUGAAAUCAAAUCAAGAUACACGUUCAAAUUGUGUUCCAAAAGAGUUUCAAUCAAAUAAGGAAAGAUACUUUCAUAUCGCUCAUGGUUAUAUCAGUGUGCAGUCGUCAAUAUUUUUAUCUUUCGAUAUACGAUUGAGGAGAUUCAAAAUGGUAAAAGCUAACUAAAAUAGAUACAAUUAUUUUAGAAAUAUCAUUUCUUUAAAUUCGAACGUUUAUUAUGCGAAAUAUGGAUCUCAAUAUGUGACUGAAAAUCUGGAUUGGAGAAAAUAUUUUGAUUAUAUUUCAUUACUUCGCUCAUUUGAUUUUUAAUUGCAUCCAAUUGAUCUUUUGUUAUUCAAUCAUUGUUUCAAGGUCCAAAUAACCUAAUGAAUAUUUACAAUUAGAUCCCAAAAUUUGGAAUUCAUCUGUUUUCAUUGAUUUUUCAUUCAUUUCUUCCAAACUCACUUCAAAUCGUUGAGUUAUUCCUAACAAACGAAAAAUACACAAAAUUAAACCAUAAUUUAUCAAUGAAAGUACACAAUAUCCUAUUUUAAUGAUCUAGAUAAGUGUACAAAUUUCACUAAUCAAAUUUUAUAACUCUUCAUUUGUUUUUCUAUUCUACUCAUUAUGCUCUUCUAUUUAUUAAAACAUAGGAUAACUUGCAACACAUGUUGAUCGUAACUAGUCAUAGCCAAGCGUCCGUGCACAAGUAUAUUUGUGCCUCAGUUGUCAAUUAUUUAAAAGAUUAUUAUUUCUCCACACUUAAAAUAAUAAUAAUAAUAAUAAAUAAAUAAAGAAGCUUUGUUUGAUUCACAUUCUCCUAAUAAAUAAUUUUACACGUAACCUUUAUCUUUAUUUUACACGGAACAUUUAUCUAUAUUAUCUAAAAAAUCAUUAUUACAAAAUCUAUUUUCCCUAAAAAUAGACUCAAACAUAACCUAAUUCUCGUCAAAAGUUAAAUCUUGUGUUCAAUUAAUUUUAAACUAAUUUUAUAUGCCCGUCGAGCAAGCCAAUAAAUUAAAAUGUAUAAAGAUGAUACAAAUAUUACAAUAUUCCCAAGUUUCAUUGCUAGUGAAAUAGAUAAAUACCGAUGGGAAAUGUGAACGGUGUGAUAGAGAUCGUGAUUUGUUUAGGCGAGAUCAAUCUCAAUCAGAUUACGUUCAAUCCAUGUUUAUUGUUUAGCACUCAUUUUCUUAAACUCAUUUGUACUCAAACUCAUUUUUAAACAUAUAUUUUAUAUACACAGCUUUUAUCAACUUUAAUCAAAAUUGAUUUUUAGCUAAAUUAAAAAAAAAAAAAAGACUAAAUGCACGAAAUAGUAAGUCCCAGUUUGAAACCUCAAUUUUUAAAAAAAUAAAAAUAAAAAUAAAAAUUCCCACAUUCAUGAUCAAGUACACAUUUUAAAAAAUUAACAAUUUUUAUCAAUUUUCUAUUAUAUAAAUCAUCAAUUUUAUUAAAAUCUACUAAAAUUCUCAUUUUUAAUAACUCUAAAUAGGGGCCAUGUUAAAAUGAAUCGUGGAGAACUAUAAGCUAAUGAAUCAUUUUUGAGUUUUGCUACUUGUACAGGUGCUUUUGACAUUCGAAUAAAAAAGUGAAAACAGUUUGACAGAAUUUGAAAAAACAAUUCCUUUUUUUUUUUUGUACUCAAAUUCAUUUUUAAACAUAUAUUUUAUAUACACAGCUUUUAUCAACUUUAAUCAAAAUUGAUUUUUAGCUAAAUUAAACAAAAGACUAAGGUUCCGUUUGGGAAGGAUUUUGAGAAUUGAUUUUUUGACCGUUAGAAGAAAAGUGGGGUCCACCUGUGAGAGAAGAAGUCAAAUUACGGCUGAAAUAGUGAAAUAACGGUCAAAAAAUCAAUUUUUUGGGGUAAAAAAUCCCUCCCAAACAGGCCCUAAAUGCACGAAAUAGUAAGUCCCAGUUUGAAACCUCAAUUUUUUAAAAAAUAAAAAUAAAAAUAAAAAUUCCCACAUUCAUGAUCAAGUACACAUUUUAAGAAAUUAACAAUUUUUAUCAAUUUUCUAUUAUAUAAAUCAUCAAUUUUAAUAAAAUCUACUAAAAUUCUCAUUUUUAAUAACUCUAAAUAGGGGCCAUGUUAAAAUGAAUCGUGGAGAACUAGAAGCUAAUAAAUCAUUUUUGAGUUUUGCUACGUGUACAGGUGCUUUUGACAUUCGAAUAAAAAAGUGAAAACAGUUUGACAGAAUUUGAAAAAACAAUUCCAUUUUUUUUUUCCAAUCGGUUAAAUUGCAUGUACAUGUAACAUAUCUCAUCAUUUUUUAUGCUUUUGUCAUAGUUGAAUAGUUACUUUUACUUUUGACUAUUUUAAGAAAAUGAGUGCUUGGAUAUAUAAUCGUGUGUUUGGACCUAUAAAUCAGUAGGAAUAUGUGAAGAGUGAUUAUAUACCAUAAAUCCGUAAAAUCAACACAUUUAUACCAACAAUACGAUUAUAUAUAUAUAUAUAUAUAUAUUGAAAUUUGUCAAAAUAUUGAAAUUUGUAACAAAUUAUGCCUCCGUUUGGGCCCUUUUUUUUUACAUGAAAAUGGAUAAAAUAGUAUUUUUUUUUAAAUGAGUGGUUAAAAUUUUUUUUUUUUCGAUUUAUGUGUAAUAUUGUUUUAUGGAAGAUUGUGUAAUUGAGAAUAUGAGAGAAAAAAAUUAAAAUGUAAUUAGUGGGAGCCAAAUAGGAGCUGAAGGGUGUUAUCGAUUGAAAUAGUGGUGGAUUUUAAUUUUUUUUUCCUAAAUUUAGGUGUAUCUAAUUUAGAUUUUAUUCAAUUUUACUAAAAUUUAAGGUCCCAUUUGAUUAUCAUUUUUUAUUAAAAUGCAUUUUUUUCUCGCUUCUUUUUAACUACAAAUUCUUCAUUAAAAUAAUUUUACACAUAAAUAAAAAAAAUCCUUAUUUUUCGUCAACACAUUCUCCAUCAAUCUACUAUUUUAAAAUUCAUUUUUUUCCAUAAAAAUGGGUAUCAAACAUAUAUUAAAUGUCCUCAAUUAAGAUUUUUAAUGAUUUCAUUGAAAUUUAUUAAAAUCUUAAUUGGAGACACCUAUACACUUUUAAGCUUAACGUUUCCUCAACUAUAAUUUUGAUUGAAUUUAAAAAAAUAUAUAUAUAUUUCAAUAAAUUUCAUGGAUUAGGAUAGAUUUCCACAAAUUUCAUUAAAAUCACAUAAAAAUGUAGAAAUUUCAGAAGAUAUAUGUAUAUAUAUAAACUUGAAAGCUAUUCAAUUAUUUUAAAAUCAUUCCAUUAAUGAAAUUUUAGAAAAUCACUAUUUAAAUUCAUUAAAAUUCAAAUUAAGAAUAACUAUGAUUAUGGUAGAUUUUGAAAGAUUAUAAAUUUAUUAAAGGAUUUUCACAAUUUUUAAGUACACCCCGUUAAUUGAGCAGCCUGGUUGAGAUUUCGGAUUUGCUGGGAAUUUUACGUCUAGACGUGGGCGGCGGCCACUGCCCAGACAAAAAUCCUAGACAAACUGAACCAAAAACUCUUUACAAUCCAUAUAUUUCGCUUUUCAUUUUUCUUCUUCUUGCAAGUUUUGUCAUGCACCCACUUUGAGCAAAAAAAUUCCCUCAAAUUUCCCACCAGUCACCAAAAUUUUUCCUUUUCCACCCGGCAAAAUCUGGGAUUGUACGUAAAUCAGAGAAAAUUUUGUACUGAAAAGUGAGAAUUUUGGUUAAUAAUGGCUGGGAAUCAAGAAAAUUUGAGGGCUUUUAGACCGUUACUGAUAGUUGCUUGGAGCUUUCUGUUGGCUUCAAUAUUUGUUUCUGCAGAAAGAAGUAGCUUAAAGCUGAAAUUUUUAACACAUAAUGCAAACGAGUUUUCACAUUCUGAUUUAGAUGUUUUAACAAAUUAUCAGAAUUUUACAAGGCGAGCCAACAAAUCUGGGUACCAGCAUUUUUGGCCGGUGUGUUAAAGCGUUGCUUCUGUUAAAUUUUAAUUUUCAAAUUCAAUUUGUUUUCUGCUUUAAUAUAUUUAAAUUGAGUAUGAUCUUAAAAUUUACCUUCCUAUUUAUUUGUGCACGNAAAAUAUUGAAAUUUGUAACAAAUUAAGCCUCCGUUUGGCCCUUUUUUUUUUAAAAUGAAAAUGGAUAAAAUAUAUAUAUUUUUUAAAUGAGUGGUUAAAAAAAAAAAGUUUUCAAUUUAUGUGUAAUAUUGUUUUAUGAAAGAUUGUGUGAUUGAAAAUAUGAGAGAAAAAAAUUAAAAUGUAAUUAGUGGGAGCCAAAUAGGAGCUAAAGGGUGUUAUCGAUUGAUAUAGUGAUGGAUUUUAAUUUUUUUUCCUAAAUUUAGGUGUAUCUAAUUUAGAUUUUAUUCAAUUUUACUAAAAUUUAAGGUCCCGUUUGAUUCUCAUUUUUUAUCAAAAUGCAUUUUUUUCUUGCUUCUUUCAACACAUUUUCCAUCAAUCUACUAUUUUAAAAUUCAUUUUUUUCCAUAAAAAUGGGUAUCAAACAUAUAUUAAAUGUCCUCAAUUAAGAUUUUUAAUGAUUUCAUUGAAAUUUAUUAAAAUCUUAAUUGGAGACACCUAUACACUUUUUAAGCUUAAUGUUUCCUCAACUAUAAUUUUGAUUGAAUUUAAAAUAUAUAUAUAUAUAUUUCAAUAAAUUUCAUGGAUUAGGAUAGAUUUCCACAAAUUUCAUUAAAAUCACAUAAAAAUGUAGAAAUUUCAGAAGAUAUAUGUAUAUAUAUAAACUUGAAAUCUAUUCAAUUAUUUUAAAAUCAUUCUAUUAAUGAAAUUUUAGAAAAUCACUAUUUAAAUUCAUUAAAAUUCAAAUUAAGAAUAACUAUGAUUAUGGUAGAUUUUGAAAGAUUAUAAAUUUAUUAAAGGAUUUUCACAAUUUUUAAGUACACCCCGUUAAUUGAGCAGCCUGGUUGAGAUUUCGGAUUUGCUGGGAAUUUUACGUCUAGACGUGGGCGGCGGCCACUGCCCAGACAAAAAUCCUAGACAAACUGAACCAAAAACUCUUUACAAUCCAUAUAUUUCGCUUUUCAUUUUUCUUCUUCUUGCAAGUUUUGUCAUGCACCCACUUUGAGCAAAAAAAUUCCCUCAAAUUUCCCACCCGUCACCAAAAUUUUUCCUUUUCCACCCAGCAAAAUCUGGGAUUGUACGUAAAUCAGAGAAAAUUUUGUACUGAAAAGUGAGAAUUUUGGUUAAAAAUGGCUGGGAAUCAAGAAAAUUUGAGGGCUUUUAUACCGUUACUGAUGGUUGCUUGGAGCUUUCUGUUGGCUUCAAUAUUUGUUUCUGCAGAAAGAAGUAGCUUAAAGCUGAAAUUUUUAACACAUAAUGCCAACGAGUUUUCACAUUCUGAUUUAGAUGUUUUAACAAAUUAUCAGAAUUUUACAAGGCAAGCCAACAAAUCUGGGUACCAGCAUUUUUGGCCGGUGUGUUAAAGCGUUGCUUCUGUUAAAUUUUAACUUUCAAAUUCAAUUUGUUUUCUGCUUUAAUAUAUUUAAAUUGAGUAUGAUCUUAAAAUUUACCUUCCUAUUUAUUUGUGCACGAUAUGUUUGUUUGUUAAUCUUCUUAUACUUGAGCAUACAUGUUUGUGUUUUGUAUGAAUUUACGCAUAUGCAUAUGACCAGAAAAAAUAACUUUUAGUAAACCUCAAAGAAAUGGUGGAUUUGUAGAAAAGAGUAACUUUUAGAAAAGUGUGUGUGCAUGUGAGCAAAAGAUAGUUCGUAUAGUUGGCUUCAAAUACGGUAAGUGACAACUUCCUUAAGCCAGGGAGAAUCAUACAUUUAUGUGUUUUACUUUGGGUCAGUGUUAAAUUCAUAAAUUUGUAUUGUUACUAUUUGAAAAAUGUUGUAAUGAGUUGAGGUUUACAUGGUUUUUCUUGUUAUGGAACGUUUGACAAUAUAGUAUGUCGUCUACAGGAUCUGAAAUUCAACUGGAAAUCUAUUGUUGGUUGCAUAAUUGGCUUUUUCGGAGCAUCUUUCGGAAGUGUUGCUGGCGUUGGUGGUGGUGGGAUAUUUGUUCCCAUGCUUACUCUGAUCAUUGGAUUUGAUUCAAAAUCAUCAGCUGCUGUCUCAAAAUGUGGGUUAAAAACCAAAUUGAUAUAACAUGGAAUGAUAGGAUAUUCCAAGUUCUUCGUUGAUUGAAUUAAUUCAAAUCUGAGAAUCUAUGCAUAUAGUUUCAGCCUCAACCUGAAGUUCUUAGUCUCCUUGUAAUCAUGGAAGAAGAAACUAAUCAUAUAAAAUAUUUUAACGGCCCUGAAGUUCUCGAUUUGAAAACACUUUCAGCCAUAGAAGAUCACAAGUUCAAUGGCUAAAGAUAAACUGAAUAAUUCCUUGGAUAAGUUAAAAUGUCGUUUCUAAUUUGACAGGUAUGAUCAUGGGAGCUACAAUCUCGACUGUUUACUGUAAUCUUAAGCUCAGACAUCCAACUAUUGACGUGCCAAUUAUCGAUUAUGACUUGGCUGUUUUCAUACAACCUAUGCUUAUGCUAGGCAUUAGCAUCGGAGUUGCUUUCAAUGUGAUAUUUGCCGAUUGGAUGAUCACUGUUCUUUUAAUAAUUCUCUUUAUAGGUAAUUAACGUUUGUGUUACAACUGAUUUAUUAUUAUCCUUCUUCAGUGACUCUUUUUAAUAUGAUAUGAAACUUGCAGCCACAUCAACUAGGGCCUUCUUCAGAGGAGUUGAAGCAUGGAAAAAAGAAACUAUUGUGAAAAAGGUAAUCGUCGCAACUUUUUUAUAUAGUUUGGUAGCAUUUUGGUGUCGUGUUAUUCACAUUUGAAGCAUCAAUAUGAUAGACGGGUUCAUAUUAAUUGAGUUGUGGUAAAAUCUAAGUGUAAUUUAUUGUUGUAUUCUUUGGAUCGUCAUGUCCUUGGAAUAGCUGUCUCUUCCUUUCGUAUUGAAUGCCAAUUGCUGUAUUGCUGCAGGAGGCUGCAAACCAAAUGGAGGCAAAUGGUGAGUUCAUUUAUAAAAUUUUGUCCAUUGUAUUGUCGCCUUCAAUCUAACACUGUAGACCAAACAUGCGCCGAAUGAUCACCUUUUCUUUUUCUUUUCUUUCUUCCUUUUUAGCCCAUAAUUUCCUAGCUAAUAAAUAAAGUAUAUAUGCGUUUCCUGUUCCACCAGGAAAUGGUACAGAAGAAGGCCCUCGCAAUGACACGGAAAAUGAGGCCAGCGGCUUGGCAAUACCUGAGGUAUGAUUUAUUUCCAUACUAAUAUGCAUUUCCCAAACUCUCAAAUAUGACACAACUCACAAUCUCAGGUCAGCUUCCUCGAGAAUGUUCGUUGGAAGGAACUCGGUCUUCUUGUUUUCGUUUGGAUGGCAUUUCUUGCAGUGCAAAUCGUCAAAGUUUUCACUUUUUUUCCUUUUUCCUUUCAGAUAUUAUUUUUACUUUCAGAUCAUCUUAACUAAUCAGUAUCUCUAAAACUUACUCACCAUCAAAUUGAACAGAACUAUACUGCUACAUGUUCAGCAAUAUACUGGGUAGUGAACUUGCUGCAGGUAUGUGUAAUCUGCCUAUUUGGGAAACUUGUAGCCGAUUGCACGAUUUGCUAUUAUUUCUUUAGCAUUUAAAACUACCAUUCUUUGAUCCCCAGAUCCCCAUCUCUCUUUGCGUAUCUGGUUACGAAUCAAUUUGCCUGUACAAGGGAUGGAGAAAAAUUGCAUCUAAGGGAGAUGAAGGCUCCAACUUGAAAGUGCACCAAUUGAUAAUCUAUUCCUUGUUGGGUGUACUGGCUGGUAUUGUAGGGGGUCUACUAGGUAUAGGAGGAGGAGCUAUUAUGGGUCCGCUGUUUUUGGAGUUAGGCGUUCCACCUCAGGUGAGUUUGAGAUCUUUCUAAAAUAAUGUUGCAGACUCUUUGUUAAUCAAUUUUUAGUUGAUGUUCUCAUCGUUAAAUAUAAGAGAAUUUUCCAUUUUCUUGUCCGUUAAACGUGAAAGAUGGAGAAGAUAGCUAAUAUUUAUACCUCCGUUCAGGUUGCAAGUGCGACAUCCACCUUUUCUAUGAUGUUUUCCUCAUCAAUGUCUGUGGUUGAAUAUUACCUUAUAAAACGGUUUCCAGUUCCAUAUGGUAAGUGCAUAUCCAACUAAGAGUGCAAAUCUUGUGGAUUGCACGGUACUCAACAGAAGUUUAAGUUUUUAUUUAAAUACUAUAUACCAAACAUGUUCGGAUUGUUCAAUCCCGACAAUAAGUGAACAUGUAUUGGUUCUGACAUCGCAGUCAUUUACAUUUUUUCUAAGAUUUGUAUUUAAUCAAUAAUUUCUGCAUUUCUGUGUUCAGCUCUUUGCCUGGCCAUUGUUGCCACUAUUGCUGCGUAUAUCGGCCAACGCGUCGUGAUGAAAACGAUUAUUAAGAUGGGACGGGCAUCUAUAAUCGUCUUUAUUCUUGCAUUUAUUAUCUUUGUGAGUGCCAUUGCUCUAGGUAAGCAGCUUCGUUCACCAUUUUUUUAUUGGUUAAAAUCAUGAAUUUCUUCGGAGUUCCAUUUUUCAAUUAUUUAAACUUGAAGCAAGAUAAAUUUCUCCACGUGCAACUGUUUACUCGAUCCAUUUAACCUGCUUUUAGUACAUGCGUACAUGAUUGUAUAAUCAUAUACAUUCCUACUAAUUUUUUCGUUAAACAGGUGGAGUUGGCAUUUCAAACAUGGUUAAAAAGAUUGAGAGGCAUGAAUACAUGGGAAUUGAGAACUACUGCAAGUAUAAAGUCUAACACAAUGCUUCGAAUCCUUGCUAUUAUCCCUUUCCCAAUCCCAAUCCCAAUCCCAAUCCCAUUCUUGUUCUUGUCCUCGGGGUGCGUGUUUGAUCGGGAGAGUACGUGCCCCUUUAGAUCAGUUGCAGGAUCAAUUAUCUUUUAGUUAUUAGCUCUGUUUAACUGUUUAUGGCUUCUAGUUUUAUUAUUGUCUUAUAUUUUGUGGGAGAUGCUUAGUUAAAAUGUAAUUGAUGAAUUUUCAUUAAGACGAUUUGAAUUGCAAAAUCCAAUUUCAUAUGAAGUAAAAUAUUAUGUUUUUAAUGAUAAUCUAUUUUCUUUUAACAAAUUUAUUUUAGUCAAGUUCAAAUCACAUAUAAUUACAUCCUAGAAAAAUUGCACAAAGAAUAAAUGGUUGAUUAUUGAAAUCAAUUGUCGACAAAUUGCAUCAAAGCAACACUUAGCCCUUGAAUAAUGUCAAUAACUUGAUCAGAAGCCAUGUUGUAAUCCAACAAGUCAUACGUGAGCUAAGCAAAUAUAAGGAGUAUUAUCCCUUAGCUAGUGAAUUGUUAGAUAUCAUGGAAUCAAACCGAAAAAGACCGUCGGAUAAGGGGUUCAAGUUCUUCCCAAAUUUUCUUUCAAAAUUCUAUCAAAACACUUUUCUUAACUUCUAUUUCUAAUUCAAAAAUAUCAAUUACUUGCAUUGUUAGUAUUAUACAAAACUCCAAACCAAGAAACAAAAUAACACAAAGUAAUUUCCGAAUCCUGAAGCAAAUACAGUAUCUCACACUCAAUCUUGGAUAAAAACCCUAACCCGAAUCCUAAAGCAUUCCCUUAUUGAUUAAAGGAAGCCACAAGUAAGCACACUAUUUCUCUAUACACAAACACGCUCAUUGUUUAGAUUUCCCAAAGAAAAUUAGAAGAAAUCAACUGCCAACCAGAGGAUUUGGAAGAAGAACACGAAGAGCAAAGAGAAGAAGAUUUUGAAAAUCAACCCAAAUGGUAGAACUCAGAUUAUCACCUAAUAGGGCAACCAAGGGAUAUAUUUAGACCCUGAUUACCAACCAUUGAUCUAAUCUUGAUCCAAUGGUCCUUUGGCUUCACAGUUGUUACACGUUUUCUAUACGUAAAUAUACCAUAAGUGUACAAUGUCACAUUUUAUUGUAUAAAGAUCAAAUACAGAUGUAGAAUCCACAGAAUUGAAUAUCAAUGUAUACUAAGUACUAUCUAAGUAGCUUUUAUUUUAACUAGAUAAUUAGAUUAUAAGAUCAAUGUUUUACCCAAUUCUAACGUGAUUAUUGUGACGAAUUCAAUAAUUUCAAUGCAAUUUAAAAGAAUUAAUCAUGAUCAGAAAGCUUAGGGUUGUGAUUUUACCUAAAUAUCAAUUAUGUUUCUCAAUUAUCUAGUUAUCUCUAAUCAACUUUUUCAAGUUUAUAAGUAAGAACCCUAUUGUAAUUUUACUUCCUUUCUUGAGUGUUGAGCAAAAACUAUUUCGAUAAUUCAAUUCCAAUUCUCUAUUCCGAAUUAAAAUCAAUAAAUUAUCAAGUUUAUGGUUUUUAAGUGAAAUAUUCUUCAAAGAUUUUACACUUUCCCUUGAAACCUAAAAAAAUCUAGGUUGUGUUAUUCUAUGAUCAAGCCUAAGUUUUUCUCUCUCGAGUGUUCAAACUUAAGCAAUCAAUCCAUUCAAUUAGUGAUCAGAUAAUUAUAAGUAUUAAAAUCAAUAACACAAAUAAACGGAAAGGGAAAAUAUCAAAGAAAAAACUAUUUAAUCAUCAAAACAUAAUCUCAAGUUGGUUACAUCAAACCGUAGAUAUAGAGUUUAGUUCAUGAAGAAAGCCAAACUAAUAAAAUCAUAUAAAAACGACAUAGAGAAGAGAAGAGGGAGAAAAAAAAUUCUAUUUUUGAAGAAUUUCAAUCUUCUUUUCGAUGUUGUUCUUGCCUUCUUCCUUAAUUUCCUGCCUCUUGCUCAGUGGAAUUAUAGUUGAAAGAUGGCCUAAAGAUGGUAUUUAUAUCAUCAUCAGGUCCCAAGAGCAAUUGGAGUGGGAUUGGGCCCUUAAAAGAUCCCCAAAAUUCAAAACUUCUUUUCGCCUCAGACAGCGCCUAGGCGCUGCCUCCAUUGCGCCGGAACAAUUUGGUGGUUGGCGCCUCGUCACCUGGUCAAUGGCAUUGGGAUGCUAUUGUACUAAACUUUUUUCUUGAUGUAGGGUGUCGUGGUACCCCGGGCAUGGCGCUAUUUUGUUGAAAAUCUUCUAGCAUUAGUGGUGUUGAGAUGCCAUAUUACUGGAGUUGCGGCGUUGGUCUUCUACCAUAAUUUUUGUCGAGAUAUGGCGUUGGUUGUCACUGUUAAUUUUUUCCCUUUUUCUUCUUCAAUUUAGCUUAUUUCUUUGCCUCUUUUACUAACUUCCGUGCCUCCUUAAUGUCAAUUCAUAUUCUCAUCCUUUUAGCUUAUUAAACUUGAUUUUUAUCAAUUUGCCAAACUUAUAUCACAACGUCAGCAAACACAUCAAAACAUUCUAAAAGCUCUCAAGAUAUAGCAAAUUAUCGAAUUAAGCGGCAUAAAUAUCAUGAGUGUAAACCACUCAUCAAGCAUCCCCAAAUUAAGCAAUCCAAACACAAUAGUUACAAAGCCUCCAUAAUAAUUUCACAAUUGCACAAUUCCUUGCUUAUUUUUAUAUUUUCUUUCCAGCUCGAGAUUAACUUCACCUCUUUUUCUUUUCUUGACCCAUGUAACAAGCUUUCAGUCUAUAAUUCCCCAGCUUUAAAGGCCAAAGGGUAUAGGGUUUUAAGAAACCCCUGCGGACUUACCAACUUGAGUAAAAAAGGUGCCAACGUGAGGCAUAGACUCAACAAGUGCGAUGCUCUUUUUUCUUUGCAAUAAAUACAAAAAAUAAUAAGGCUAGAUCCCUAGCAUACAGUCAUCACUUAGCUUAUAAUUGAAAGUUAAAGAUACUCCACACGAAUAUUUCUUUUCAACGUGCAUGGAAUCACCACAAGCCUAAAUUAUAUCCUUCAUGGCUCGAACACCCCAAAUUAUGUUAUACAAGGUUAAGGAUGUAGUGAAUCAUAGGUUAUGGGACUGGACAUCCAAGUUCUCUAUUUCAACCUAUCGGUAUGAAUCAACCUAUUUAUGUACAAUAUUACAAUCAACUCAUGUGCAUAUAUAAUUUCACGUUUCACAUGAAUAAGCAAAAAUUUAAUUAACGAGAACACAUAACUACAUUAUAAUUCAUAAACCAACACAUGUUCUCAAGUAUAUAUCUACGUCGAUAAGGCUAUCUAAUUCACACAAACAUGUAAUUUAUUUUUUUUAGCAGUUGCAUAAAUCAGUAAAAAAAAAAAAAAAAAAAAAAAAAAUAAAAAAAAAAAAAAAAAAAAAAAAAAAAAAAAAAAAAAAAAAAAAAAAAAAAAAAAAAAAAAAAAAAAAAAAAAAAAAAUCACACAAAAACAACUAAGCCAAUAGACUAUUAAUAUUUCACCCUCAAACUUAAACUAAACAAUGUCUCCAAUGUGAGAUUAAUGAAAAAGGAGAGAACUUCCUUGAGUGAAAAUAUUUGUUGUCGUCAUUGCUAACUGCAUCAUGGUGAUGUGAUGGUGGAUAGAAGGAUGUUGACUGUUGAUUCUAUCUCCUCUCCAAAGCUUGAGAUUUAACAUAUAGAAAAAGCAAACUUAUCAAUACACUAUUAAUAAAAUAAUAAACUAAUUAUCUAAAGAUAAGAGAUAGAGAGGUAGAAAGCUUAGUUUGCCUACCAAAAAGCGCUUCUUCAAUGUCAUUUGUUAAUGUUGUCGGAAUGCUUUAGGUUGGAUCUUCAAGAGGUACUUCAUGUUUGAAACUUUUUUCUUGGCUUUAGAUUUUUUUUAAUAGAGCAUGGACACAAGGAUUAGGAGGUGGCUUCAACUUUGGUAUAGCCUUCAAAACCUCUUUUGAUUAACAUUGUUGAGAGGUUUCAAAGGUUCUUCUAUGUAGUUCUUCUUUCUUUCUUGUGGGUAAGCUUCAUGAGCUAAGAGAAAGCCAACCACUUCUUUGCUCCUUGUGUAGCUUCUAGUAGCAGGUGUAUCACUUCUUGAAUAAUUGGUUGCAAUAUAUUGCUCUUGAGGGUCAUAGAACAGUUCUCCUCGGUAAUUUUCACCCACCACUGCAUCAUUUGAUUUGAUCACAUGGCAAGUAUUAACUUUUUCAUGGCAUUUCUUAACUUGAUAGAUGUUGAAAAUGACUUGCUUUUCUUUAACUCGUAGUGUCAAUUUUCUUCCUUGUGUAUCAACCAAUGCUCUCUCGGUUGCCAAGAAAGGUCAACCAAGAAUUAAUGGUAAUUCUUGAUCUUCUUCCACGUCUAAAACCAUAAAAUCGAACAGAAAGAUGAACUUGUCUACCUUCACCAAUACAUUUUCAAUGAUACUUCUGGAAUAUGUGAUGAAUAUAUCAGUUAGUUGCAAAGUAAUGGUAGUUGGCUUCACUUCUUCAAGACCUAAUUUAUUUAAUACCAAUAGGGACAUCAAAUUUAUGCUAGCUCCAAGGUCACACGGUGCUUUGUCAAAAAUAGAAGCACCAAUUGUGCAAGAAUUAAUGAAACUAACCGAAUUUUUCAAUUUCUGGGAAAGCUUCUUUUAUAGAAUUGCACUGCAUUCCUCUGCCAAUAUUAUUGUCUCAAAAUUUUCCAACUACCUUUUUCUUUCACCACUUCAAGAACUUAGCAUAGUUUGGCAUUUAUGUUGAAGCAUUUGCAAAAAGAAUGUUGAUGAAGAUUCUCUUCAAGACUUCAAGAAAUUUUGUAAACUGCUCAUCAAACUUUUUUUUCAAGAACCUCUGUGGAUAUGGAAAUUGUGGAUUCAAGAUAGGUAGAUUAUUAGGAAAUAAGAUUCAAUUAGGCUUUGGAGCCUUCUUUGUUGUCCCUACCUCAGUCUUCUGCUCUUCAACAAUAUUUUCUUCUACAUUUGUGGAAUCAGGUAUAUAAAUUGAAGCCUCUUUAGACUUGCUUCUCUAAUCUACUUACCACUUCUCAGUGUGAUGGCAUUGUAGUGCUUUCGUGGGUUUACAUAUGUGUCACUAGGAAUUGUUCCUUUCUGUUGGUCAGAUGAGUCUCAAUAUUGUCUAGUCCUCCAAAAUGUCCUUCCUUCAGAACUCUAAUUAUUAAACCUAGGUAGAGGUUGCAUGUUCCUGGUCUUGUAAUAAGAUAGAUUCUUAUGGUUUCACCACCCUGGAUGGUAGUUAUUUGCUAAGCAGAUUCUGCUUUGGUUGAGGUUUCGACCAUUUACAUACUGGACUUGCUCAUUUUCCAUCUUCAUCUCUUGGUAUGAAGUAGAAGCAGCCAUAAUAGAAUCUAAUUUCUACUAAAGCCCUUAUGAAGUUAAUGCAGUUAUUUGGUUUGUGAGUGAUGACAUCUGAGCUGCAAGGGCUAUAAUGGGAUCCAACUCAUAAAGGUCAACAACUUUAUUUGCACUUGAAUGUUCACUUGACAAUUGGUAGUUAUUGGUGGCUAUUGCAUCCAGUAGUAUAUAAGAAACCUCUACAUUAUUAGACUUCAAAGUACCACCUGGUGCAGCAUCAACUACUAAUCGUGUCUAACCAUUCAACUUGUUGUAGAAGAUCUCUAUUUGUAUCCAAUUUGAUAACCAUGCCAAGGGUAUCAUCUAAGUAGAUCUUUGAAUUUUUCCCAAGCCCCUUAGAAUGGUCCAAAGCCUGCUUAUCUAAGCUAGCGAUUCCACUCCGUAUUUGAGCUCGCAAGUUGUGAUGCAUCUAUACGGCAAUGACUGAAACCAUACUUUGACUUUAUCCCUGAGAGGGAAAAUAGACUGAGUCUGAUGUCGUCUUCAAUAACAACGUUCAUCUUCAUGGCAUUGCAAAUCUCCAGAAAUGAACUUAGAUGAGCAUUAGGAUCAUCUUGUGGAGUUUCCCAAACUGAUUUUGUUGUACCAUGUAGACCAAUCCUGGAUUCAGUUUGAAAUUAUUUGCAGCUAUUGUUGGGUAUGCAAUAUCGGAGACGUUUUCAUUGACAAUGGUUCGACAUAGUCUCUAAUAUUCCACAGUUGAUUGUUUUAAUUUGCAACUUGUGCUACCAUUGCUUUGAGUUCGUUUUUUCUGUACGAUGUCAAGUUUUGUAAUGUAAAGAUAACAUACUAAUGUCGAACCCAUAGGGAUUGAAUAUCAAUUUAUAUUAAGUACUAUAACUGAGUAGCUUCUAUUUUAUCUAUACAAUCAAAUUAUAAGAUCAAUGUUUUACUUAAUUAUAACGUGAUUAUUGUGACAAAUUCAACAAUUUCAAUGCAAUUUAGAAGAAACAAUCAAGAUGAGAAAGCCUAGGAUUGUGAUUUCACCUAACUAUCAACUAUGUUUCUCAAUUAUCUAAUUAUUCCUACUCAAUUUUUCAAAGUUUAUAAGCAAGAACCUUAAUGUAAUUCUACUCCCUUUUCUCGAGUGUUGAGUAAAAACUAUUCCUAAAAUUCAACUCCAAUAUCUUUAUUUCAAAUUAAAAUGCAUGCUUCAAAGAUUUUAUACUUCCUCUGAAAACCUAUAAAAUAUAGGUUGUGUUAUUCUACGAUUACACCUAAAUUUUCCUCUCUCGAGUGCUGAAACUUAAAUAAUCAGUUCAUUAAAUUAGUGUACACGUAAUUGAAAGCAUUAAAAUCGAUAACACAAAUAAUCAGAAUAGGAAAAUAUCUAAGAAAUAACUAUUUAAUUGUCAAAACAUAAUCUCAAGUUGGCUACAACAAACCCAGAUGUGGAAUUUAUUCAUGACAAAAGCCAUGGAAACUAAUAAAAUCAUAUAAAACAACAUAGUGAGGAGAAUAGGAAAAAACCAUUUUUGUAGAUCUUCAAUCUUCACAAUGUUAUUCUUGAUUUCUUCAUUGAAUUUCUUACUCCUUGCACGGUUGAAUUGUAGUUGAAAAAUGGUCUAAAAGAUUGGUAUUAUAUCAGCAUCAAGUCCUAAGAGCAAUUGGAGUUGAAUUGGGCCUUAGAGGAAUUCCCAAAAUUUAGAACUUCUUUCCACAACCGCCUAGGUGCUACCAAAACAAGACUAUAGCACUUUGACUAUUAGAAUAGCCAAUAGAAGGUUUGGAAAUAAUAUUUAUUUUAGUUAAUAAUCCUUAAUCCAUAAGGCAUCCUUUACAGCCUUUGUAGCUACAACUUAUUUGACCUAGUAGUAGACAGUGUAACUAUAGGCUACAACUAUUAUUUCCAACUUAUACAAGUACAACAGAAAGUAAAGUAAACAUAUAGGCUGCGUUAGACUCCUAUUAUCUCUAUCACUAGUAACAUUAUUAUUAACAAAACCCUUAACAUUAUUCAGUCGUUGAAGGUCUUAAACACUAAUCCUAAAUGUGAAAUUCGUUUCCAAUGUUUGAGAAGCCACUUAGAGCCUCUAGUGUUCUGGUCAAGGAUUAGUCAUGAAUCAGUUUAAAAUGCUGAUAGCAUGAGUAACAUCAGGUCUUAAACAUACCGUAGUAUACAUGACUGUACCCGCAACAUUAGCAUAGGGUACUUUCUCCAUAUAUCUAAUAUUAGAAUUAUCAAUUGGGCAUUAAUAUUGAAUGGCUGUACUUGUGAUAGCCGUAGCAUUAAAUGUUGGACUUGUCAAAAUUUGGUCAUGAUCAGACUAGGGUAGCUGAUCGUGUCAUCUGCCUUUACCUCUAGAAUCAAGUAUAAAACUACCUCUUCCUCGUCCUCGUCCUCGUCCUCUAACUUGUACACAACCUCGACAAUGAGCCUUUCCUGUAGAGAUUUCAUUAUGAGUUUCCUCUACUGAAUUAUUUGUCAUUCUCAGCUCAUGACUAGUAAUGAACUCUGUAAUUCCUCAAUUGAAAGCUGAUCUAGUUCUUUAGACUCCUCAAUAGAACAUACCACAUAUGUAAAUUUUGAAGUCAUUGAUAUAAGACUUUUCUCCUCCAUGGCCACAUCCUCAAUUUUGUCAACAUGAAUGCACAUUUUGUUAACAAUUGCUAGUGUACUUGAAAAGUACUCCUCGAUAGAUUCUCCUUUCUUCAUGUAAAGAAUCUCAAAUUUUUUGUGAAGUGUUUGAAGUUGUUUGCUUCACUGGUAUUUUUUCCUGAUGGAGUCUAAAUUUCUCUACUAGUAUCCUUUUUGAUAAUUGUCUCUAAAAUGGUUCAAUCUAUUGCUUGAAAUGGAUAAUUCUUAACAUUCAAGUCCUUUAGCUUUUAUUCGUCCAAUUUCAUUUGUUGAGCUUCAGUUAACACUGUUCCAUGGCCUAGUUCAGUCGCUCAUGUUUCCACAAUAUUCCAAUAUUCUUAGGAUCACAAAAAAUUUUCCACCAACAUGCUCCAAUGAUUAAAGUGACCAUCAAAGGAAGGGAUUGCUAGUUGCUACUAGGGCUUAACAAUGAAACCUCAAAACCUAACUGAAUCCCUUUUUCAAAACCAUCAUCCACCUGGAACCAUCAAUGUUUUGGCUUUAAACCAAACCAAAUCGUAUCGAAAUGCAUUGGUUUAUCUUUCAAUAUUUACAAACCAUUUCAAGCUACCAAACUGCAAAUAAAAUAAAAUAAAAUAAAAUAUAAUAAUAAUAAUAAUAAUAAUAAUAAUAAUAAUAAUAAUAAUAAUAAUAAUAAUAAUAAUAAUAAUAAUAAUAUUCAACCAAAUUAAAAAUAAACAAAUCCUAGUUAAAAAAUACAUCCAUAUUAGUCAUAAUCCAAUUAAACUUAAUUAAAUAAACAAUUAUUUUUCUCUAUUAAUUAAUUAAAUCAUAUUAAAAUAUCCAUCGGAAUGCAAAACUCUCAAUAUGUUUACCAAAAAUCCCUCACAAGAUGUCUUCCUUUUCUGCAUAGGAAACUGACAUGGGAGUGUUUUGCCUGAUGUGAUGGUAACUUGUAGAACACCAACAGUUUCUUCAUAAGCUAUACGCGAUUUAGCAAUAAAAGCAAUAGAAAUAAAGAAAUGAGUAGCUUCUGAGUUUUUAAGAACAUAAGCAGGUAGUUCAGAUAUUGACAGAAUAUCCACCAUCAAAUUUUGAUUAUCAAUUGCCUCAUGUUAGGUUAAGGUAAAGACUUUGGCAGCACCCUUUUUGCUUUGUUCAUUGUCCCUCCUUGGAAGGGCUCAUGGCAGCUAGUAGCAAUAUGAUCUUGAUUACCGCAUCAAUAGCACGCAUUCCUUUUAUACAGACAAUAGCCUCUAUGGGCCUUGUUGCACUUAGGACAUGGAGUAAUAAUAUUAUUCGGUUGCUUGAACUUAACCACCUUUCAAACUUAGCCCUCUUGUUUUGUCCAUUUUCUUUACCUCUAUAUAGCCCAUUUCAUUCUCUUUCUUGAAAACUCAGUUCUUUCCUGAACCAUCUGAUCAUUUUUCAAUCGAUUUGAAAUUACUCAAGCUUGUUGCUGAACUUGACUGUUCAUGGUUAAUUCAUAGGUUGCCAUGAUUCAUCCGAUUUCUAGAUACAAUCCUAAUUCGAACUUUCUUGCUUUCGUUUGCUCUGUGUCCACUAUAUUUGUUGCAUACUUAGAGAGAUGUUUGAACUUUCUCUCAUACUUGACCAGUGCCAUUUGUCCCUACUUAAGUUGCAAAAAUUCUCUCUCCUUUCGAUCUCUUAGGGCUUCUAAAAAAUGUUUUCCCAUUACCUCCUCUUUGUAACAUACCCAAGUGAGAUUGCAUUGUUGGGACUCGAUCCUAGUGCAUGAAGCAGACCCUUACUGGUGGCUUGCUACAUCCACAAACAUAAACUCAGCACUCAAUAGUUUGAGUACAGUAUAAGAGAUGUGCUUGAAGAUUUGCUCCAAUCCUCUUAUCCCUCCUCGACUACCAAUGGGUCAGCUCAGAGGCAUGUAACAAUGAAACGGUUCCAUGUCUAAGCUUGUGAUGUUGGAAUUAGUCUAUGCAAUCUGAGGAGACACUUGAGUUUGUUGCCUUUCGAGAUCUUAUACACUUUCAACAAAUGUCUAACCAUAGCUAUUUAUGAAGGUCGACGUACCAUUUCCUUUAAGUCGACAAAAUAUUUUUUGUUUUAGAAAUAAUAAAUGAUAUAGCCGAAUAUAUUCGAUGGAAAAUCUCAGUUUCAUCAAAUUUUAAAUCGUUGAAGAGAUGAGGAAAUGAUUGAAAGUAUUAAAUCCUAGAUGAUGAAAGCAAAACCUACAGAUUAUAGUUCAAGUAAUGAUUACAUUUACUUUUAAGAGGGGAAGAAAUCAUUUAUUUAACUUAACUAUCUCUAGGUUACUUAUCUUCAUCUUUGCUUGUCCAAACGUUUUGAAUCCCAUGAUGCUUGGAUGGUGAAGCUUUAUCAUAUGAAGAUAGCCAUGACUAAGGCUCAAAUUUCUGAUCAACCUCUGGCUCUGUUUCUAGAUCUAGCUCCUGCUAUGGUUCUGGCUCUAGCUUUAAUCUGGUUCAUACUCCGUCUCGUAAUCUUAAUCUGGCUCUGACUCUAGGCCCUACUUUGGCUUAGGUUCAAGCUUGAGAAUAACAAUCUAUCUAUCUAGAAAAGUUUCACAAUACUGCAAGAACUUGUUCCUUUCUGGGCGCUCUAAAAACGUACCCUCUAGCAUCUCGUCUCUAACCACAUGCCCAAGUCUCCCCCACUGAGGUGGUAGUUUAUGAAUAAGCUUGUUAACAGCCUAAAUGGGCGUAACCUCAUGUUCUACACCCCCUGUCACAGCCCACCUAGAGAAAACUUCACCUAUGUGCAAAAUAAGUAUGUGAGUUGGAUCUACCUCAUUAUUCUUGUAAGCCUGAAUAACUGCUACCUCAUGGUUUAAAACAAGACUAGAAAUUGUCAUCUUCCUAGCGGUCUUUCUAGUUCUAGACAUAUUUAUCCCAUGCAAGCCAAGUCCAAUUAUGCUUAAUCUUUUAUUAGUGAUAACACAUUGCCUUUUAUACUUGCUUAAAUCUUUAAAAGGAUAAAAUAAAAUAUUAUACUUUUUUGAAAAAUGAUUAAGAUGAUUAAAAGCAUGCCAGAAACAUAUCAUAAGUGGAAGCAAAAUAAAUGAAUUAUCAUGCUUACAAUUUAUGAUAGAAUAUGACAUUUCAUUUCAUUUCAAACAUUUCUCAAGUUAAAUAUAAAGAAUGUAUAUCUCAUGCUCAGAUAUUAACAUAUAACAUUUCAUAUAAUACCUUUGGUCGUCAUAUGGUACGUAGUAGAUUGUUGAAUGCAAGGUGCCAAGAACCUUGUUCUAUUUCAUGUUUGUUAAAUAAAAUGUUUAUAAUAGUAUCUUAUUAUGUAGUUUAAUAGCCAAUUUUUUAUUUUUUUUUUCAUUAUCUUUCGUCUUCUUAAUUUAAAUUACGCACACUAAAAGGCUUAUAGGUGAGUACGGGACCAGUGGACCACUUAUCGACAAAUCUUCCAAUCUUGCCAAUAUGUGAAUCAAGAAAACUCGAACAAUGAGUGGAAACUAGAAAUGUCUCAAAAUAUGACUACAUUUGGAUUUUAAAUUUGAACAUUCUAGUUUUUUAACAACGUCGUACCGCUAGAAAGGAAAAUUUGACACAAUUAAUUUGAUUCGUUUGGAUUUCUCAACGCAAUCCCAAAAACACUUGCACUUCGAUGGUAGUCUAGUAAUUUGAGCUUCAAUUUGUAUAUUUUUGGGAAGAAAAAGAAAAAAAUGCAGACAUGUAUUUGUGUUGACUAAAUGUAAGUUUCAUGGUUGUAGAAUUUAAAACAUGCAAAUACGGAUAAUUGUUAAAAGAUGCAUAUUCUUUAGUUCUAACGAUUGACCAUUCAAUAAGUAUAAAUGGGAUAGAAUGGGUUGCGUUUAAAAUUAACAUAUAUCAUACAUGAUAUUCUGCUAACAGCUUGCUAAUCAACAAAAGUAUGCUAACAAUUCAAAAUGAAAAAGUAACUCAUCCCAAAUCUUAACGCUAUGUUCACUAUAAAAAUAACUAACAUAAAAACAAAUAUUCACAUUUAAAAUAAAUAUCAAGAUUUGAAAUGUUUUUUACUAACCGAGAUACUAUUAAAUAUUAAACAUUAAAAUUUUGACAUAAAAAAAUCAUUAUUGACACGUAAUGUUCAUUUGUGAAUAGUAACUUUCCAAAAACAAAUCAUCUUCUUCUUUACUUAAAAUGAAAUUAAAUAAUAUUAUUUGCUGUCGCUCACUACCGCAAUCGUCCUACGUGACAUAAAAAAUACCACAUUAAUGCAUCAAAUCACUAACCGCUACAUGUGUGUCACGUAGGACGACUAUGAUCGUGAACGACUGUAAAUAGCAUCACUCUAUAAAAUUUCUUACAUUUAUAUUCCUCCAAAAUGAUCACUAUACAAUAAUCGGGCAACAAAACAAAGUCCGCAGUCACCCUACGUAAUAUACAUGUGACGAUUAGUGAUUUGAUGCAUAAUGUAAUAAAAAAAAUACCACAUUAAUACAUCCAAUCACUAACCGCCACAUGUAUGUCAUGUAGGACGAUAUGGUUAUGAGUGACUGUAAAUAGCAUUACUCUAUGAAAUUUCUUACAGUUACAUUCCUCCAGAAUGAUCACUAUACAAUAAUCGAGCAACAAAACAAAGUUCAUGCAUUGGAAAAUGUCCUAUUAUAAAUUCUCUCUCUCUCUCUCUCUCUCUCUCUCUCUCUCUCUCAACCUAGACACUCAUUAAAAUUUAAAACUUAAAUUUUGACAUUUAAUCAAAUUUUUUCUUUCACUAUUCAUAUAUCACAAUAACUAGAAUAAUAUAAUGUAGCCUUACUAGGAUUAAAGUCCAGUCUAUGUGGCAUUAAUGUAGUAUUAAAUGAUAGGUGGGAUUAAAUAUGCCAUUUAAUUUUACAUUUUAUUCAGCCUAUCAUGGCUAAAUAGCAUUACUCCAAUAACUAAGGGUGUGUUUGAUUUGUUGUUUACAAUUUUCAAUAUUGCAGAACACUAAAAACGUGUUUGGUCUAAUAUUUUUGAAAAUGUUUUUUCGAAAGCUAAGAUAAACCUUUACAUAAAGCUCAAAAUGUAUUUUUGAUAGUUUGAGCAUUUUAGCCGAAAAUUCUAAAAACAUUCAAAAGAUGGAAAAGAGGUGUUUGAAUAAAAUUUUUAAAAUUAAGAAUUUUAAAAAUAAAAUUAUAAAAUUCUAACAAAUAAAAAAAUAUAUAAUUCAAGUAAAAUAAAAUUAGUAGAUUGUUAAAAAACAGUCUUGACAAAAUAAAAUUCUAAAUGCUUAUAUCCGUUGCUUGCAUUCUUCCUUCCUCUCUAUUUGAUUUGCUUCCUUUGGAGCCGCUGAAAUGAAAUUCACACCUCGAGUUGUACUGUCUUGGUAAAGGAUUAGGCCUUGUCCUCGUAGGACCAGAAAGAUGAUUAGUACCAUUCACAAGUUUCAACAAAAGAGGCUAAUUGCAGUACUUAAACACGCCUUUCUCACUGUCUUUCUAGGUUGCCCGUCACUUGCUUCUACUUUGAUUCUAAAAAAUAAAAAUAUUGAAAAAUAAAGUUAUAAAAACAACUGGAAAAAUAAAAAUUGCUCAAGCUCUUAAUGAUUAUUUAUGUACUAAUUCUUAUAAAAAAUUAAAUGAAUACAUGUAAAAAUAUUCUCAACCCAUGUCAUCAAUUUUUAUUGUUAUUUCCUAUAUUUUGAACUCAAUUUAUUAUUUAUUUUAAUUUUACUUUUAUAGCAAGAAAAAUAUUGUAAAAUUCAUAAACUUGUAAUGUAAAUAUUACUUGAUAAUAUAUUAAUAUAAACUUAUUCUAUUUUUACUGAAUAAUUAAAUUUCAUAAAUAGAAAUUCAUAAAAUAAUUUUUUGAAAAUUUAAAACCAAUCGUGUAUUCUAGUUUCUUGUUUUGAAAAUAAUUUUUCAAAAUGACAAACCAAAUGCGAUUAUAGCAAUCUUAAAAUGGACCAUCAAAAUAGAAAACUAAAAAUGAACUUAAAACUGAAAACGGGAACACAAACCAAAUCGAGACUAAUUUACUUCUUUAUAAAAAAUAGCAUUUAUUCAUACGUACAUAUUUCAUUACAUAUACGCAAAAAUUUUAUAUUUAUUCUACACAAAGAUAAACUCUUACUCUGUUAUCAAGUUGUAACAUCCCAAAUGUUAUGACUUAAAAUUUUAAGUAUUACCAAUAUCAUUUCAUAAUUAUGCUUGACGUGGAAAGAUUUAAUUGAAAAUGUACAUCCUUAAUUUAUUUGAACUUUCCUAGACUAAAUUGAAUCAACAUAAAAUUUCGAAACUAAGAACAUUUAGUAGGAAUUAAAAAAAUAUUAAAAAUAUUGACAAAAAAUAAUUAUUGAUUGUUUUCUUGAGAAUUUUAACUUGGCAACCUAUGUAUUGCUCAGCCAUCAUCACGUCUGAUCAUUCUAACUUCAAACAUUAAAACUGAAGGAUAAAUAUAUUAAACUCGGUAGGAAACUUGCACUCCAAAAUAAUAUAAUAAAUUUUAAACAUAAAUUAUGACAUUCCAUACGAUCAUUUUAUUGAGAGUAAUAGAAGAUCAGUUGAUUACUCUGACAUAUUUCUGUGCAAACAAUUGAGAAAACUCGAAAGAAAUCUUACUUUUCAUUUCAUUAAUGAUGUGUGGGUCAAUUAGCAUUUCAUGCAUAAAUUUAUGUAAAACAUACAAUAUUAAAAGGAUAAUUUAAUUUGCACAUAGUAUCCUACCUUCAACAGAUCAAGAAAUUUAUUGUAGGAUUAAAAAUACGGGUUACACUCCUUACACAUACAAAUUAUGAACAGUGUUUUCAAAGUGUGGGUUGUAUGUCUUCUUUAAAAAUAAAUGAAUGGAGAAGAAGACCGAACAAUAUUAUUAUAUAAGAGAAUUUGUUUUGAUUUUAAAUGCAAAUAUCCAUCUAUUUCUAUCAUACACGAUACCUUCAAAAAUUACACAUUUUUUUUACAUGUCAAAUGAAGAACAGAAUUUGAGAAUAUUUCAAAUUUCAAAUCAUCUUUCAUUCUGUCCAUAUACAAAAUCACUUUACAAAAUAUCUAUAGUAGAAAACUGAACAAUAUUAUUAUAUAACAGAACUUGUUUUGAUUUUAAAUGCAAAUAUCCAUCUAUUUCUAUCAUACACGACACCUUCAAAAAUUACACAUUUUUUUACAUGCCAAAUGAAGAACAGAAUUUGUUGAUAUUUUUAAAUUUCAAAUCAUCUUUCAUUCUAUCCAUAUACACAAUCAUUUUACAAAAUAUCUAUUGUAGAAAACUGAAUUUGUUACUGUGGAUUUCAAUGGAAUAAAUUAUAUUUGAAUAAUCCAUUUUUAAACUAAAAGAUAUGUUAAUAAGUAAUAAAAUAAUACAUAUUAAAUACGUAUCUUUGAAUUAAAAUAACUUGGACUUAACUUAUACGAACUUAUAUUUUCUUAAACCCAACUUAUUUAAUGCGAGUUACAAAAUGAGCCCACUAUUAAUAUACUAGUUUUCUCUACUCCUACAAUACUUAAAUAUUUAGCCCAAACAACAUAAAAUAAAUGGACUGAGUGAUCAAACUAUCUUACAGUUUAAUCAAUAAUGUGAUAAACAAGUUAAGAUGUAAAUAGGUUUCUACUUACAAAAAGAUAACGUAAUAAAAUUAAGUCGCUCUAUUUCUAAAACACCAAGGGUGCAUUUGAAUAUGAGCAUAAAAUUUGCAUGAAAAGAAGAAAAAUUUUAGGCAAUUCAAUUGCCUAUAACUUAUUUAUUUUGAAAUUAUUAAUUUAAUGUGUUUGAUUGAUUUAGUUAUUUAAUGUGUUUGAUUGAUUUAGUUUUCAACCUAAAAAAUUUUAUACUUGUCCAUUUUUUAUUGGUUGGUAGAUGAGAUAGAAUGUAUAGAUAAGAGAGAGAGAGAGAGAGAGAGAGCGAGCGAGCGAGGGGAUUCACUGGAAAAUAAAAUCUUACUCCCUCUAAAGAAAAUAUUUUCCUUAAUUUUGAGGAAAAUUUGGUCAUGUGACCAAAAGUAGGAAAAUGUUUUCCAUGAAAAAAAUAUCAAUCAAAUAGCACAAUUAAAAAUUUGGGUGGAAAAAACACAUUUUUCAUUAAAACUAUUGGCAAUCAAAUGCACUCUAAAAAUUUUACAACUGCUAAUACUGCAAAUAAAAAUAACGAACAUGCAAAACAAUCCUGCACAAUAUAAGCCAACAAACCUGCACAAAAUAAGCCGUGACUAACCUAUGACUAACAAUUCCUAUUCUCAUGGGAUUGGCAAAAUUACAUACAAUUUCAUAUAAAGUAGAACUCCAACAGUUAAGUUUUGUCAUGCACCAACUUUGAGCAAAAAAAUUCCCUCAAAUCUCUCACCUGUCACCUGCAUUUUUCCUUUUCCACCCUGCAAAAUCUUGGAUUGUACAUAAACUAUAGAAGAUUUUAUACUGAAAAAGUGAGAAUGUUGGUUAAUAAUGGCUGGGAAUCAAGAAAAAUUGAGGGCUUUAAGACCUUUACUAACAGUUGUAUGGAGCUUUCUGUUGGCUUCAAUAUUUGUUUCUGCUGAAAUAAGAAGCUCAAAGCAGAAAUUUUCAACACAUA
This 95094-nucleotide long non-coding RNA is filed under the name Olea europaea (common olive). RNAcentral describes it as "long non-coding RNA (OEUR_LNC015518)". Lineage: Eukaryota; Viridiplantae; Streptophyta; Magnoliopsida; Lamiales; Oleaceae. The record is from RNAcentral.